RNAcentral lists this long non-coding RNA (118624 nucleotides) under Triticum aestivum (bread wheat). RNAcentral describes it as "long non-coding RNA (TAES_LNC026628)". The record is from RNAcentral. Lineage: Eukaryota; Viridiplantae; Streptophyta; Magnoliopsida; Poales; Poaceae.
AAGGGGAGAGCUUAUCGAUGCGGAUGUGCAGGGGAACUUCCAUGGAUGCUCUGUCUCCUGCUGCUGGCACCAGGUACAUUGGCGGCACCGUCAGGAACGUGGGCUCGCCCGCAAUGACCACGGCGCCGGGCGUUGAGCUACUCCUCAUGUGCAUGUCCACGAGCACCAUGUCCUCCUUGCCGCAGUUCGCCACUGCUACCAAGGGUGUCUCCAGGUUGACCCACAUCUUACACAUGAACCGCGGUCGCGCCACCGCUCUCGCCCUGGCGCACACCGCAGACACGGCGGUCACGCCGGCAGCGAGCGCGCCCACGAUCAUGAGGAACACGCAGUUGUCGUCGCCGAGGAGCACCAUCCACCUGGUCGACACCGGUAGAUUUAGCUUGAUGACCUUGCCAUACUGCACAUCACGCACCGGCACCAAGUGGACAGUAUGGAGGUGACCGGCGAGCGACUGCGGCGCGCUGACGUAGCCGCAACCAGGCUCAAUGCACCGGCAAGGCGCGUGCGGGCAUGCUUUCUGGUGCUCGGCGACCUCAUGGUAGGUCACGUACCACUGGCAGCCGGCGUUGGGGCACCUGAUCCUGGUGGAGGACACCACGGCGUCCAGCGCAGGGCAGGGGUCAAAGAAACCGCCGCCGUCCAUGCAUGCCUUGCACUGCCCGAAGGGCAGCAGGGCAACACAGCCGCCACAAGCCGAGUGCCCCGCUUUGCACUGCAGGCAGGCACACAAAUCGGAGAUGGCCCGUAAAUUAGCACGAAAGAAUAGAUCUAUCACCGGCGCCAAUCAAGGAAGAAAGAAUGAAACAGAGAGAGGAUCCUGGAAGACCGGAGGCUUGAAGGGGAGGGUGCACAGGGGGCAGUGGAGGACUUGCUUGUAGAUCCUCACGGCGAGUUCCACUCGCUGGAUGUACGCCGCCCCAACGAUGGUGCCUCCAUCUCCUCCACCGGCCGCCUCUUGCUUCAUGUGGCCGUCGGGAAGGUCCAGCCGCGCCUUAUUAGAGCUCUCGUUGGCCUUUUCAGGCGAAGCCCUGCUCCUCCUCUCGGGGGCGCCCUGCAUCUUGGCUGGCCUUUGGGGAAAGAAAACUCCUGUGUGUGUGUGUCUCACGCCAAACUUUUUCAGGAGGUGGGUGAGGAUUAGAGCAGAGAUCUAAGAAGAAAAGUUGCCUAGGCAGCCACACUACACUAUACAUGCUUCCUCAUUGUGGUUUCCAUUCCCAAACUUAUAUGGUAUAGAUAUAAGUCGUGCUCUUAAUAAAUUUAAUUAUUGCUAGUUUAUCCAUACAUUAAUGUUGUCUUUCUUUUAAGUACCUACAAGUGUGCGAUAAAAAGGUUGACCAUUGCAGAUCCAUGUUAUUUUUAGAAAAAUCGAGGAACAUGAAUGUAAGCACAUUGUUUUUUUUCGUAGCUUCCUGCUUAAUUGAUACACCGCAGAGUACUUUUGACUCCAUCGCUAGAGUAUAACACCAUCAAACAUGUGGGAGCCCAUAAAAAGAAAAGGAUACAUGUGUAAGCACAAGGGACACAUGUGACCAAAUAGUACAAAGGAGCACACAAACGCAUCACAACUUUUCACCUAGAUCACGACACAUUCCACCUUUCUCACUGUUAUCGAUAGACACAUACGCCAUCGCUGAUGUGCUGGCUGCCACCAGCAAAUAACAACAACAUGACCACAAGCCUCCAAAAGAUCCAUGGAAUAGGUACUAGAUUUUGGAGACCCCCGACGCCAAAAAUCUUGAUUAGCUACUUGCAUGAAGUAGGAGAAAUAACCCCUUGAUUUGGCAGAUGCCAUCAAGAAGCAAUGAGCAAUCCAUUUGUCACCACACUACGCAACCACCUAGUCCAGAGAGUUCUAAGUAGGCAUCCGUAGCUGGAGGUUAUAGGGACACGGGGGGAUAACCAGAGAUGACACCAACCAAGAUCAUCCUCGCAUCAGUGCGUGAGAAAGGCUUGAACAACGUUGCCAGAGCACGAAAAAGCUAACACUAAGGAUGAUGUGGAAAAUCAAGUAUCAGCUCCCAACCAACCUGCGCUAACCACCAGGUGAUGGAACAUAGAGAGUAGAAAAUAUAUUCAAGAUUAAAAUAGGGGCUAAGCUUCACCUAAUAUCCUAGAAAUAACAUAGUGGAGAAUAGGUAGCAGGAAAUCUUACUUGAACCUAAAGAGAGACAAGAAUAUAAGGGGCGACCAAGUCACUCAACCGCUUCUUCGAGAGGUGUCCGAUCAACUAGGGAGAAAGCCUUGCUUUAUUCGGAGCCUGCGACGGUGGCGCUCGUGGGCAUCGCUAACCUUCUUGGAGGCAUCAUUGUCAUGUUGUUUAAUCCUCCUCGUUGGCACCCCGGGGGGAACCCCUAGUCCAUGUCUUCUUGGUACGGAUGAUGCCGUCAUAACCGGAAUGGCCCUUCUUGAAGGCUUCAUCUUUAAUUAGGGCUGCAUGGUCGAUGAGUGUUUGUUGCUCACAGCGGUGGUGAUGGUGGUGGUGGUGUGGCUGCUUGGGAUUGACGAUGGUUGUUCGGUGGUGUUCUUUGGGGUUCGGCGGCGGUGCUUUUUGCGUCGUAGGGAAGCCAUCUGUUUCCCCUCGCGAAGGUGUAUCGCCCUGGUGCUGUGCUCAAGACCCUUCCCGCGGUUGCCAAGGUGGUGCGGCAAGGUUCGUGCUCUUGGUGAUGUCUCAGUUCAUCUUUGCCCAUUGAUGGCGCAAGAUGUCUCCCCAGCUUGCUAAUCAUUCUGAUUUUCCAUGGUGGAGCUCCCUGUCAAGGUUCGUGUUUACUGCACUCGUUGGUUGUGGAUGCUCCUGAGUUGUGUCGUGGGGCUCGGCACGCAGUCCGGUGUGGUGUCUUAGUCUUCUUGCAAAUUCCCGGUAUUAUGAUCCCUCGAUGACACCCCACAUAUACUUGUGCUUUCAUGGUUACAGUCUUUCUGUCUGUUAGCUAGGUGUGCGUUGUCUUCGGCAUCUUUUUUCUACUUUUUUGUCCUACUUUUUUUGACGCAAAAUGUUUUCUUCUGCUUGCUUCUAAAACAUGGAACAAUCCCAGUAGUGUCAUGGGCAGCCGUUUGGCCUGGGCUGGGCUUUCGGUCCUUGGUCGGCCCGGAGCAGGGGAAGUCUCUAGUCUCCUAGUUGUUGUGGUUCAUGUGUUCUUGCCCCGCAAAUAUUCGCCCUCUGGUUGUUGCGGGAGCUCCCAAAUUCGGUGAAGCCCUCGUUCCCCUUGGCCCUUCCGGAGACCCGCUCACAAAAAUGUUCUUUUUUUUCAAAAAUAAUUGUUGAUGCUCUUAGGAAGUAUGUAGUGUGGCUUAUUCGAAUUCGUUGUUAAUCCGCUUGCAAAUUGGUGAAUGCACAAGGAAUCGAAAUGUUGGAGCUGACCAGUGGUGUUUUGGUCUGCAGUACUGACAGGAGGACCUAGCUUCCAUGGAGAUGGAGAUGGAGAUGGAGAUGGAGAUGGAUGGGAAGAGCAACGGCGUGACCAAGGUGGCGAAGGAGGACCCUUCCCUUUCAUAGGUAACCGAAUGAUGAUUCUGUUGGGUCUAUGUGCAUAGGAGAGGAGAUCACAAGUUUUGGUGAAGACAUGCCCUUGAGAUUGAAAUUAUUGCUCUUUCAGUAAGGAUGAAUUGUUGAUUCUUCAUUUUGUAGCCAUUGCAAAUCGGUAAUGCAUAAGCAAAUUUAAUUGUGGGGUCUGAUCUGAAAUGUACUGCAGGCCAUGUGUAGCGACCAGACCUCAAACAGUCUGAUCUCUGUGCAUCCGUGUCAUCGCUGGAUCGGUAAUGCUGACACACACAGUACUCGAGGAUUUAUAACAGAGUUUCAAUCACACACUUAUUACAUCGAAUGUCUCAAAAGAGAACUUAAUACAACAAUGUGGCUUAAGGCCAUCUAAAUCGAUAACAGCGGAAGGCUUGGAAGAUAAAGUGAGUCCAUCAACUCCAACGGCAUAGCUGAGUGAAAGACAACGACCUAUGGCACCUUACUCGUCGUCUGAAAAGUUUGCAACAUGAACGUUGCAGCCAGAAACGGGUCAGCACAUGGAAUAUGCUGGCAAUGUAACAGAUAGAGAAAUGAACAUAAUAAAUGCUAUCACUACAUGCAUAUAUGGCUGGUGGAAAGCUCUAUGGUUACAGUUUUGCAUAAAGCCAAUUUUUCCCUACAACAAAAGGAAUAAAUUUUAUUUAACUAUCGUGGUGGUUGUUAAACAUUGAGAAGGUUCCUCCAACUCAAUCCCAAUUAAACAUCAUUAUUAAACCCAAUCAAAUUAUAUUUAGAGUGAUGAGAUCAACAUGAUAAUCCAAGAACCAGAUACUCAAGAUGUCCAUAACCGGGGUCACGGCUAACCAUGAUUAGUUUGUACACUCUGCAGAGGUUUGCGCACUUUUCCCCACAAGACUUGAAUACAUCCAUGGUCGGAGAUUUGAGACACAGUCUUUCUGAUGCAUUAACUCUCUACUCUAGAUAGACAGUACCACCUACAACCCACUACAUCUGGUAGUCUACCUCUUCAAGAGCUUCACGCAACUUACUCAACUAUGCCAGAGACCAUAUUGGCUUGUGGCUGCACACAGAAGUUUCUAGCAUGAAUAAUCUUAUGAUCCCUUUGAGCCUGGGUGGUGGACCAUAGGAUGAUCACACGGGUACUCCGGGAUAUCCUAGGACAACACUGGAUUCUCCAGGUGCCCUGACAACCACUGGGUACUCCAGGGUGCCUCAAGCAAUCCACCCAGAUGUGUAUUUAGGUAGCCACCUUAAGUUGACCAUUAAUUAACAAAAACUCACAUCUGUCAUGGAUACACUCACCCAAACCACGUCUACGAGCAUAGCAUAGCAAUAUAAGCAUAACGUAGAAGUAACUCCCAAAGGUUUGAUAAUAAACAUGGCAAUAGGUUCUACCUCAUCAUCUACUUCCCAAAACCCACAUGUUAAUCAGAUCCUAACCAUGCAAUUGUUUGAGGGUUGAUCUAAUGCAAUAAAAAUGGGUAGUAAAGAGGUAUGAUCAAAGUGUUACUUGCCUUGCUGAUGAUCCGUGAAACCUAGAGACUCGUAGUAGCACGCUUCGCACUCCGGGUACUCUAUCGCAAACAAACAAGCAUACAAUAAGCACUCAAUCUAAAAGCAUGGGUAAAACUCAAAUAAGGGAUCUAACCAGAAAGUUCAACUUAAGAACUCCGGUUUGCAAAAAGAAUCAAAUCAAACGAAGCAACGAAACUCAAACUGCGAAAGAAACAAGUUCCGUUUACUAAUCUGGACUAAAGUCAAAUUUUACAGUACCAAAAUCUUGUUCAAGUUGGUUAAACAGAAAGAGGGCUUCGUGUCGAAGAUCUGGGCGCUUGAAUCACUUGAUUCCGAUAAACAAGCAAAAAGAUAAACUAAAACGAAAAUCAGGGCAGAAAUCGCGAUCGAAAAUAAUCGCGGAAAAACCCUGGAAAAAGAAAAACUGACGAACAGGCUAACGAACGAACGUUCGCUGUCUACGGCUAACGGGUGAACACCAUUCGUUAAAACAAACAAACAGACGAAUGUCCGCUAUUUAGCUAAACCGGACAAAAAUAAAACCGAUCUAAAAAACGAAUCUAGGGUUUUUGUAAAAAAAACCGGGGUUUUUACCUAAAACUGAAAAAACGAUGGCGGAUCGGAUCGGGACUGGCGGCUCCGGCGGCGUCUCCGGCGAAGCGGGGCGCUGCGGGGCGACGGCAGAACGCGGUGGCGGCGACGACAAGCGGCGGUGGAGUCGCUAGGCAGCGGCAGCGGCGAACGGCGNNNNNNNNNNNNNNNNNNNNNNNNNNNNNNNNNNNNNNNNNNNNNNNNNNNNNNNNNNNNNNNNNNNNNNNNNNNNNNNNNNNNNNNNNNNNNNNNNNNNNNNNNNNNNNNNNNNNNNNNNNNNNNNNNNNNNNNNNNNNNNNNNNNNNNNNNNNNNNNNNNNNNNNNNNNNNNNNNNNNNNNNNNNNNNNNNNNNNNNNNNNNNNNNNNNNNNNNNNNNNNNNNNNNNNNNNNNNNNNNNNNNNNNNNNNNNNNNNNNNNNNNNNNNNNNNNNNNNNNNNNNNNNNNNNNNNNNNNNNNNNNNNNNNNNNNNNNNNNNNNNNNNNNNNNNNNNNNNNNNNNNNNNNNNNNNNNNNNNNNNNNNNNNNNNNNNNNNNNNNNNNNNNNNNNNNNNNNNNNNNNNNNNNNNNNNNNNNNNNNNNNNNNNNNNNNNNNNNNNNNNNNNNNNNNNNNNNNNNNNNNNNNNNNNNNNNNNNNNNNNNNNNNNNNNNNNNNNNNNNNNNNNNNNNNNNNNNNNNNNNNNNNNNNNNNNGGCGGCGUGCUGCGACCGGCGGCGCAGGCGGCGGGGCUGGCGGCACGGCUCGGGGUGGGGGGGCGGCGGCUGUGGCUUUUAAAGCCCGAGGGGGGUGGGGUGCUUAGGGGAGGGGGCGGGGCGGCGUGUCCGGGACGGACACGUCCAUGGCAGCGGGCGGCGGCGCUCGUGACUCUGUUCCGAGUCGGAGCGGGCGACGGCGCAGGGCGAUGGGCCGGGCCGGCUCGGCUGGGCCGUUGGCCCAGUCGGGCGCGCGAACAUUUUUUUAAAUAGAUUUCACCGAACAAAACAAAUCCUAGAAAGUAAAAUAAAAAUCUAAAAAUACCAAAACAAAUUUUCACCGUCUAAAUAAAAUAUUUAGAAUAGGAUGAACAUUUUUUUGGCCUAAAAUGCAAUUUUUGAAAACGUGCAAUUUUUUCUAAUACAAAUUAAAUUGCAAUAAAAUCCAAAUAAAACUAUUUAUUUGAUUUUAGUAUAUUUUCCUCGAAUAUUUCAUUUAUUAUGGAGAAGUCAUAUUAUCUCCUCUCAUAUAUUUUAAAUAUGAAAUAUUUUUGAAAGGGAAAAAUAAAUAAACCAAAAUGAUCCUUGCUUUGAUAUUUGAGAAAAAUCAAAUAUGAAAACGAUGAAAUCCCCAACUUUCUCCGUGGGUCCUUGAGUUGCUUAGAAUUUCGAGGAUUGUGGAACGAAAUGCAAUAAAAUAUGAUAUGCAUGAAUGAUCUAACUAUAACAUUCCGAAUUGGAAAUUUGGGAUGUUACACCAUGGCUCUCAUGGAGGGGAACAACAACAACAACGACAGAGAAACCAAGGAAGAGGGAGAUCAUCGGCUGGAUGGAGAGGGUGUAAUUGUCAAGAAGCAGAAUGUCGCCAUGGCCACGGGAACGGAGUUCUUGGACUGCCCUAUCUGCUCCGCCCCCCUCAGCCCUCCCAUUUUCUAGGUAAUUGGAUUGAUGCAAUUUCGUGUAUGCUGUCACCGCAAAAAUCAUUGCUCUCUUCAUGUUGAUAUGGUCAGUGCUCUUGUAUGUGAUGAAGUUAAUUCUGAACCUUGUUGGGUUGAUUAUCUGUAGUGUGCAGUGGGGCAUUUUGUGUGCUUGAACUGUCGCGACAAGCUCCUGGAGACAAAGGAGAACAAGGUUUGGGGUGUGUGCUCCAGGGACGUCUCGACCCGCUGCCAUGACAUGGAGCGUGUCGUCGACUCCAUCAUCGUGCCAUGCUCAUAUGCCGUGCAUGGGUGCGGCGACACAAUCGCCUACCACAAGAAGAGGGCGCACGAGGAGGUGUGCUAGCACGUGCCAUGCUUCUGCCCUGAGAAAGGUUGCGGCUUCGCAGGCACGACAGCGGCCCUCCUGGAUCACUUCGCCGCGCAGCAUGAGUGGCCAACGACACGCUUCCAGUACUACAAGGCAUUUGACGUACCCGUGAAGGCCAGCAUGCACAUGCUCCGUGGCGGCGAGGAUGGCCUAUUCUUUCUGCUUCACGUGGCGUCCCUGGACUCUGAUACGUCUCCAACGUAUCUAUAAUUUUUGAUUGUUUCAUGCUAUUAUAUUAUCUGUUUUGGAUCUUUAUGGGCUUUACUAUACACUUUUAUAUUAUUUUUGGGACUAACCUAUUAACCGGAGGCCCAGCCCAUAUUGCUGUAUUUUUGCCUAUUUCAGUGUUUCGAAGAAAAGGAAUAUUAAACGGUGUCCAAACGGAAUGAAACCUUCAGGAGAGUUUUUUUGGAACGGAAGCAAUCCAGGAGACUUGGAGUAGACGUCAGGGAAGCUUCGAGGUGGCCACGAGGGUCAGGGGCGCGCACUACCCCUUGGGCGCGCCCCCACCCUCAUGGGCCCCUCGUGGCUCCCCUGACCGACUUCUUUCGCCUAUAUAUAUAUACAUAUACAUAUAUAUGUAUAUAUAUAUAUACCCUAAAAACAUCGAGGAGCACAAUAGAUCAGGAGUUCCGCCACCGCAAGCCUCAUUAGCCACCAGAAACCAAUCGGGACCCUGUUCCGGCACCCUGCCGGAGGGGGGAUCCCUCACCGGUGGCCAUCUUCAUCAUCCUGGCGCUCUCCAUGACGAGGAGGGAGUAGUUCACCCUCGGGGCUGAGGGUAUGUACCAGUAGCUAUGUGUUUGAUCUCUCUCUCUCUCUCUCUCUCUCUCUCUCUCUCUCGUGUUCUUGAGGUGAGAUGAUCUUGAUGUAUCGCGAGCUUUGCGAUUAUAGUUGGAUCUUAUGAUGUUUCUCCUCCUCCACUCUCUUGUAAUGGAUUGAGUUUUCCCUUUGAAGUUAUCUUAUCGGAUUGUGUCUUUAAGGAUUUGAGAACACUUGAUGUAUGUCUUGCAUGUGCUUAUCUGUGGUGACAAUGGGAUAUCACGUGAUCUACUUGAUGUAUGUUUUGGUGAUCAAAUUGCGGGUUCAGUGACCUUGUGAACUUAUGCAUAGGGGUUGGCACACAUUUUCGUCUUGUCUCUUCGAUAGAAACUUUGGGGCACUCUUUCAAGUACUUUGUGUUGGUUGAAUAGAUGAAUCUGAGAUUGUGUGAUGCAUAUCGUAUAAUCAUGCCCAUGGAUACUAGAGGUGACACUGGAGUAUCUAGGUGAUAUUAGGGUUUUGGUUGAUUUGUGUCUUAAGGUGUUAUUCUAGUAUCAACUCUAUGAUAGAUUGAACGGAAAGAAUAGCUUUGUGUUAUUUUACUACGGACUCUUGAAUAGAUAGAUCAGAAAGGAUAACUUUGAGGUGGUUUCGUACCCUACAAUAAUCUCUUCGUUUGUUCUCCGCUAUUAGUGACUUUGGAGUGUCUCUUUGUUGCAUGUUGAGGGAUAGUUAUAUAAUCCAAUUAUGUUAUUAUUGUUGAGAGAACUUGCACUAGUGAAAGUAUGAACCCUAGGCCUUGUUUCCUAGCAUUGCAAUACCGUUUGUGCUCACUUUUAUCAUUAGUUACCUUGCUGUUUUUAUAUUUUCAGAUUACAAAAACCUACAUCUACCGUCCAUAUUGCACUUGUAUCACCAUCUCUUCGCCGAACUAGUGCACCUAUACAAUUUACCAUUGUAUUGGGUGUGUUGGGGACACCAGAGACUCUUUGUUAUUUGGUUGCAGGGUUGUUUGAGAGAGACCAUCUUCAUCCUAUGCCUCCCAUGGAUUGAUAAACAUUAGGUCAUCCACUUGAGGGAAAUUUGCUACUGUCCUACAAACCUCUGCACUUGGAGGCCCAACAACGUCUACAAGGAGAAGAUUGCGUAGUAGACAUCAAGCUCUUUUCGGGCGCCGUUGCCGGGGAGGUGAGUGCUUGAAAGUAUAUCCUUAGAUCUUGCAAUCGAAUCUUUUAGUUUCUUGUUUGAUCACUAGUUUAGUUUAUAAAAUAAAACUACAAAAAAAUGGAAUUAAGUUUGCCUCAUACGCUUCAUCUUUUUUAUAUCUUUCGUGAGAAUGAUGGAUAGGAAAAUGGUGCUCAUGUGCUAGAAGAAGAAGUCUAUAAAAUGUUUGGCACUAAAUCUUUGAAUGAUGAGCAUGAUUGCAAUGUUGUUAGUAUGAAUUCCUUGAAUAUCCAUGAUGCUAAUGAUAUGCAAAGCUACAAGCUUGGGGAAGCUAUGUUUGAUAAAGAUGAUAUUUUUUGUCCCCCAUGUUUUGAUGAGCAAAUUUAUUAUGACCAAAGCAUGCCUCCUAUUUUUGAUGAGUAUUGUGAUGACACGUAUGCUAUAAAGAAUAAAUAUAACCAUGAAACUUGUCAUCUUGAUUUUAAUUUUCAAUUGGAUUAUGCUUCACAUGAUAGUUAUUUUGUUGAGUUUGCUCCCACUACUAUUGAUGAGAAUAAAUUUGCUUAUGUGGAGAGUAAUAAAAAUUAUAUGCUUGUGGCUCAUGAAAACAAUGCUUUAUGUGAUAGUUAUAUUGUUGAAUUCAUUCAUGAUGCUAUUGAAAAUUAUUAUGAGAGAGGAAUAUAUGCUUGUAGGAAUUGCAAUAAUAUCAAGUUUCCUCUCUAUGUGUUGAAAAUCUUGAAGCUAUGCUUGUUUUACCUUCCUAUGCUAGUUGAUUCUUGUUCCCAUAAGUUGUUUGCUCACAAAAUCCCUAUGCAUAGGAAGUGGGUUAGGAUUAAAUGUGCUAGUCAUAUGCUUCAUGAUGCUCCUGUUAUGUUUCAAUUCUUAUCUUUUAUGUGAGCAUCAUUGAAAUCAUCAUGCCUAGCUAAAAGACAUUAAAAAAAAGGGCUUGUUGGGAGACAACCCAAUAUUUACCCUUACUUUUUUUAUGUGUCCACAUGAUUAUGCUACUGUAGUAAUCAUGUUUUAUAGCUUUUGUUUCAAUAAAGUGCCAAGUAAGACCUUUAGGAUAGCUUACCGUGAUAGUUGUGUUGAUCCUGCUGAAAAUAAGAAACUUUUGCACCCAGUAAAUUAGUUUUGAUAAUUCACAGAGACGUGCUUUUGAUCUGAUUCUUUUUGCUACGGAUUGGUACACACAUUUCUCAGGAUUUCCUAAUUUGGUAGGAUUUUUGGAGUUCCAGAAGUAUAUGUUUGAUACAGAUUACUACAGACUGUUCUAUUUUUGACAGAUUCUAUUUUCUAUGUGUUGUUUGCUUAUUUUGAUGAAUCUAUGAGUAGUAUCGGAGGGUAUGAACCAUAGAAAAGUUGGAAUACAGUAGGUAUUACACCAAUAUGAAUUUAGAAUGAGUUCACAACAGUACCUAAGUGGUGAUUUAUUUUCUUAUGCUAACGGAGCUUACGAGUUUUCUGUUGAGUUUUGUGUUGUGAAGUUUUCAAGUUUUGGGUAAAGAUUCGAUGGACUAUGGAAUAAGGAGUGGCAAGAGCCUAAGCUUGGGGAUUCCCAAGGCACCGCAAGGUAAAAUUCAAGGACAACCAAAAGCCUAAGCUUGGGGAUGCCCCAUAAGGCAUCCCCUCUUUCGUCUUCGUCUAUCGGUAACUUUACUUGGAGCUAUAUUUUUAUUCACGACAUGAUAUGUGUUUUGCUUGGAGCGUCUUGUAUGAUAUGAGUCUUUGCUUUUUAGUCUACCACAAUCAUCCUUGCUGUACACACCUUUUGGGAGAGAGACACAUGAUUCGGAAUUUAUUAGAAUACUCUAUGUGCUUCACUAAUAUCUUUUGAGCUAGACAAGAUUUUGCCCUAGUACUUCACUUAUACUUUUUAGAGCACGGCGGUGGCUUAAUUUUGUAGAAAUUAUUGAUCUCUCAUGCUUCACUUACAUUAUUUUGAGAGUAUUUUAGAACAGCAUGGUAUUUGCUAUGGUUAUAAAAUUGGUCCUAGAAUGAUGGGCAUCCAAGUUGGGUAUAAUAAAAACUAUCAUAGAAAGUGCAUUAAACACUAUGAUCAAUUUGAUGCUUGAUAAUUGUUUUGAGAUAUAAAGGUGGUAAUGUUAGAGUCAUGCUAGUUGGGUAAUUAUGAAAUUGAGAAAUACUUGUGUUGAAGUUGGCAAGUCCCGUAGCAUGCAUGUAUGGUAAAAGUUGUGUGACAAAUUUGUUGCAUGGGGUGCUCUUUUAAUUGUCUUCCUUAUGUGUGGAGGUCGGGAUUGCGCGAUGGUUAACUCCUACCAACCAUUCCCCUAGGAGCAUGCGUAGUACUACUUUGCUUCGAGGGCAAGUAAACUUUUGCUAUAAGUAUAUGAGUUCUUUAUGACUAAUGUGAGUCCAUGGAUUAUACGCACUCUUACCCUUCCACCAUUGCUAGCCUCUAUUAUGCCGAGCAACCUUCGCCGGUAUCAUGCACCCACCAUUUACCUUCCUCAAAACAGCCACCAUACCUACCUAUUAUGGCAUUUCCAUAGCCAUUCCGAGAUAUAUUGCCAUGCAACUUUACACUGUUCCGUUUAUUAUGACACGCCCCAUCAUUGUCAUAUUGCUCUUUGCAUGAUCAUGUAGUUGACAUUGUAUUUGUGGCAAGGCCACCUCCAUAAUUUUUCAUACAUGUCACUCUUCGUUCAUUGCAUAUCCCGGUACACCGCCGGAGGCAUUCACGUAGAGUCAUAUUUUUUUCUAAGUAUUGAGUUGUAAUUUUUGAGUUGUAAAUCAAUAAAAGUGUGAUGAUCUUCAUUAUUAGAGCAUUGUCCCAAGUGAGGAAAGGAUGAUGAAGACUAUGAUUCCCCCACAAGUUGGGAUGAGACUUCGGACUUUAUAAAAAUAAAAGAGGCCAAAGAAGCCCAUACAAAAAAAAGAGGCCAAAGAAGCCCAUCAAAUAAAAAAAUAGAAAGAAAAAAAUGAGAGAAAAGAGAGAAGGGACAAUGUUACUAUCUCUUUUUCCACAUUUGUGCUUCAAAGUAGCACCAUGAUCUUCAUGAUAGAGAGUCUCCUAUGUUAUCACUUUCAUAUACUAAGUGGGAAUUUUUCAUUAUAGAACAUGGCUUGUAUAUUCCAAUGAUGGGCUUCCUCAAAAUGCCCUCGGUCUUCGUGAGCAAGCAAGUUGGAUUCACACCCACUUAGUUUCUUUUGUUGAGCUUUCAUAUAUUUAUAGCUCUAGUGCGUCCGUUGCAUGGCAAUCCCUACUCACUCACAUUGAUAUAUAUUAAUGGGCAUCUCCAUAGCCCGUUGAUAUGCCUAGUUGAUGUGAUACUAUCUUCUCCCUUUUUGUCUUCACAACCACCACCCUAUUCCACAUAUAGUGCUAUGUCCAUGGCUUGCGCUCAUGUAUUGCGUAAGAGUUGAAAAAGCUGAAGUGCGUUAAAAAGUAUGAACCAAUUACUUGGCUGAAACCGGGGUUGUGCAUGAUGGGAGUAUUUUGUGUGAUGAAAAUGAAGCAUGGCCUAACUAUAUGAUUUUGUAGGGAUGAGCUUUCUUUGGCUAUGCUAUUUUGAUAAGACAUGAUUACUUGUUAGUAUGCUUGGAGUAUUACUAUUUUUAUGUUUUAUGAACUUUUAUCUUGAAUCAUUUGAAUCUAAACAUUCAUGCCACAAUAAAAAAAAUUAAAUUGAGAAUUAUGCUAGGUAGCAUUCCACAUCAAAAAUUCUGUUUUUAUCAUUUACCUACUCGAGGACGAGCAGGAAUUUAGCUUGCGGAUGCUGAUACGUCUCCAAGGUAUCUAUAAUUUUUGAUUGUUUCAUGCUAUUAUAUUAUCUGUUUUGGAUGUUUAUGGGAUUUACUAUACACUUUUAUAUUAUUUUUGGGACUAACCUAUUAACCGGAAGCCCAGCCCAUAUUGUUGUUUUUUUGCCUAUUUCAGUGUUUCGAAGAAAAGGAAUAUCAAACGGAUUCCAAACGGAAUGAAACCUUCGGGAGAGUUAUUUUUGGAAUGGAAGCUAUCCAGGAGACUUAGAGUAGACGUCAGGGAGGCUUCGAGGUGGCCACGAGGGUCAGGGCGCGCCCCCCACCCUCGUGGGCCCCGCGUGGCUCCCCCGACCGACUUCUUUCACCUAUGUAUAUCCAUAUACCCUAAAAACAUCGAGGAGCACAAUAGAUCGGGAGUUCCACCGCCGCAAGCCUCUGUAGCCACCAAAAACCAAUCGGGACCCUGUUCCGGCACCCUGCCGGAAGGGGGAUCCCUCACCGGUGGCCAUCUUCAUCAUCCUGGCACUCUCCAUGACGAGGAGGGAGUAGUUCACCCUCGGGGCUGAGGGUAUGUACCAGUAGCUAUGUGUUUGAUCUCUCUCUCUCUCUCUCUCUCUCUCUCUCGUGUUCUUGAGCUGAUAUGAUCUUGAUGUAUCGCGAGCUUUGCUAUUAUAGUUGGAUCUUAUGAUGUUUCUCCCCCACCACUCUCUUUUAAUGGAUUGAGUUUUCCCUUUGAAGUUAUCUUAUCGGAUUGAGUCUUUAAGGAUUUGAGAACACUUGAUGUAUGUCUUGCAUGUGCUUAUCUGUGGUGACAAUGGGAUAUCACGUGAUCUACUUGAUGUAUGUUUUGGUGAUCAACAUGCGAGUUCAGUGACCUUGUGAACUUAUGCAUAGGGGUUGUCACACGUUUUCGUCUUGACUCUUCGAUAGAAACUUUGGGGCACUCUUUGAAGUACUCUGUGUUGGUUGAAUAAAUGAAUCUGAUAUUAUGUGAUGCAUAUCGUAUAAUCAUGCCCACGGAUACUUGAGGUGACAUUGGAGUAUCUAGGUGACAUUAGGGUUUUGGUUGAUUUGUGUCUUAAGGUGUUAUUCUAGUAUCAACUCUAUGAUAGAUUGAACGGAAAGAAUAGCUUUGUGUUAUUUUACUAUGGACUCUUGAAUAGAUAGAUCAGAAAGGAUAAUUUUGAGGUGGUUUCGUACACUAUAAUAAUCUCUACGUUUGUUCUCCGCUAUUAGUGACUUUGGAGUGACUCUUUGUUGCAUGUUGAGGGAUAGUUAUAUGAUCCAAUUAUGUUAUUAUUGUUGAGAGAACUUGCACUGGUGAAAGUAUGAAUCCUAGGCCUUGUUUCCUAGCAUUGCAAUACCGUUUGUGCUCACUUUUAUCAUUAGUUACCUUGCUGUUUUUAUAUUUUCAGAUUACAAAAACCUAUAUCUACCGUCCAUAUUGCACUUGUAUCACCAUCUCUUCGCCGAACUAGUGCACCUAUAAAAUUUACCAUUGUAUUGGGUGUGUUGGGGACAAAAGAGACUCUUUGUUAUUUGGUUGCAGGGUUGUUUGAGAGAGACCAUCUUCAUCCUACGCCUCCCACGGAUUGAUAAACCUUAGGUCAUCCACUUGAGGGAAAUUUGCUACUGUCCUACAAACCUCCGCACUUGGAGGCCCAACAACGUCUACAAGGAGAAGGUUGCGUAGUAGACAUCAGACUCCACACCACUGCACGAGAUCUCGCUGGUCUGUAUCGGGCAGCACACGGCACCGUAAUCCAAGUUCGGGUGCUCCGUGGGCUUCUCCUGGUUCAAGGGCCAUUACCAGGCCUCAACGCUGGAUACGAUCAGGAGCACGUCGCUUUCUGACAGACUGCCGACAAACUACUUCCUCACCGUUCCCAAGGCUUGCCGUGGAGGUGGCACCCGUGUCGUGCUUAGCGUGACAAUUGAUACAGAGAUGGUGUAUGGAGACGAUGACGAACUAGAGGAGGAGGAUGAGGACGAUGAGAGCUACAACAAGGAGGAAGAUGAGGACGAGGACAACGAUGAAGACGAAGAUGAUGAGACUAGCGACGAGGAUGAUGAGAGCUACAACAACAAGGAGGAGGAGGCACAGGAGGAUGAGGAUAGUGAUAACCAUGAGGAUAAUGAGACUAGCGACGAGGAUGACGAAAUUUGGGAGGAGGUUAGGCACAACGAUUACUAUUGAUGCAUAGGCAUCGACGGCACUGUCCCAAUAUCCAUGGUGAAUCCACAAGAUGUUAGAUCUUUGGAAAUUUGGUUGUUACGGUGCUUUACGGUGUUGAGUUGCACAAUGUGUUCCUCUUAAAUUGGAGUUGCACAGUGUGUUAGGCUGACUGAUUAUACCGUUACUUGUUGCUCUGGCUCAUGCUCAACUUUUGUCAUGGAAAUGUUGUAACCCUCGAGUGAGUGAAGUAUCUAUGUUCAUUUGAUCUUGACACAACUAUGUUUCUUUUGGGGAAUAUGAACUGUGAUGCUUUUAGUAUUAAUAUGUUAUUCAAAAUUUUGUGAAUAUUUUUUGUACUGUUAUUAUAUUUUUAACAAGUAGAUUAAAUGGCAUCGUUGUUCAUCUUCCCAAACUGUUUUCUAUUCUAAUCAUCAAGGGUGCAACAUUUACUAUUGUAAGCUUUGCAUCAGCCUUCAGUAGUCGUCAAGGGUGCAACAUUUACUACUGUAUGGUUUGCAUCAGUCAUCGGUAGUCGUUGAGGGUGCAACAUUUACUACUGUAUAUGAGACACACUUAAACAACCAUUAGCAGGUAGAGAAGCAAGAUGGAUGAGUACCUGGGUGACGGCACAGAGGUAGAGGGGGGCAUGGCCUUGUUGCCGCUGAUAGUCGGAUCUGCCCCCGGUGGCGCUUCUCCAUGGACUCACCAUAUCUCCCUCUCCCUCCUCUCUUCAUCUCGCCCUUCUCUCCCCUUCUCUGGCUGAGGACGACGCCGCGGACGGGCCACUGCCAAUAUGUCCGCAACUUUCGCUCGAGUGAGAGGGGAUGAGAAGGAGAGAGGGCCGCCACGCACUGACCUUCGAUUUGUAGACGCCUCUUCGAACGGCCUUGAGCAUGGUUGGCUGCUCCCCCUCCCCGCCUCUUAACGCGAACACUCCUCUUCUCGUUUGGGACAACAGCCACGCCGGUGACCUAGGUCUGGCAGAUCGACGGAGCCGACGUGGCCCUGACAGGUGUCACGCGCCGAAGGGCGAGGAGGAUGACGCUGCCGCCGUCUGCCCUUCUCCUCCCAUCCCCGCUCCGCUUUGCACUACCUGACAUGCUGCUCGAUCUGGUGCGAGAGGGAGGAGAGGUCAUCGAUGGUGAAGAGAAGCUAAGGGGAGGAGAAAAGGGGUGGGAGAGUCAGCCGCUGGGGAGGACGUGGCUGAUUGCGGCGGCUGCAGGGAGGUCGCCGGUGGCGGCGGCGGCAACAAGGAAAAGGAGAGGGAGAGGAAUCGGGGGAUGGGGACUGGGGACCAAUCCCUUUCUCUCAUCGCUGGCCAAUCCCUCUCUGCCUUUCUUGUAGAAGUAAACCUUUUUGUCUUCUAGCUAAUCCGACGUGGACGUCGCUAGAAUGUGCCCUUUGGGCGACUGUUAAUGGGUUCAUUGGGUGGCUAGUGCAAAUCAUUUUACCUUUAUUUUUCAAACUUGACCCUGCAAAGCAAUGAGUGCAGUGCUAGCUGUGAACUGCUAUUGCUUGUCUCCUUCCCAUGACGGCAUUACGCCCUUUGUCAAAAUCGAUUCGGCGAGGCCGUUUGUGGAGAAGAAUCAUCAAGCCAAACGACGUCCAAAUGCCAUGGGGUUUUCCACAACCCUAGGCCGCCGCCACGCGAAAAAUGCUCUGCCGCUGCUUCCCCCUCUGGCUGUCCAAGUGUGGCGGGGACUUCUUCUUGGAGAAGCAGCACCGCGUGGUGGUCUUUGUCCGGGGACAGUUGCCGACAAUAGAGGGGUGGUCAGUGGUGCUGUGACGUAACUGCUGCAUGGUGGCGACUCAUAUGGCCAACAUGCGUCAUAGGUGAUUUGAGGAUUUAUCAUCUGCCUCGAUUGUGUGUGCACCCGCCCUACAAAAACGUGGGCACACCAUUUUUUGAUGAAGGAUUUCGCAAUCUCCUCGCCGGGCGCAAAAUUAGGAGGGCAACUAAACAUUGGCUCAGAUCCAAUUUUUUGAGGACUUAUCCUAAUGCAUGCCCUGCCCAUUGGGAAAACCAAUAAUUUGGUAAGGUUACUUCCACUGCCAUUAGUUUCAUUUCCUUGUUUCUAUUUUAAUAAAUUUAUGAUUGCGUGCAUUUGAGAAAAGCAAAGACCAAGGGUUUCUUCCCCGGAUACGGCCCUUCGCGUGCCCCAUCCUGCUCCCAAUACGGCUACAAGGGACUGUCGAAGUGUGGCAUGCUCUCCUUCUCAGAGGAGCGGCACCAGGAAGAGGCCGUCGUCGGGCAGUGGGCGAUGGCGACCGUGACUACGACAUGGUGGUGAUCCCUAUGGUCCGAUGGUGCGUCAUACGUGAUUUGGGCAUUUAAUUAGGGGCCCUUCUGGAUUGUGCGUGCACCGCCCUCCCUUCUAUAACGCGCAAAUUCACAGAAGAGGAUGUUGCAGCCACGUGAAUACCAAUAUUUUGGUAGGAUAAGUCUCGUCUGCCAUCCACUUUGUAAGUAGAUUGGUUUGGUGUCGAUGACUUGUUUCUAUUUUAAUAUAUAAAGAUUAUUUUGUUAGAAAAUGGAUAUUUUUCAUCUCAUAAAGGUCAGCCAUAACAAAAAGAAUUAUGGCCACGUGUAGUAGAAGUUACUAGUUGAACACAGCAUUUUUUUAUGCAAGGAAUUUUUUUUCCAUCAGAUAGCAAUGGAGUACACAAAAUGCAUGCAUUUCUUACAUGGGACUGAGCUCUACUCUUUACUUGAGAUAGAACCCGUCAGAACAAGCCGCUGUACAUGUCCGCGGACAUUUAGAGAGGUCCGUUUUCAUCGACUUGCCUUAAUAGAGUGCAAUUUUCACUUGAGCAAUAAAACACAAUCUUAUUUGAAAGGACGAUGCAUUUGGACUAUACUAGAAUGUAAGAAUAUGGUUUAUACCGAGGCUCCUCCCUUAUAAAAUAGAAGAGAUUCAAUCAGCUUCCUCUGUCCCACACAUCCGUCACACAGCAUUACACAGGCCAAAACUGCAUGCCUCCUGAGGGCAUGAACAGUGAUGGCAUAUGGAUACAUAUGUCUCGUGGGAAAAAGAAAUUUGAGGCAGCUACAUUGAUUUUUCUCCCCAAUGCAAGCUAUCACUAGUGUGCCUCAUCAAGGAAUAGAAAGUAGAGACUAGUACACAUGAAUCUCUACUCUCCACUUCAAUUUUGUCAGCUUUUUACACUGGACCACACUUUUUCUCUUCAAGCACCCGCCUCCUGCAGAGGAUCCCGCUUCCCCAUCGGAACCUAUUUCUCCUGACAUCCAAUUCUACAUGGCAUGUGGGGCAUCACCCUAGGGCUAUGCAUUGGCCAUGUCCCGAGGCGAUGGAUCACAUGCCACAGUAGUAGAGGACAACAUCGGUACAGGAGUGAAGAGGCAUCAGCAAGAACCCGGCAAAUUAAGUAAGUAGUACUCCUUCCCGAACUAGCAAACCAAGCAAAACAUAUGGUAAUGCUAAUGUAGUAGACUACAGGCAUGACCUGCAAAGUAUUUUCUACUCAACUCUCCUUUUGAAACUUGACCCUGCAAAGAAAUGAAUGCAGUGUUGUGAACUGCUCGUGCUUGUCUCGUUGCCAUGACGAAAUCAUGGCAUGUCCGGCGAUACAUGCUACUCUACUUGUUGGUGUCGUUCCCGCCCCUAGAGAAAAAUCCCCAAGCCAAAGGAUGUUCAAUGGAUUCACUCUUUAGUAACUUUAGAUGAUACCAAGAGAAUAUUGAGUAACACACAAGAAUAUGCAUACAACCAUUUGAUACAUACAUCAUGGAUUGGUGAGGAUCCAAAAUAAAUCCCAUUCAUAACAAGAUUCAAAGACAGGGGAAAUGACACUAGGCAUCCAAAUAAAAAAAGUUGUUCAAAUACUUGUAAACUGUGGCCCACUCUUACAAUUUGUCAUGAUCCGUAACACUCCAUAUGAAGAAUCAUCCUCAUCAAUAUGGAAGUUUUCCUUACCUAUACAAGAAUGAGAAGAGAAACUUAGAAUCAAUAAAACAAACAACAAAAGCUAAUUUGGAACAACAUUAACUGAAAAGCAAGUAUAUUUAAGUUUGUGAUUACGUAUUUCGAAAUAAUAAUGUGGCAUGGAUUGAAGUAGUAUAUCACAAAUACUAAGUGAUGCAAUAUUUUACAAUAAAACUAAUUGCAGCGUAUUUCAGGUGUAAAGCAUGAUGUAUCCUAAAGCAUCAAGCCGCUCCACUGAACACUAAAUCCGCAGACAUCAUCUCCAACAGAUAAAGUGGAAAAAGGACUCACCUCCUAUUAUUGAGUCUCACAAACAAAUAAUGAAUGUAUCACAUUUCCCACAUUAGACAUGAUCGCUAUCUCUGGCCAUCAAUGUUAACUGGAUGUGAACUGCUUUCAAGAUAUUUCUCCUACUGAAUGGAUGCAAACUAAUACAUAAUUUUAGUUCUGCAACCAAUGGAGCAUCAAAAUAUUGUACUAAUAGGAAACAAUUAUUUACGAUUCAAAGCAGCGACCUCAGCUUCUUGUGCCGGUUCUUCUUGCAAAAGCAAGGAAACAAAUAUAUCUAUUUAUAUAUGUUGCUACAUUCUGGUAGGAAUAAAUAAGCGAUACAAAAGCACCUAACAAAGAAACAAGGUCUAACAAUAAUUUACCAUGCCUUCCUUAAAUGGGCAAGAUCCAGCAGGCAAGAAACGUGCUCCGACAAAUGAAAAAAUUAAGACCAAUUAUUACAAUUAACAUCAAUGUCUCCAGUUGUUAACAGUGAAAAUUGAAGCACAUAUAUGCAUUGUACAUAAGUAAUGUAUUUGGCCACCUCAGGGAAUCAUUUCAUGUAUCAGUUANNNNNNNNNNNNNNNNNNNNNNNNNNNNNNNNNNNNNNNNNNNNNNNNNNNNNNNNNNNNNNNNNNNNNNNNNNNNNNNNNNNNNNNNNNNNNNNNNNNNNNNNNNNNNNNNNNNNNNNNNNNNNNNNNNNNNNNNNNNNNNNNNNNNNNNNNNNNNNNNNNNNNNNNNNNNNNNNNNNNNNNNNNNNNNNNNNNNNNNNNNNNNNNNNNNNNNNNNNNNNNNNNNNNNNNNNNNNNNNNNNNNNNNNNNNNNNNNNNNNNNNNNNNNNNNNNNNNNNNNNNNNNNNNNNNNNNNNNNNNNNNNNNNNNNNNNNNNNNNNNNNNNNNNNNNNNNNNNNNNNNNNNNNNNNNNNNNNNNNNNNNNNNNNNNNNNNNNNNNNNNNNNNNNNNNNNNNNNNNNNNNNNNNNNNNNNNNNNNNNNNNNNNNNNNNNAUCUUUACCUACUAAUAAAGCAGUCAUUGUUUCUGGUCGUACGUCAUUGGCAUAUUUGCAUAAAAGCCCCCGCGAUUUUGGGUAUUCAACCCGCAGUACAAUAAUAAGUCAACUCCAACCGGUAUUGACGAGAGAAAAAACGAAAUAACCCACCCGCCCGCCGAUGCAUCAGUCCUUCCCCACAUCAGCAGUCUUUAAAUUGACUAUUAGUCCCACCUCGCAACUUUGUAUUGAAUCCUACAAAUUUAUAUAUGUUUGAAAGUAGACAAUCAAGAAGCCAGAUAACAAAGCAGAGAUGGCUGAUCAAGAGAAUAAGAGAGAGAUCAGAUGGGGACUUGCUCAAGGCCAAUGCAUCACCGGCGCGGACUUGCCUCAGGAAAGCGGAACAGAGCCGUGGGCGCUAGAUGGAGAAGUGGAGGAGUUGGGCUGGGUGGUGGUGGGGAGCCCCUCUCUCUCCGGUGGAUGGCUGGGGUGUCGGGGGCAGCGGGACCGGUGCGCAGUGGCGCAGAGAGGGUCUCUAUCGAGCUGGACUUGGCGCUGGACGUCGCAGGUGAUCCUCGUGUUCGUCGUCUCCAUGCCCAGACGAAGCAGGUAGCGACGAGCCGACGACGGCUCCCGACACGGUCGGAGAAGGCGGGGCGGCGCGGAUCUGCCGCUGAACAAUGGCGGGAGCUUGAGCGUCGGGGUCGGAGAUCCAUGGCGCGGGUGUGAUUCUCUCUGUACAUAAAANNNNNNNNNNUGGAGAGGGGGAAGGAGGGAGUUAGGGAAGGGAAUGGAGAGGGGGAAGGUUAGCGGAGCAGCGGGCCGGAGUUGCAGGGGGGGUGGGUAGCCGGCCAUGGCGCCGGUCGCCGGACUGGACGGGGGGAGGCGAGGAGGGGCUGCAGGCGCCGGGGGUCGAGGGGAGUUCCUUGCUCGGGCGCGGUUGGUGCGGGAGGCGGCGUACGGGCGGCGGCGUUGUUGCAGCGCGGCUGGGCUGUGUAUGGGCUCCUGGCAUGGAGAAGUGGCGCUGGGUGUGAUGGAUGUGGAGUGGUGGAAAAGGAAUUGUCGGUGGGAUUGAGUGCUUGUUGCUACUGCUUUUUUUUAAACGAUGUGAUGUUUUUCUUCUGCUUUUCUGCGUAAAGCUAGGUGUCGGUCUCUGCUUUUUCUGCGUAGAGCUAGGUGUCGAUCUCUGCUAGCAUAGUACAAUUUACUUGGCUGCUGUUUAAGCCUGCCAUAUCUUAAUCUUAAUUAUGAAUACAUUAGUAGUUACAGUACUUAAAAGAUGUGUGACUGAAAUAUUGGAAAGAUUUGUUUAAAAAAAUAUUGAAAAUAAAUACUAUUUCUUAGGGGAAAAGAUAUUUCGGGCUCACCUGUGGACUACCUGAUCAUCAAUAUAUUCCUCGAGUCUUGAUGUUCCUGAUAGAUUUGUUUAAAAAAUAUUGAAAAUAAAUACUAUUUCUUAGGGGAAAAGAUAUUUCGGGCUCACCUAUGGACUACCUGAUCAUCAAUAUAUUCCUCGAGUCUUGAUGUUCCUGAUGCCGUUGAUGAGAUAGAGAUGAGGGACGAACAAAGAGUUGAGAGGGUACGGCAACGGUGCAUCCUGCUUGAACUGGGUCUGGAGGAGGGGUUGUGUCCUAUUUCGACUCUCACGCCGGAGAGAGAGNNNNNNNNNNNNNNNNNNNNNNNNNNNNNNNNNNNNNNNNNNNNNNNNNNNNNNNNNNNNNNNNNNNNNNNNNNNNNNNNNNNNNNNNNNNNNNNNNNNNNNNNNNNNNNNNNNNNNNNNNNNNNNNNNNNNNNNNNNNNNNNNNNNNNNNNNNNNNNNNNNNNNNNNNCAUGUCCUUAGUCCUUCCGUGCACCACCUCUAUGCAUGUGGCUACUCCCCUCCCUCAUAUCAUCUCACCCGCAACUCUGCAUGUCCUAUCCUGAUCCUGUUCGAGCCCUGAUGUUGGUGUCAAGGGAAGCAACCGUGUUGGCGCAGUCGGCGUGCUCCUACUGUUGGUGGUCGUCAAUGGCAGAGCUAGACCAGGAAGACUCGGGGAGGGGGGCGGGCAAAGAGAAAAAACAAUUUCUAGGGGGUGCAAAAUCUCUAUUUUUUCCAAUCUAUAAAUCUCUAUAAAGAAUUUCUUCACUAUUUUUGCCCAGUCUGAGGGGCGACGACACCUGCAGGGAUGCAUGUUGCUCCGCCAGUGGUGGUCGUGUAUCAACAAAAGAGCAUCAAGCAUUGUAAACUCUUUACUAUCUAAUGGUCAUCUUAUUUUUGAAGUGGUCAACUAAAAAUAUGAAUUCAUGAUAAGACGAGGAAGAAUCUAACAGAUUGAGAGAUAGAGCUCGAUAUUUCACCAUGAUAGAUAAACUCUAAAAUAUCACGCAAACCCUAAAAUUUAUUUCAUACCGUUGUAACGCACAUGCUUUUUUUUUGCUAAAAUGUCAUCUUUUAUUAAAAAUAAGGAAAUUCCCACGUUUAACCAUAUUAUCAACAUUUAUUAAAAAUGGAUAUAAAAAUUGAUGCAUAAUGACACAUGCAGCAGGUUAUGCCCAUUUAUCCGCCCGGUGCAACGCACGGGCAUUNNNNNNNNNNNNNNNNNNNNNNNNNNNNNNNNNNNNNNNNNNNNNNNNNNNNNNNNNNNNNNNNNNNNNNNNNNNNNNNNNNNNNNNNNNNNNNNNNNNNNNNNNNNNNNNNNNNNNNNNNNNNNNNNNNNNNNNNNNNNNNNNNNNNNNNNNNNNNNNNNNNNNNNNNNNNNNNNNNNNNNNNNNNNNNNNNNNNNNNNNNNNNNNNNNNNNNNNNNNNNNNNNNNNNNNNNNNNNNNNNNNNNNNNNNNNNNNNNNNNNNNNNNNNNNNNNNNNNNNNNNNNNNNNNNNNNNNNNNNNNNNNNNNNNNNNNNNNNNNNNNNNNNNNNNNNNNNNNNNNNNNNNNNNNNNNNNNNNNNNNNNNNNNNNNNNNNNNNNNNNNNNNNNNUUGAAGGCACCAUAAGAGGCACCACGUUAAUCUUUAGAAUUAAGGAAUUUUGACCAUUCGAUUAAUAUAUAAUGUAUCUGCGGCCAUCAGAUGAAAAGUAAGACUUGAUGUCUAAUACUACCACGUAUUGGAGUCGUACUCCCUUGGGAAGUCUCCUUUUCCUAGGAAAAAGUAAAUCUUUCUUUAAAAACAAAAAACUGAGAAGUAUUUUUUUCUCAUGCUUAGCAGUUUAUAGUGUAUAUGUUAAGAACUCUUUGUCUGAUCGACCCAAACGAGUCCAUGCAUGCAUGUUACGUGAGGGAAGUGUAAACUACCCUUCUAACAAUCAAUUUACAAAAUAACCAUUAGAUCUUAACUCAUUGUAUUCAUGUGACUUGCCUGAGAUGGACUCCUAUCUAUCCACGGCCUUCCCUCACCCUCCCUCAAAAAAAAGAAACAAAGGGAAAACACAUCUAAUCGCUUUUUACAGAUGUAUAUUCUGCUCGCUCAAGCGCUAUGAGGACAUCCGGGUGGCAGCAGCAGCGUUUCAAUCUCGCCUAUGACGGCAGCUUUACACACGGCAGGAAGGCAUCAUAAGUCCACAUCAAGAUCGUCCCGCUGCCAUCAGCAGCUUCACACGCAAACGUGCCGGCGUCUCGCAGGCAACACCAGGUUCUCGCAUUGAGACGUGUCCAGUUGUUUGUUUGUAACCAUCGGAUGAUGUAUCUCAUAGUCCUCACGUAUUGUCCCACGUCCACCCGAUCGUCCCACAGACGGGCCGUGAUCAUCUCCCCGGCAUCGUUGGAUUUCAUGUGGCGCAGGCCUCAAAUCGCCGAGUGCUUUCUGACGAGAUGGUGUGCAACUAAACACGAAGCUGGAAUUAGGAGGUAUGUAGAUGCUAUUCUUCUGAAGAAAGCCCCUUGAUUGAUUCCUCAAGUAGACUAGCUCACACACGUAGUAAUCAAUCUCACUGUGUUGUAUCCCAUGCCAACAGGUCAUAGGCUAUUAUUCUUACCUCACAACGUUGACAAGUAAUCUGUUAUCAAACUGAAUUUAUAAUUUAUGCAGGCGUCAGAUUGGACGACGUUGAGGCGGGCGUGCACCAGCAGGACUGCAUGCCCUACUCCACGACGCUGUUCUCGGACGCGGGAGUGCGGGAGGACGUGAUACGGCCAUGUGGGCUGCACGAACUGCAUGCAGACGAGACCCCAAGCUGCACUUCGGCCUCUGCCUUGGACGAGAUCCCUAUGCACUGCAAGGCCCGGUCAACAAAAGCGUUGUUGGCCCUGACCACCGAUCCUUGCCUCCACCAUAUAAAGUAAGUAAUUUAUUCAUUAGCGCACAUAGUAAUCAAUCUCACUGUGUAGUGUCCCGCGCCAACAGUUCAUAGCACAUUAUUCUUACUUUGCAACAUUGGCAAGUGAUCUGUUAUCAAACUGAAUCCAUGAUUUAUUCUAAAGCCCACUAACUUCAUCACAUUAUCCCCAAUAAAUAAGACCGAUCUCUAAGAUCUGUAUAAAUGGAGGUCAAAGUCUGUAUGUAUUUGUCAACUAUCUGCACACAUCAUAAGAUUGUGCACUAUCGCGAGCAGUGGAGAAUCAGAAAGUUUAAUAUUGCAGCGCCACCAGCAGUAACAUGUAAACCCUGCAGUAGCACUUCUACAUUAAUACAAGCAUACAGUUUGAAAUUUAUAUGAGGCUUUCUGAUGCUCUUCAUGUUACGUACCAUCACUGAAUCUCUAAUUAUCUGAAAGGCAUAUCUAAUAUUUUCUUCCAGCAUUAAUCAGAGGUGUCUUGCGCAACCUUCAACUAUUAUCCUUACAUUUUGCAUUUAAGUUAUACAACCUUAAAAGAAUUCUCAUUGACAUGUCUAAUAGAACUGUCGUGCAUGCAAAAAUUGAGCUAGAUGCAUGUAGUACUUGAAUUACACCUGCUUUUGUUUACAUCGUUACCCAUUUUAUAUGGCGAAAGGACUCAAGGUCAGCAUUUGUUUAAUAUAAGACAAUCAUAUAAGAUUUUGUUGCAACUGUAGUUAGAAAACCCAUAUUAUUUGGGUAGCUUUGUUUCGAAUAGUAGAUAUGAUCGUCCAGUCACGGUUACAACAUACUUAGAAUUAAAGCUUCCACCUCCUUAAAAUACAGAAAGGUAUUUUCUGUCAUGACAUGUCAAAGUGUCCUUUUAGUGAUUUCACAUUUAUAAAAAGAGUUGUGUAGAAGCUACACUUGAAACGCUAAAUAAAAAUGUAUUUCGGCAAGCUUAUGCAAGAAAAGAAUAAUUGUGUGCUGAUGACGAAUUGGAUUUAGAAUCAUUUAUCUCAAAACUUUACAUUAUUUUAGUUACUGCCACUUCUGCCCUCGCAGGUCAACUUGAGUCUCCACUUCUAAAGGUAUUGAUUGAUUUGUCACUCCAUGGGUUUCUAGAUCUUUUAUUUUAUCUCCCUACUGCCACGAAAUAUGGCAUUUUCUGGAAACUAUAUGUUCAAUCGAGUGGGUUUGCUGACGGCUGUGGGAGAAUUCAAGUGUGAUUUUCAGAGUUGUAUUAUGAGAUUGAGCUAUUGUGUUCUUAUAUUUGUCUUUGGACUAAUUAUUCCUGCACUAUCUUAUAUAAAUUUGUUAGAUAAAGUUUUCUACUCCUGAUUUUGAAAAUGGCAUUGGCCACAAAGUGUAUGACACAUAGGGAUAUGCUCAUAAGAAAGGUUACUUGAACUUACCUAAAUGAGUUAGCUAUUUGUGAGUUUGCCUUUUACUAAAAUGAAAGAAUCUACACAGUAUUGUAAUAAAAGAAAUCUAAUUCCCCAACUCAGAUAAUGUUCAUCUCUAUACCUCACAGUACUCUUAGCUGCGCAAUAUGAUAAUAUGCCGACACUGUUUCUUAUUUAGAGUUUUGCAUGCAGGUUUUGUUUUGAAACAAUCACUGGAAAUAGUAAGUAUGCGCUUUUAUAUUUCCGACCUGCAAGAUAAGUGGAAAGUAACGAGUGUUCUAUAUUGUGCUACUUUGCCAAGGUGCAUGCUCUUUAACCAAUUUGGUAAAAAGACAAUUGAAUGUUUCAAGACUUAUUACUUCUUUUUUAUUAGUGUUUCUUAUUAACCUAGAAGCCCAAAGAAAUUAGGUUGAUAAACUGGGUGUACUCUACGCUUCUCAUGCUUGGAAGAAUAUAUUUUUAUGAAAUGAAGUUAAUUAUUGUGGCUCUUUUCAGCACUCAAGUAGAGUUUCCUGCUAAGUGCUGCCAUAAUCAACUCAAUAUUGCUACAACCAUUGGUAGGGCGAACAAUACAACCUCUAUGCAUCUGAUUCCGUUAGCAUUACUUAGUUUAUGACUGAUGUUGUGCUUGAAAAUUUGCGAGUUUUUUACAUUAUGCUUUAAUCCUGAAUUGCAUAUGUUCCUUUGGUAAUCCAAUUUAGCAUGAUUUAAUUUUUAGGUGCAACGAGUCGUCAAAAAUUUAGCAGCCUUAGUGACAUCGAAGAUUCAGAAAUUAGCCCACCUAUAAUGAUAACACAGAUGAUCUUACAAUCCGUUCGAAGGGAACUAAACUCUGUAUUUUUUUUCAUAAAGCAUAGCAUCUUCGUAUCCAUUCAAAGGAAGUAAAAUUUUAUACCAACAUAUCAAUGCAGGAGAAGUAGAGAAAGAGCGUGGGUGGGAAAGGACACUAUGGAGUCAAUGUAUGCUACUGAUCUAAGUGAUAUAUGAUGUCGGGUAAUAUGGUUUAUUCUUCUCAAAGUUUAAUUUCUAGCCCGUGCAGCCGCACGGGUGGAAGACUAGUUUUUAUAAUGUUGUCAGAAACAUCACAACUCCAAAGUCAGAGGAAUGGAAUUGCACCUCACUGAGUAUAAUGUAUCAUAACCUACAACAAAGAUAGUAAGUGAAAGGCUUAAUUGGGGAUUAAAAAAAUCGACUUUGCUGCUAAAAUAAAUCCUACUAGGUUAAAGAAAAAGAUAAAUCACUAAUACAUAGAACAUGGCAUGCUUGAUGCAUCAUACCAUUACCCAUCAAUAAUAUUGCUGAAAAGGCACGAGAAAAACAGAUGCAUAUAUUAGCAAUCAAACGCUUUCGUGAGACAAAUAGAAAAAAUUAGUAUCACACUCUGUAAUAUAAAAAGAUAUAUGUUGUCUGAUGUCCCCAUGAAAGAGCAACUCCACGAAGUCCAUGCAGGAGCAUGUGGCGUUGAUAGCCUUGACCGAGAGAGUGGGCGGUGUGGGAAAGUCGUACUUGAUGAUCGAGGUGGAUUUCUCGACACUUGUCACCCCUGAUAGCGGUAGGCUAUGAACCAUAGCCUGCACUCACAUUAAAUGCCUGGCCGGAACGUGACCUCACACGGCCUCUGUUAAACCUGUCUGCAUGCGAGGCAUGUGUGCUGAGGAGGCCCCUGUUCGGGACACCUAGCACCAUCCCAAAACGUCACUACUGACGUUUUAUGUAGAUCUGGUUUAAAGAGGGUAGAUUUACUUGGCAGUAAACCUACACAAAGGGGGCAUACUGUCACGCCAUUGGCUCCUUCUGGAUGUUGUAGUACUAAUUAUGAAGAGGAUUUUAGUGUAGUUUCUUAUUGUACCGAGGGUUCAAAAUUUCAGCGAAAUUUUGCAUAUUUUGGUGGGGUUCAAAAUACUUGCAACCCUGAAAUUUUGAGCCAAAUUCAAACUAAAAUUUAAAUUAUCUUAAAAAUCAUUUAAAAAUAUUGAUUUUUGAAACUCAAAAUCCGAAAUAAGUUCUGAAUUUCCGAAAUUUUGCAUAUUCCGGUGACGUCCAAAAAUUUCCAUGACCGAAAUUAAAAACCUUAGCAAGGUGGCUUUUUGGGCAGGUCCAUCUGUUGUAGUUACGCUCGGGGUACCCCGGUUUUAAAUACACCGACAUGCAUAGUGCACAAAAUCAAGAGGGGCAACUAAAAAAGAAAGUUUUUUCAUGCUCCAUUAGCUAGCGUAGUCUUCUACUAUCAAUAAAACCAAAAAAUAAAUCAAAUGUCAGUGAGUUAGAUCUAAAAGUUGGGAGUUGUCCAAGUGCAUGUCAUGCCCAUAAGUCAACACCAAUGGGUUGCUAGGGUAACUCUCGCCGCCAUUUCAUUUGUAAAUAGAGGUUUACACUUAUAGUGUUGGAUGACUUGUUUUCGUUUUAAUAUCAAAAGAUUAUUUUGUUAGAAAACAGAUUUUUAUUUUUCUGCUUAGAAAGCUCAUUCAUCUGGAAAAGAAUUAUGGCUAGUGUAGUGAAGUUACUAGCUUUUUUUGGUAGACUGCAGCCCUCAAAGAUGGCUUAACACUUUAUUAUUAGCAGUUUAAGCAAUGUACAGAGAUAAGUUUACCCCUUUGGAAGGAGAUGGAUUUGAUUCAUUCCUUAGGAAGACUUUGAGAGAAGCUUCAUUAGGAAUUGCUGCAUGGUUAUACUCUCUAUGCUGCAUCAACAUUGGCUAGGUAUCCUGCUUGGCAGAUUUGUUUAACAGAAGGCCUCCUUUCUUCCUCACUAUUCUCCAGUAAACCCGCAUUAAGCAUCGCUUUGGUAGCAUGGAUAACAUUUCUUGACAUGAGACUGAGCUCUACUCCUGACUUGAGAUAUAUAGAUUGCAACAUAUGCAAAGGAAAUGCUUGCAAGUUGCAAUGGCAUAACAACGGAAGAAAAUGCAUUUCACAACAUGAUUAACACGAACCAUAAUAUCCUCCGAUUUGAAUACAGUACCCAACAAUGACAUUAAAGAUGAAUUGCAUCUACUAAUUAACAUCACCCAAAUAGUUUCAGCUGCAACUCCAAAAUAAGCACGAACUGCCUUGAAUGCACCGUUUGUUUCCCAUCAGCAGCAGCGGACCUAAUCACACCAAUGCGUCGGACCAAGGGGAGAGCUUAUCGAUGCGGAUGUGCAGGGGAACUUCCAUGGAUGCCCUGUCUCCUGCUGCUGGCACUAGGUACAUUGGCAGCACCGUCAAGAACGUGGCCUCGCCCGCGGCAACCACGGCGCCGGGCGACGAGCUGAUCCUCAUGUGCAUGUCCACGAGCACCAUGUCCUCCUUGCCGCCGUUCGCCACUGCUGCCGGGGGUGUCUCCAGGUUGACCCACAUCUUGCACGUGAACCGUGGCCGCGUCGCCGCUCUCGCCCUAGCGCACACCACAGACACGGCGGUCACGCCGGCGCCGAGCGCCCCCACGGUCAUGAGGAAGACGCAGUUGUCGUCGCCGAGGAGCACCAGCUGCGUGGUCGACAUCGGUAGUUGAAGCUUGCUGACCUUGCCGUACUGCACGACGCGCACCGGCACCAAGUGGACAGUGUGGAGAUGACCGGCGAGCGCCUGCGGCGCGCCGACGUAGCCGCAGCCGGGCUCAGUACACUGGCAAGGCGCGUGCGGGCACGCUUUCUGGUGCUCGGCGACCUCGUGGUAGGUCACGUACCACUGGCAGCCGGCGUUGGGGCACCCGAUCCUGGUGGAGGACACCACGGCGUCCAGCGCAGGGCAGGGGUCGAAGAAGCCGCCGUCGUCCACGCAUGCCUUGCACUGCCCGAAGGGCAGCAGGGCCACGCAGCUGCCGCAGGCCGGGUGCCCCGCUUUGCACUGCAGGCAAGCACACAAAUCGGAGACGGCCCGUAAAUUAGCACGAAAGAAUUGAUCUAUCACCGGCGCCAAUCGAGGAAGAAAGAAGGAAACAAAGAGAGGAACCUGGAAGACUUGGGGCUUGAAGGGGAGGGUGCAGAGGGGACAGUGGAGCACUUGCUUGUCGAUCCUCACGGCGAGUUCCACUCGCUGGAUGUACGUUGCCCCAACGAUGGCGCCUCCAUCUCCUCCACCGGCCGCCUCUUGCUUCAUGUGUCCGUCGGGCAGGUCCAGCCGCUCCUUCUAGGACCUCUCGUCGGCCAUGUUAGGCGAAGCCCUGCUCCUCCUCUCGGCGGCCACGGCGGCACCCUGCAUCUUGGCUGGCCUUUGGGGAAAGAAAACUCCUGUGUGUGUGUGUCUCACGCCAAACUUUUUCAGGAGGUGGGUGAGGAGUAGAGCAGAGAUCUGAGAACAAAAGUUGCCUAGGCAGCCACACUACACUAUAAAUGCUUCCUCAUUGUGCUUUCCAUUCCCAAACUUAUAGUUAUAGAUAUAAGCCGUGCUCUUAAUCAAUUUCAUUAUUGCUAGUUUAUCCAUACAUUAAUGUUGCCUUUCUUUUAAGUACCUACAAGUGUGUGAUAAAAAGGUUGACCAUUGCAGAUCCAUGUUAUUUUUAGAAAAAUCGAGGAACAUCAAUGUAAGCACAUUGUUUUUUUUUCUCCGUAGCUUCCUGCUUAAUUGAUACACGGUGGAGUACUUUUGACUCCAUCGCCAGAUUAUAACACCAUCGCCAGAUUAUAACACCAUCAAACACGUGGGAGCCCAUAAAAACAAAAGGAUACAUGUGUAAGCACAAGGGAUACGUGUGACAAAUAGUACAAAGGAGCACACAAACGCAUCACAACUUUUCACCUAGAUCACGACACAUUCCGCCUUUCUCACUGUUAUCGAUAGACACAUACGCCAUCGCUGAUGUGUUGGCUGCCACCAGCAAAUAACAACAACAUGACCACAAGCCUCCAAAAGAUCCAUGGAAUAGGUACUAGAUUUUGGAGACCCCCGACGCCAAAAAUCUUGAUUAGCUACUUGCAUGAAGUAGGAGAAAUAACCCCUUGAUUCGGCAGAUGCCAUCAAGAAACAAUGAGCAAUCCAUUUGUCACGACACCACGCAACCACCUAGUCCAGAGACUUCUAAGCAGGCAUCUGUAGCUGGAGGUUAUAGAGACACAGGGGGAUAACCAAAGAUGACACCAACCAAGAUCAUCCUCGCAUUAGUGCGUGAGGAAGGCUUGAACAAUGUUGCUAGAGCACGAAAAAGCUAACACUAUGGAUUAUGUGGAAAAUCAAGUAUCGGCUCCCAACCAACCUGCGAUAACCACCAGGUGAUGGAACAUAGAGGGUAGAAAAUAUAUCCAAGAUUACAAUAGGGGCUAAGCUUCACAUAAUAUCCUAGAAAUAACAUAGUGGAGAAUAGGUAGUAGGAAAGCUUACUUGAACCUAAGGAGAGACAAGAAUAGAAGGACCUCCAGAUCAGAACACGAACCGCCAGCAUAAUCUCCAAAUCAGAAUGUGUGAGAAAAGAUCUAGGCAGGACAAAACAUAGGCAAUGAUUAUUUAAUGGGGAAAGCAAAGUUAAACCACGAGGAGCAGGAGUUCGCAGAGGAUGACACCUAUUCCUCACUAGUAGAAAAAGUGCCUAAUGUUCAGCCCUUUAGUCCCGGUUUGUAAAUGAACCGCCACUAAUGUGAACAUUAGUGCCGGUUCGAACGGCUAUGCAUUAGUGCCGGUUCAUUUCUGACCUAUAGUCCCGGUUGUUUGUAUCAAAAAUUGGGACUAAAGGGGUGGUGGCAGGCUCGCGUCAGGCCGGGGCCCCACGAGCCCCUUUAGUCCCGGUUUGUGACACAAACCGGGACUAAAGGGCCAACCUAUAGUCCCAGUUUGUAUCAUAAACCGGGACUAUAGGGGUGUAACCUUUAGUCCCGGCUAGAGACACAAACCGGGACUAAAGGGCAAUUUUCAAACUCUACCCCCCGAUAUCGCCUUUUCUGUUUUGAAAAGAACAAAAGGAAAUGAUAAAAACUUCAAAAAUUUAAAUCCUUCGAGAUGUAGUUAUGUUACUACAUCUAGUAGUUAGGGAAAUUUAAAAACAUAAAUUUCGACAUGUUUUGCAAAAAAGUGUUAGGAAAAAGUAAAACGACAAUAUCUUUUGCAUAUGAUGUCGAAAAAACCUGCAUAAUAUAUCAAAAAAUCAGCACGAAAAUCAGCAUUCGCCGCCCUCGUGCCCGUGCGCGCACCCCCUCAGCGACAUGGGAUGUCGCCGUCGACCGAUACCUCUCAGCGCCGCCAGUUGCCGUCCUCCCGCCCCCCGUUCGUCGAUCGCGCGAUGAUAUGAUGUUUGAUUUACAAGUGAAGAACAUUAUGUGCUACCUUGAAGACUUCAACAACGGCGUCCUGGAGGAUGAUAACGACAACGACGGUGCGGCAUGCCAACUCCACCGCCGCCGGAAAUAGUAUUUUUUUUCGGGUUUAGUAUUGUAUCUCAGAUUCUCGAUCAUAUGAAUAUAAAUUCGCAGUGUGACUAAAUGAAAGAUAUGGUUUAAACGAACUUGCGUUUUUCUCUCUUAAUGUACAUACUUAUCAAACAAUUUUCUUUUGAAAAAAUGUCAAUGGUUUUUAAAUAUAAAACACUCAUUGCAAACGUUUUAGUUAGAGCACCGGUAUGCAAACCGACAACUUCUCCAGGAAUCGAAGGGAAAAUGUGUUGAGCAGGAUUUCUGCAGCUCUUGAUUACAAACGUUUUAGAUAGAACACCCGUAUGCAAAGUGAAAGUUAUGGUCUUUCCCCUUAAGUCAAGAAAAUAUUCGCAGCGCAGGAUUUGUGCAUCCCUUCAACGCAAACGGUUGUUUUGGAUGACCCGUGUGCAACCACGUAUAAACAAUUUGGUAAGAUUUGCAUCUGUCAUAUUGGCUAUGUUGCCAUUUGUCAAACUGGAAAGAUUAACAUUUGUUGAUCUAGUAACAUUUUCAUUUGUCAACCUUGUAACACUGCGAUUUGUCAAAAUAUGCAGCUAAAAAUCACUAGCACUAUCUAAUUUUUGCAACUAAAGUUUAAUAAUUAAGCAUAAAUUUCAUUCAUAGAUUAAGCAGUCAUUCUUUAUUUAUACAAACAGUACAACUCGACACCUGAACCGACCAAACAUUUUCCUAAUUGUUGCCAACCACGUACUUGAAUAGCUAGUUUAACUAUAUAUAGUAACUAAUUUUAAGUACGUUGUACAGUUCCAUCACAUCUAUAGUCAGAGGAACUGAACAAAAUAGCCCCUAAAUACUACUACUACUACCAAGGGGCUUUGUACUACUUCUGGCAGCCUCUCCUCUGCCGAGCGAGCUCAGUAAGAGGCAGAGGAGGAGGAGCCUACCGACGAGCUGGACAACUGCAAUACGGUGCAUGCCGUUGCUGCAGCUUCACCGACGCUCACUCGAACGCCCUCUGCCGCUCUAGACGAACCCUCUCGAAGCGGUGGUUCUCCUCAUAGAUCUCAUGAUUCCUCGCCUCUGAGGUGACGUGUGUCGCGGCCAUGGUGGCGGAAAGGCUCUUUGCAUGCUCGACAAGGUGGUCCUCCUCCUCCUCCCGCAGAAACUCGGUGUAGCGCGCAAGGUCGCUGACGCAUGUGCGGGCCUCCACGUCGGCUUCCCGCCUUCUGGCGGCGGUGGUGGAGCGGGUGAUGACCCCGGCGGACGAUGGUGGGCUGGCGGCCACGGCAGCCAAUGAUGGGUUGGCGGCCACAACCGCCACCUCCCGCCUUCGAGCCGCGGUGGCGGAGCGGUGAUGGCCGGCAGUGGGGUGGCGGCCACGACGGCCACCUCCCGCCUUCGGGGUGCGGCAACGGCGGCCGGCAACAGCUACCGACGGGCAGCGGCGGCGGAGCGUGUUGUGGGUGUUCCGCCACACCCAAUAGGGACGCCACGCGCACUACACUAUGCCGGGGACUGCGCCGCCGCCGUGGUGUAGCCUCCCAGCUGGAGCUGUCCUCUAAUGACCGCGGAGUGGUUGAGCGACGAUGACGGACUAGUGACAUUGGCGAUUGUGGGACAAGCAGACGAGAUAAGCUACAAGGAGGGAGGCGAAAAUGUGACGCAGGACUCGCCGGUCGUGAGAGUUUAUAUAGCAUGCCAGUAAGCAUUGGGAUUUUGGGGGAUUUCACCGAGUCGGGCGGGAAGCUUGCGCAGGAACCUGCGAGGUUGCGCGGGAACAGGCUAACCGACAACUCAUUGGCGCCACUUCGAGCCACCGUUUGGCCAAAAGAACGGCCCCGCGCACUGCGCAAGUUUGCGUUGUAUGCCGUCUGCAGCAGCGGGGCGACAAGACGUGCGAGAGGAGGACGAAAGGCCACGUACACAUACAGUUAAUACAAAAAAAACGUUUGCGGUUUAAUUACCUACUAUACCCCCGUCCUAGUUUAUAAGUAAGAUUUAACUAAUAAAAUAUGAAUGCAUGUCGCCAAAUAUUAUAUAGUUGGAUUCGUAUUUGAACAUAGUUUCCAAUUAUAUAAUUUUUAUAACAUGCAUUAACAUUUUGUUGGUUAAAUUAAGGGCAAAGUAUGGCACAGAAUAUAAAGGGGACUAUAGACCAAGACGGAGGUAGUAGUACACAUCCGCUCUCUAUGCAGCAAUGCAACUAUCGGCUGGCUUGUAGGCUACCAUUUCCUACGUGUUCAACGGCUCUAUGCGUGUGGUUGCUUGUGGAUGAGGCGGCCGCGGCAUGCUCUGCUCGCGUCCCACCACGCGCGCUCUGCUCUAGCAUCCCUCCAGGUUCUCUGCCCUCGUCCCUCCACACGCGCUACCAGUGUUUGGGGCCAGUGCAUGAUCACACACGUUCAUGUGUAUGCGGAUGCGCCAGGCGCGGCGUGACGAUGCAGUUACCCGCUGCAAAAAUUGCCAUGCGACGCGCCAAGAAUCCAGGCCGCCCGGCCCCUUUUUAUUCCUGCGGCCAUUUACCUUCAUCUCUCCCGUCACACGACACAAUAAACACACCCACGACGACACAUACAGAGAGGACAUCCAGUGGUUCCAAUGGUGUUCCCAGCGGCCGGCGACGACAACGGUAGGCAGUUCACUACGCAUCACAUCAUGGACACCCACAUGAGGGGGAAGGCCCUCUCGGUGGUGUACACAAACGAUCCGGUCUCGGUGGAGAGCUCCGUCCAAACUAUGGAGCAGUUCCUUGGCGAGGAGAAGUACCCAGUGGUAGGCUUCGACCUCGAGUACACCAUCUGUCGUGUCGGGCACGAUCAGAAGGUUACCGUCGCCCAGUUUUGUGUGCGACAUGACGUCCUCAUCUACCACUACCACCUGGCCACAAGGCCUUGUGAGCGUUUCUCUAGGUUUAUCAAUAACUCCGACUAUAGUGCACACCGCCAACGAUCUAAAAGCGCUCAAGGUUUCGGGCUUGAAAUGCCUUAAUCUUGUCAACAUCCAGCACCACUACAAGGUCUGGGGCAGCGACAACAACAAACUGAACUCCCUGGUUGACCUCGCCUCGGCCAUCAUCGACCCCUACUACACGAAGAUGAAGGAUGUGAGCAAGAAGGACAAGAUUACCUGGCACAGUCUUUGGCAUGUGAGACUAGAUGAACAACAUGUCAAGUACGUGGCCAAGGCCGCGUACACAAGCUACGAGAUGUACAGGCGGAUCAUUGACAUGAGGAACUGUCUUCUUCCUACCCCACGCGAGGGAUCGAGCCACAGAGCAGUGGCGGGAGCGUCACAAGAAGUAGAUGACUAGACAAUCGUUUCUCCUACUUUAGAAAGCAUGCAAUUGUUUAUUGAGGUGUGUGCGAAUGAUCUGUAUAGUCACUUAUGUAAUUGGAUGUUUAUUUUAGUUAUAUAUAUAAAUGUUAUUCUUCUGUAGACAGAGCAAAUCACACGGCUUAUUAGCAGCAAUCGUCGGUGUUAUUAUUGGUCUUCGCACACAUUUAUGAUUACGAACCUGUGUGCCGCGUAUCACACACAUCUUGUUCAGUUGAACCGUUUUCAUUGUGUUGCCUAAUCACACACAGUUCAUCCUAGUGGACUGUAUGCCGUAUAUCGCGCACACACUCAUCUGGCUGCCCGUUUCUGUUGUUCUGCAUCAUUCGCAAACAGUUCUUCUGGAUUAGCCGUUAUCCACUAAUUGCACAUGUUUUGCACAUUUUUGAUGGUUUUUUACACCACCGUUUUCGGUUAUUGCAUCGCACACAGUUUCGCCGAAGGGUCUCUGAUUCGACUAUCGUGUUUGGACCAUCCUGCAGCAGUGGAAGAAGCACUCUGGAGCGGUCGGGAACAAGGGCAGAAUGGGGGCGAACACAAUACCGUACUUGAAGCUAUUCUCAAAGAUGCCGAGGGGGUGGCUCUGUGGUGGUUUGGAUAGAAAAGUAAGUGGAAUUGGGGCUUGAUGAGGAGGCCUCACCAAUGCUUGCAUAUGGUAGUUGAGCGGGAGAGUGAGUAUAUAUAGGUCCAAGGGGUGGUAGAGUAGGAUCUCCCUGAGCAUAUCAUCGUCGUCCUAUAGGGAGGUAGAUGCCUCUGGCGAGGUACUGCGAUAGCGGGUUGUUCCGACAUCCUCCUGACUAGCGUGGAUCUGGGGACAGAGGCACAUGACACGUGGGUGGGCGAGUCCGUCACCCUCCUCGGUGACGUGGAUCAUUCAAAGGAGGCUCACGUUGUUGCGCCGGCAAGCCAUUCUGGCAACAUCCUCAUUGGCGUGGAUCUGGGGAGAGAGGUGUGUGCCAUGUGGGUGGGCUAGUCCAUUGUCCUCCUAAAUGGCAUGGAUCUGGUAAGGAGACGUGCGUUUUAGCAGUGGCGGACAGCCAUUCUGGUAGCGGCAAGAUCUAGGGGAAUGAGGAACACAAGGGGAGUGAGGUGGGCUUUGUUUCGUGAGAGAAUUACUUAUUGGACACUACCAAAAUAUUUGCUUCCCUAUUUGAAGUUUUCUUCCCUAUCCGACACACUGUCAAAAUAAGUGUACUUUAAUGUGUCAUUUAACUUUGUUAGCUGCAAAAAUUGUCGGUAGUGUUAUAUUGAAAAUGAAAUUUAGAUCCGGUGUUAGAUAGGAGGAAACAAUUUUCCAGUGUCAAGUAGGAAGGGCAAUAUUUAGACAGUGUCUAAUAAGAAAUUUUGGUUUUCAUAACACAUUUUUUUUAAACUUGCACGAACAAUUUUUUAGAUCGUAUAACAUUUUUUUAAUGUCAGGAAUUUUUUAAUGGUAUUAAACACCUUUAUAAAGAUUAAAAGAACACUUCUUUUACAUUGUGUAAACAUUUUUUAAAAUCUCACAGACAUUUCUUUGAUACAGGUGAACAUCUUUCUAGUGUACCUUGUAGCCGGCUGUGUAGAAUACCGCUCCGACGAGGCUCAUCUUGAAACUUGCACGAAGAGCCAUGCGACACCUCACAUUGGUGUUGGGGUGGCACAAUGUGGUUUUCUGCUCCAGGUCUUCGACGAGGACGCGACCGUGGAGGCAAUCGAGCACAUAGAGGGAUGUUCCAGGGACGCUCUAGAGGGAUGUUGUCGGAACAAGGGCCAGAAUGGGGGCGAACACAAUAUCAUACAUGAUGCUAUUCUCAAAGAUGCCAAGGAGGGGCGGCUUUGCGGUGAUUUGCAUUGAAGGGAGGUGGACUUGGGGGGUCGAUGUGGAGGCCUCACCAGCACUUGCAUAUGGUAGAGGAGCAGGAUAGUGAGUAUAUGUCCAAGGGAUGGCAGAGGAGGAUCUCCCUGAUCAUAUCAUCGUCAUCCUGUAGGGAGGUAGGUGCCUCUCGCGAGGUGCUGCAACGGCAGGUGGUUCCGACAUCCUCCUCACUGGCGUUGACCUAGGGAUGGAGGCACAUGACACAUGGGUAGGUGCGUCACCCUUCUCGGCGGCGUGGAUCUAUAAAAGGUGGCUCGUGUUGUUGCGGCCGCUAGCCAUUCUGCCAACCUUCUCAUUGGUGUGGAUCUAGGGAUAGAGGCGAGUGGCAUGUGGGUGGGCAAGUCCAUUGCCCUCCUAAAUGGCAUGGAUCCGGGUAAGGAGACGUGCAUUAAACAGCGGCAGCCAGCCAUUCCGGUGGUGUCAAGAUCUAGAGGAAUGAGGAACACACGGGGAGUGGGUGGGGUUUGUUUCAUGAGAGAAUUACUUAUUGGACACUACCAAAAAAUUGCUUCCCUAUUUGACGCAUUCUUCCCUGUUUGACGUACGUUAACGUGUCAUUUAACUUUGUUAUCUAGAAAAAUUGAUGGUAGUGUUAUAUUGAGAAUGAAAUUUAGCUCUGGUGUUAGAUAGCAGAAAACAGUUUUCCAUUGUUAAAUAGGAAGGGCAAUAUUUAGACAGUGUCAAAUAAGGAAUUUUGGUUUUCAUCGCACAUUUUUUUAACUUUUGCAAACAAUUUUAUACAUUGUAUAACCUUUUUUAAAUUUUUGGAAUUUUUUAAUGGUAUGAAACACUUUUAAGAAAGAUUAAAAGACCACUUCUUUUUACAUUGUGUAAACAUUUUCAAAAAUGUCACAGACGUAGGUGAGCAUUUUUCAAAUGUCACGAACACUUUUUAAGAUGUUAAAAUUUUAUACAACUAGCAUCAAUAUUGUUUUACACUGCAUUUACAUUUUUUAAAUGUGCGAUGAAAACUUUUAAAUAUUUAAGUAAAGUAAUUUGGACAUAUGUUUUAAAACGUAGGUUAUCCAAAUCAAACUCAAGUGUGGCGCCCAUCCCAAUCAUAAACGACUAGUAAAUGAUAUUGCCAACAUGAGUGCUAGUACAACCACCAAAAUAAGUAGGGAAUCCAAACAAGUAUUUUCUCGAGCCUCAGCUUGUGAUUUGAUUGCGCCAUCUGUCAAUCUCUGGGAAGUAGACGUAGGAGAGGAGUUGAUUAUCCACUCCAUUCCAGGGACACCAAGCUCACCUUGAAGGGGAUGGAGUGUACCUUGUAGCUGACUGUGUAGAGCACUGCUCACGAGGCUCAUCUUGAAACUUGCACGAAGUCACUUCUCAUUGGUGAUGGGGUCGCACAAUGAGGUUUGCUGCUCCAGUCGAUCUUCGAUGAGGACGCGAUCGUGGGGGCAACCAAGCACAUAGGUAAUCCUAGGGGUGUUCAAGGGAGAAGCGCCCUGGAGGGAUGUGGUAGGGAACAAGGGCCAGAGUGGGGGCGAACACAAUACCAUACUUGAUGCUAUUCUCAAAGAUGCCUAGGAGGGGCGGCUUUGAUGUGGUUUGCACAGAAAUGAUGUUGGAAUUGGGGAUCGAUGAAGAUGCCUUAGCAGCACUUGCAUAUGGUAGAGGAGUGGGUGAGUGAAGUUCCAAGGGGUGGCAGAGGAGGAUCUCCCUGAUCAUAUCAUCGUUGUCCUGUAAGGUGGUAGGUGCCUCUCACGAGGUGCUACGACGACAGGUUGUUCCGACAUCCUCCUCACUAUCAUGCAUAUGAGGACAAAGGCACAUGACAUGUGGGUGUGCGAGUCCAUCACCCUCCUCGGUGGCUUGGUUCUGUGAAAGGAGGCUCACGUUGUUGCAGCGGCUAGCCAUUUUGGCAACCUCCACAUUAGCGUGGAUCUGGGGACAGAGGCGUGUCGCAUGUGGGUGGGCUAGUCCACUUCCCUCCUAAAUGACAUGGGUCUGGGUAAGCAGACGUGCGUUUAGCAGCGACGGCCAGCCAUUCCCUUGGCGCCAAGAUCUGGAGGAAUGAGGAACACAUGGGGUGUGGGGAUUUGCUUCGUGAGAGAAUUACUUAUUGGACACAAUGGACAUAUUUGAUUUCCUAUUUGACACUUUCUUCCCUAUCUGACAGACUGGCAAAAUAAGUGUACUUUAGUGUGUCAUUAAACUUUGUUAGCUGGAAAAAUUGACGGUAGUGUUAUAUUGAGAAUAAAAUUUAGAUCGUGUGUUAGAUAAGAGAAAACGGUUUUCCAGUGUCAAAUAGGAAGGGCAAUAUUUAGGCAGUGUUAAAUAAGGAAUUUUGGUUUUCAUCACACAUUUUAUUAUCUUACGUGAACAAUUUAUACAUUGUAUAACCUUUUUUUAAUGUGACAAUUUAUUUAAUGGUAUGAAACAAUUUUUAAAAAGAUUAAAUGAACACAUUUUUUACAUUGUGUAAACAUUUUAUUUAAAUGUCACAGACACAUAUUUGAUACAGGUGAGCAUUUUUCAAAUGUCACAAACACUUUUUAAGGGGUUAAAAUUUUAUAUAAGUAGCGCUAAUAUUGUUUUACACUGCAUUUACAUUUUCUAAAUGUGCGAAGAAAACUUUUGAAAAUUUAAGUAAUGUAAUUUGGAUAUCUGUAUAUUUAAAGAUUUAAAAAGUAGUUUAUCCAAAUGAAACUCAAGUGUGGCCCAUAUCCCAAUCAUAAACGACUAGUAAAGAAUAUUGCCAACAAGAGUGGUAGGACAACCACCAAAAUAAGUAGGGGACCCAAAUAAUUAUUUUCUGGAGCCUCAACUGUGGUUUGAUUGCACCAUGUGUCUGUCUCCGAGAAGUAAACAUAGGUGAGGAGUUGAUUAUCUACUCCACUCCUGGGACGCCAAGCCCACGUGAAGGGGCUGGAUUUUACCUUGCAGCAGGCUGUGUAGAGCACUGCUCCAGCGAGGCUCAUCUUGAAAUGUGUACGAAGAGCCAUGCAACACUUCUCAUUGGCGACAGGGUCGCACAAUGAGGUUUUCUGCUCUAGAUUUUCGACGAGGAAGCGACCGUGGAGGCAAUCAAGCACAUCAGUGGUCUUAGGGUCAUUCAAGCGAGAAGCGCUCUGGAGGGAUGUGAUCGGGAACAAGGGCCACAAUAUGGGCAAACACAAUAUAAUACUAGAUGCUAUUCUCAAAGAUGCCGAGGUGGCGCGGCUUUGCGGUGGUUUGCAUAGAAUUGGAGGUGGAAUUGGGGGUCGAUGAGGAUGCCUCACUAGCGCUUGCAUAUGGUAGAGGAGCGGGAGAGUGAGUAUAUGUCCAAGGGUUGGCAGAGGAGGAUCUCCCAGAGCAUAUCAUCGUCGUCCUGUAAUGAGGUAGGUGCCUCUGGCGAGGUUGUAUGGCGGUUGGUUAUUGCGACAUCGUCCUCACUAGCGUGGGUUUGGGGACAGAAGUACAUACAUGUGGGUGGGCGAGUCCGUCACCCUCCUCGGUGGCGUGGAUCUAAGAAAGGAGGCUCACGUUAUUGCAGCCGCUAGCCAUUCUGGCAACCACAUCAUUGGUGUCGAUCUGGGGACAAAGGUAUGUGGCAUGUGGCUGGGCUAGUCCAUUGCCCUCCUAAAUGGCAAGGAUCUGGGUAAGUAGACGUGCGUUGUAGCAGUGGUGGCUGCCAUUCCGGUGGCGUCAAGAUCUGGAUGAAUGAGGAACACAGGGGGAAGGGGAGGGGUUUGUUUCGUGAGAGAAUUACUUAUUAAGAACUACCAAGAUAUUUGCUUCCCUAUUUGACGCUAUCUUCCCUAUCUGACACACUACCCUAAUAAGUGCAUGUUAAUGUGUUAUUUAACUUUGUUAGCUGGAAAAAUUGACGGUCCUGUUAUAUUGAGAAUGAAAUUUAGAUCCGAUAUUACAUAGGACAAAAUAGUUUUCCGGUGUCAAAUAGGAAGGUCAAUACUUAGACAAUGUCAAAAAAGGAAUUUCGGUUUUCAUCACACAUUUUUUUAAUUUACACGAACAAUUUAUACAUUGUAUAACCUUUUUUAAGGUGAGGAAUUUUUUAAUGGUAUGAAACACUUUUCAAAAAUAUUAAAAGAGCACAUUUUUUACAUUGUGUAAACAUUUUAUUUAAAUGUCACAGACAUUUAUUUGAUACAGGUGAACAUUUUUCAAAUGUCACGAACACUUUUUAAGCUGUUAAAAUUUUAUAUAAGUAGCGUCAAUAUUGAUUUACACUGCAUUUACAUUUUUUAAAUGUGCGAUGAGAACUUUUAAAUAUUUAAGUAAAGUAAUUUGGAUAUAUUUAUAUUUAAAAUUUUAAAACGUAGGUUAUCCAAAUCAAACUCAAAUGUGAUGCCUAUCCCAAUUAUAGAAGACUAGUACAGGAUAUUGCCAACACAAGUGCUAGUACAACAACCAAAAUAAGUAGGGAACCCAAACAAUUUUUCUGGAGCCUUAGCUGUUAUUUGAUUGCGCCAUGUGUCAAUCUCCGGGAAGUAGAUGUAGGUGAUAAUAUUAUUAUCCACUCCAUUCCUGGGACACCAAGCCCACCUUGAAGGGGCUGGAGUGUACCUUGUCACCGACUGUCUAGAGCACCGGUCACGAGGGUCAUCUUGAAACUUGCACGAAGUCACUUCUCAUUAGUGAUGGGGUCGCACAAUGAGGUUUUCUGCUCAAGACCUUCGACGACGAGGUGCCGUGGACGCAACCGAGCACAUAGGUAAUCCUAGGGGUGUUCAAGGGAGAAGCGCUCUAGAGGGAUGCGGUCGAGAACAAGGGCCAGAGUGGGGGUGAACACAAUACCAUACUUGAUGCUAUUGUCAAAGAUGUCGAGGUGGGGAGGCUUUACUGUGGUUUGCAUAGAAACGGAGGUGGAAUUGGGGAUCGACGAGGAGGUCUCACCAGCACUUGCAUAUGGUAGAGGAGUGGGAGAGUGAGUAUAGUUCCAAGGGGUGGCAGAGGAGGAUCUACCUGAGCAUAUCAUCAUCGUCUUGUAAGGUGGUAGGUGCCUCUGGCGAGGUGCUACGACGAUGGGUUGUUCCGACAUCCUCUUCACCAUCAUGGAUCUGGGGACAAAGGCACAUGACAUGUGGGUGGGCGAGUCUGUCACCUCCUCGGUGGCUUGGUUCUGUGAAAGGAGGCUCACAUUGUUGCAGCGGCUAGCCUUUCUAGCAACGUCCUCAUUGGUGCGGAUCUGGGGACAGAGGCGUGUCGCAAGUGGGUGGGCUAGUCCAUUUCCCUCCUAAAUUGCAUGGGUCUGGGUAAGGAGAUGUGCGUUUUAGCAGCGGCGGCUAGCCAUUUUGUUGGCGCCGAGAUCUGGUGGAAUGAGGAACACAUGGGGUGUGGGGUAGGGUUUGCUUCGUGAGAGAAUUACUUAUUGGACACUACCAAAAUAUUUGCUUUCCUAUUUUACGCUUUCUUCCCUAUUUGACACACUUGGCAAAAUAAGUGUACCUUAAUGUGUCAUUUAGCUUUGUUAGCUGGAAAAAUCGAGGUAGUUUUAUUUUGAGAAUGAAAUUUAGAUCCUUUGUUAGCUAGGAGAAAACAGUUUUCCAAUGUCCAAUAGGAAGGGCAAUAUUUAGUCAGUGUCAAAUAAGGUAUUUCGGUUUUCUUCAUACAUUUUUUUUACUUGGGCGAACAAUUUUAUACGUUGUAUAACCUUUAUUUAAAAUGUGUGCAAUUUUUUAAUGGUAUGAAACACUUUAAAAAAAUAUUAAAAGAAAAAGUUUACAUUGUGUAAUUAUUCUUUUUCAGACAUUUCAUUGAUACAGGUGAACAUUUCUCAAAUGUCACAACCACUUUUUAAGCUAUUAUAAUUUUAUAUAAGUAGCGUCAAUAUUGUUUUGCACUCCAUUUACAUAUGGUAAAUGCACGAUGAAGACUUUAAAAAUAUAAGUAAAGUAAUUUGGAAUUAUGUGUUGGGGAACGUUGCAGAAAAUUAAAAAAUUUCCUACGGUUUCACCAAGAUCCAUCUAUGAGUUCAUCUAAGCAACGAGUCAAGGGGAGAGAGUUUGCAUCUACAUACCACUUGUAGAUCGAGUGCGGAAGCUUUCAAGGGGAUGGUGAUGAGGGAGUCGUACUCGCCCUGAUUCGGAUCACCGAUGACCAAGCGCUGAAAGGACAGCACCUCCGCGUUCAACACACGUACGGGACGAUCGACGUCUCCUCCGUCUUGAUCCAGCAAGGAGAAAGGAGAGGUUGAGGAAGACAACUCCAAUGGCAGCACGACGGCGUGGUGCAAUUGGUGCAACAGUUCUCCGUCAGGGCUUCGCCAAGCUCGUACGGAGAAUGAGAGGUGUUGGGGAGGGGAGGGGCUGCGCCUUCAAUUGUGUGUUGCAGCCCUCCCCUCACCCCUCUAUAUAUAGGAGGAGAGGGGCAAGAGGGGCCGGCCCUCUAGGGGAAACCCUAGAGGGGGGCGGCGGCCAAAGGGGAGAGGGAAAGAGGGAUGGCUUGCCCCCCAAGCUAGGGGGGCGCCCCCUUUAGGGUUUCCCCCUCCCAUGCCCUAGCCGCAUGGGCCUAGGUGGGGAGGCGCGCCCAGCCCACUAGGGGCUGGCUCCCUCUCCCACGCAGCCCAUGUGGCCCUCCGGGAGGGGUGGCCCCUCCCGGUGGACCUCCGGAACCCUCCCGGUGGCCCCAGUACAAUACCGGUAUGCCUCCGAAACUUUCCGGUGUCCGUUUAACAACUUUACAUAUAUAAAUCUUUACCUCCGGACCAUUCCGGAACUCCUCGUGACGUCCGGGAUCUCAUCCGGGACUCCGAACAACAUUCGGUAAUCACAUACUUGUCUUCCUAAUAACCCUAGCGUCACCGAACCUUAAGUGUGUAGACCCUACGGGUUCGGGAGACAUGCAGACAUGACCGAGACGACCUCAGGUCAAUGACCAACAGCGGGAUCUGGAUACCCAUGUUGGCUCCCACAUGCUCCUCAAUGUUGUCAUCGGAUGAACCACGAUGUCAAGGGUUCAAGCAACCCUGUAUUCUAUUCCCUUUGUCAAACGGUAUGUUACUUGCCCGAGACUCGAUCGUCGGUAUCCCAAUACCUCGUUCAGUCUCGUUACCGGCAAGUCACUUUACUCGUACCGUAAUGCAUGAUCCCGUGACCAGACACUUGGUCACCUUGAGCUCAUUAUGAUGAUGCACUACCGAGUGGGCCCAGUGAUACCUCUCCAUAACACGGAGUGACAAAUCCCAGUCUCGAUCCGUGUCAACCCAACAGACACUUUCGGAGAUACCUGUAGUGCACCUUUAUAGUCACCCAGUUACGUUGUGACGUUUGGUAUACCCAAAGCACUCCUACGGUAUCCGGGAGUUACACGAUCUCAUGGUCUAAGGAAGAGAUACUUGACAUUGGAAAAGCUCUAGCAAAACGAACUACACGAUCUUGUGCCAUGCUUAGGAUUGGGUCUUGUCCAUCACGUCAUUCUCCUAAUGACGUGAUCCCGUUGUCAAUGACAUCUGAUGUCCAUAGUCAGGAAACCAUGACUAUCUGUUGACCAACGAGCUAGUCAACUAGAGGCUUACUAGGAACGUAUUGUAGUCUAUGUAUUCACACAUGUAUCACGAUUUCCGGAUAAUACAAUUAUAGCAUGAAUAAAAGACAAUUAUCAUGAACAAGGAAAUAUAAUAAUAAUGCUUUUAUUAUUGCCUCUAGGGCAUAUUUCCAACAGUCUCCCACUUGCACUAGAGUCAAUAAUCUAGUUACAUUGUGAUGAAUCGAACACCCAUAGAGUUCUCGUGUUGAUCAUGUUUUGCUCGCGAGAGAGGUUUAGUCAACGGAUCUGCGACAUUCAGAUCUGUGUGCACUUUACAAAUUUCUAUGUCUCCAUCUUGAACAUUUUCACGGAUGGAGUUGAAGCGACGCUUGAUGUGCCUGGUCUUCUUGUGAAACCUGGGCUCCUUGGCAAGUGCAAUAGCUCCAGUGUUGUCACAGAAGAGUUUGAUCGGCCCCGACGCAUUGGGUAUGACUCCUAGGUCGGUGAUGAACUCCUUCACCCAAAUUGCUUCAUGCGCUGCCUCCGAGGCUGCCAUGUACUCCGCUUCACAUGAAGAUCCCGCCACGACGCUCUGCUUGCAGCUGCACUAGCUUACUGCUCCACCAUUCAACAUAUACAUGUAUCCGGUUUGUGACUUAGAGUCAUCCAGAUCUGUGUCGAAGCUAGCGUCGACGUAACCCUUUACGAUGAGCUCUUCGUCACCUCCAUAAACGAGAAACAUGUCCUUUGUCCUUUUCAGGUACUUCAAGAUAUUCUUGACCGCUGUCCAGUGUUCCUUGCCGGGAUUACUUUGGUAUCUUCCUACCAAACUUACGGCGAGGUUUACAUUAGGUCUGGUACACAGCAUGGCAUACAUAAUAGAUCCUAUGGCUGAGGCAUAGGGGAUGAUGCUCAUCUCUUCUUUAUCUUUUGCCGUGGUCGGGCAUUGAGCUGAGCUCAAUUUCACACCUUGCAGUAUAGGCAAGAACCCUUUCUUGGACUGAUCCAUUUUGAACUUCUUCAAAAUCUUAUCAAGGUAUGUGCUUUGUGAAAGACCUAUGAGGCGUCUCGAUCUAUCUCUAUAGAUCUUGAUGCCUAAUAUAUAAGCAGCUUCUCCAAGAUCCUUCAUUGAAAAACUUUUAUUCAAGUAGGCCUUAAUGCUGUCCAAGAGUUCUAUAUCAUUUCCCAUCAAAAGUAUGUCAUCUACAUAUAAUAUGAGAAAUGCUACAAAGCUCCCACUCACUUUCUUGUAAACGCGGGCUUCUCCAUAAGUCUGCAUAAACCCAAACAUUGAUCAUCUCGUCAAAGCGAAUGUUCCAACUCCGAGAUGCUUGCACCAGCCCAUAAAUGGAUCGCUGGAGCUUGCAUACUUUGUUAGCAUUCUUAGGAUCGACAAAACCUUCUGGCUGCAUCAUAUACAUCUCUUCCUUAAGAUAACCGUUAAGGAACGCUGUUUUGACGUCCAUCUGCCAUAUCUCAUAAUCAUAGUAUGCGGCAAUUGCUAACAUGAUUCGGACGGACUUAAGCUUCGGUACGGGAGAGAAAGUCUCAUCGUAGUCAAUCCCUUGAACUUGUCGAUAACCCUUAGCGACAAGUCGAGCUUUAUAGAUGGUAACAUUACCAUCCGCAUCCGUCUUCUUCUUAAAGAUCCAUUUGUUUUCUAUCGCUCGCCGAUCAUCGGGCAAGUCUGUCAAAGUCCAUACUUUGUUUUCAUACAUGGAUCCUAUCUCGGAUUUCAUGGCUUCGAACCAUUUGUUGGAAUCCGGGCCCGCCAUCGCUUCUUCAUAGUUCGAAGGUUCACCGUUGUCUAACAACAUGAUUUCUAGGACAGGGUUGCCGUACCACUCUGGUGCGGAACGUGUCCUAGUGGACCUACGAAGUUCAGUAGAAACUUGAUCCGAAGUACCUUGAUCAUCAUCAUUAAUUUCCUCUCCAGUUGGUGUAGGCACCACAGGAACAUUUUCCUGAGCUGCACUACUUUCCGGUUCAAGAGGUAGUACUUCAUCGAGUUCUACUUUCCUCCCACUUACUCCUUUCGAGAGAAACUCUUUUUCCAGAAAGGUUCCGUUCUUGGCAACAAAGAUCUUGCCUUCGGAUCUAAGGUAGAAGGUAUACCCAAUGGUUUCCUUAGGGUAUCCUAUGAAGACGCAUUUUUCCGACUUGGGUUCGAGCUUUUCAGGUUGAAAUUUCUUGACAUAAGCAUCGCAUCCCCAAACUUUUAGAAACGACAGCUUAGGUUUCUUCCCAAACCAUAAUUCAUACGGUGUCGUCUCAACGGAUUUAGACGGUGCCCUAUUUAAAGUGAAUGUAGUUGUCCCUAGAGCGUAUCCCCAAAAUGAUAGCGGUAAAUCGGUAAGAGACAUCAUAGAUCGCACCAUAUCCAAUAGAGUGCGAUUACGACGUUCGGACACACCGUUAUGCUGAGGUGUUCCAGGCGGCGUGAGUUGUGAAACGAUUCCACAUUUUCUUAGGUGUGUACCAAAUUCGUGACUUAAAUAUUCUCCUCCAUGAUCUGAUCGUAAGAAUUUUAUCUUUCGGUCACGUUGAUUCUCAACUUCAUUCUGAAAUUCCUUGAACUUUUCAAAGGUCUCAGACUUGUGUUUCAUCAAGUAGACAUACCCAUAUCUACUCAAGUCAUCUGUGAGAGUGAGAACAUAACGAUAUCCUCCGCGAGCCUCAACACUCAUUGGACCGCACACAUCGGUAUGUAUGAUUUCCAAUAAGUUGGUUGCUCGCUCCAUUGUUCCGGAGAAUGGAGUCUUGGUCAUCUUGCCCAUGAGGCAUGGUUCGCAUGUGUCAAAUGAUUCAUAAUCAAGAGACUCUAAAAGUCCAUCAGCAUGGAGCUUCUUCAUGCGCUUGACAUCAAUGUGACCAAGGCGGCAGUGCCACAAGUAUGUGGGACUAUCAUUAUCAACUUUACAUCUUUUGGUAUUCACGCUAUGAAUAUGUGUAACAUUACGCUCGAGAUUCAUUAAGAAUAAACCAUUGACUAUCGGAGCAUGACCAUAAAACAUGUCUCUCAUAUAAAUAGAACAACCAUUAUUCUCGGAUUUAAAUGAGUAGCCAUCUCGUAUUAAACGAGAUCCAGAUACAAUGUUCAUGCUCAAACUUGGCACCAAAUAGCAAUUAUUAAGGUUUAUAACUAAUACCGUAGGUAAAUGUAGAGGUAGCGUGCCGACGGCGAUCACAUCGACUUUGGAACCAUUCCCGACGCGCAUUGUCACCUCGUCCUUCGCCAGUCUCCGUUUAUUCCGCAGCUCCUGCUGUGAGUUACAAAUAUGAGCAACGGCACCGGUAUCAAAUACCCAGGAGUUACUACGAGUACUGGUAAGGUACACAUCAAUUACAUGUAUAUCAAAUAUACCUUUAGUGUUGCCGGCCUUCUUGUCCGCUAAGUAUUUGGGGCAGUUCCGCUUCCAGUGGCCCUUCCCUUUGCAAUAAAAGCACUCUGUCUCAGGCUUGGGUCCAUUCUUUGACUUCUUCUUCCCGGCAACUUGCUUACCGGGCGCGGCAACCUCUUUGCCGUCCUUCUUGAAGUUCUUCUUUCCCUUGCCCUUCUUGAACUUAGUGGUUUUAUUGACCAUCAACACUUGAUGUUCUUUCUUGAUUUCAACCUCUGCUGACUUCAGCAUUGAGAAUACUUCGGGAAUGGUCUUCUCCAUCCCCUGCAUAUUGUAGUUCAUCACAAAGCUCUUGUAGCUUGGUGGGAGCGACUGAAGGAUUCUGUCAAUGACCGCCUCGUCCGGGAGGUUUAUGUCCAGCUGGGACAGGCGGUUGUGCAACCCAGACAUUUUGAGUAUGUGCUCACUGACAGAACUGUUUUCCUCCAUCUUACAACUAUAGAACUUGUCGGAGACUUCAUAUCUCUCGACCCGGGCAUGAGCUUGAAAAACCAGUUUCAGCUCCUCGAACAUCUCAUAUGCUCCGUGUUGCUCAAAACGCUUUUGGAGCCCCGGUUCUAAGCUGUAAAGCAUGCCGCACUGAAUGAGGGAGUAAUCAUCAGCACGAGACUGCCAAGCGUUCAUAACGUCUUGGUUCUCUGGGAUGGGUGCAUCACCUAGCGGUCCUUCUAGGACAUAUUGUUUCUUGGCAGCUAUGAGGAUGAUCCUCAGGUUUCGGACCCAGUCCGAAUAGUUGCUGCCAUCAUCUUUCAGCUUGGUUUUCUCUAGGAACGCGUUGAAGUUCAUGGUGACAUGAGUGUUGGCCAUUUGAUCUACAAGACAUAUUGUAAAGAUCUUAGACUAUUGUUUAUGAUAAUAAAGUUCAUCUAAUCAAAUUAUUUAAUGAACUCCCACUUAGAUUAGACAUCCCUCUAGUCAUCUAAGUGUUACACGAUCCGAGUUGACUAGGCCGUGUCCGAUCAUCACGUGAGACGGACUAGUCAUCGUCGGUGAACAUUCUCAUGUUGAUCGUAUCUUCCAUACGACUCGUGUUCGACCUUUCGGUCUCCGUGUUCCGAGGCCAUGUCUGUACAUGCUAGGCUCGUUAAGUUAACCCUAAGUGUUUCGCGUGUGUAAAUCUGUCUUACACCCGUUGUAUGUGAACGUAAGAAUCCAUCACACCCGAUCAUCACGUGGUGCUUAGAAGCGACGAACUUUAGCAACGGUGCACAGUUAGGGGAGAACACUUCUUGAAAUUGUUGUAAGGGAUCAUCUUAUUUACUACCGUCGCUCUAAGUAAACAAGAUGCAUAAACAUAAUAAACAUCACAUGCAAAUAUAUAGUAGUGCCAUGAUAUGGCCAAUAUCAUAUAGCUCCUUUGAUCUCCAUCUUCGGGGCUCCAUGAUCAUCCUGUCACCAGCAUGACACCAUGAUCUCCAUCAUCAUGAUCUCCAUCAUCGUGUCUUCAUGAAGUUGUCACGCCAACGACUACUUCUACUUCUAUGGCUAAUGCGUUUAGCAAUAAAGUAAAGUAAUUUACAUGGCGUUCUUCAAUGACACGCAGGUCAUACAAAAAUAAAGACAACUCCUAUGGCUCCUGUCGGUUGUCAUACUCAUCGACAUGCAAGUCGUGAUUCUUAUUACAAGAACAUGAUCUCAUACAUCACAUAUAUCAUUCAUCAUUCAUCACAACUUUGGCCAUAUCACAUCACAUGACAAUUGCUGCAAAAACAAGUUAGACGUCCUCUAAUUGUUGUUGCAUCUUUUACGUGGCUGCAAUUGGGUUCUAGCAAGAACGUGUUCUUACCUACGAAUAACCACAACGUGAUUUUGUCAACUUCUAUUUACCCUUCAUAAGGACCCUUUUCAUCGAAUCUGCUCCAACUAAAGUGGGAGAGACAGACACCCGCCAGCCACCUUAUGCAACUAGUGCAUGUCUGUCGGUGGAACCGGUCUCACGUAAGCAUACAUGUAAGGUUGGUCCGGGCCGCUUCAUCCCACAAUACCGCUGAAGCAAGAUAAGACUAGUAGCGGCAAGCAAGUUGACAAGAUCCAUGCCCACAACAAAAUUGUGUUCUACUCGUGCAAAGAGAACUGCGCAUAAACCUAGCUCUGAUACCACUGUUGGGGAACGUUGCAGAAAAUUAAAAAUUUUCCUACGGUUUCACCAAGAUCCAUCUAUGAGUUCAUCUAAGCAACGAGUCAAGGGGAGAGAGUUUGCAUCUACAUACCACUUGUAGAUCGAGUGCGGAAGCUUUCAAGGGGAUGGUGAUGAGGGAGUCGUACUCGCCGUGAUUCGGAUCACCGAUGACCAAGCGCUGAAAGGACAGCACCUCCGUGUUCAACACACGUACAGGACGAUCGACGUCUCCUCCGUCUUGAUCCAGCAAGGAGAAAGGAGAGGUUGAGGAAGACAACUCCAAUGGCAGCACGACGGCGUGGUGCAAUUGGUGCAGCAGUUCUCCGUCAGGGCUUCGCCAAGCUCGUGCGGAGAAUGAGAGGUGUUGGGGAGGGGAGGGGCUGCGCCUUCAAUUGUGUGUUGCAGCCCUCCCCUCACCCCUCUAUAUAUAGGAGGAGAGGGGCAAGAGGGGCCGGCCCUCUAGGGGAAACCCUAGAGGGGGGCGGCGGCCAAAGGGGAGAGGGAAAGAGGGAUGGCUUGCCCCCCAAGCUAGGGGGGCGCCCCCUUUAGGGUUUCCCCCUCCCAUGCCCUAGCCGCAUGGGCCUAGGUGGGGAGGCGCGCCCAGCCCACUAGGGGCUGGCUCCCUCUCCCACGCAGCCCAUGUGGCCCUCCAGGAGGGGUGGCCCCUCCCGGUGGACCUCCGGAACCCUCCCGGUGGCCCCGGUACAAUACCGGUAUGCCUCCGAAACUUUCCGGUGUCCGUUUAACAACUUUCCAUAUAUAAAUCUUUACCUCCGGACCAUUCCGGAACUCCUCGUGACGUCCGGGAUCUCAUCCGGGACUCCGAACAACAUUCGGUAAUCACAUACUUGUCUUCCUAAUAACCCUAGCGUCACCGAACCUUAAGUGUGUAGACCCUACGGGUUCGGGAGACAUGCAGACAUGACCGAGACGACCUCAGGUCAAUGACCAACAGCGGGAUCUGGAUACCCAUGUUGGCUCCCACAUGCUCCUCGAUGUUGUCAUCGGAUGAACCACGAUGUCAAGGGUUCAAGCAACCCCGUAUUCUAUUCCCUUUGUCAGACGGUAUGUUACUUGCCCGAGACUCGGUCGUCGGUAUCCCAAUACCUCGUUCAGUCUCGUUACCGGCAAGUCACUUUACUUGUACCGUAAUGCAUGAUCCCGUGACCAGACACUUGGUCACCUUGAGCUCAUUAUGAUGAUGCACUACCGAGUGGGCCCAGUGAUACCUCUCCGUAACACGGAGUGACAAAUCCCAGUCUCGAUCCGUGUCAACCCAACAGACACUUUCGGAGAUACCUGUAGUGCACCUUUAUAGUCACCCAGUUACGUUGUGACGUUUGGUAUACCCAAAGCACUCCUACGGUAUCCGGGAGUUACACGAUCUCAUGGUCUAAGGAAGAGAUACUUGACAUUGGAAAAGCUCUAGCAAAACGAACUACACGAUCUUGUGCCAUGCUUAGGAUUGGGUCUUGUCCAUCACGUCAUUCUCCUAAUGACGUGAUCCCGUUGUCAAUGACAUCUGAUGUCCAUAGUCAGGAAACCAUGACUAUCUGUUGACCAACGAGCUAGUCAACUAGAGGCUUAUUAGGGACGUAUUGUAGUCUAUGUAUUCACACAUGUAUCAUGAUUUCCGGAUAAUACAAUUAUAGCAUGAAUAAAAGACAAUUAUCAUGAACAAGGAAAUAUAAUAAUAAUGCUUUUAUUAUUGCCUCUAGGGCAUAUUUCCAACAUUAUGUAUAUUUAAAUUUUGAAAACAUAGGUUGUUCAAAUCAAACUCAAGUACGGCGCCUCUCCCAAUCAUAAACGACUACUAAAGGAUAGUGCCAACAAGAGUGCUAGGACAACCACCAAAAUAAGAAGGGAACCCAAAUAAGUAUUUUCUGGAGCAUCAGCUGUGAUUUGAUUGCGCCAUGUGUCAGUCUUUGAGAAGUAAACGUAGGCGAGGAGUUGAUUAUCCACUCCAUUCCUGGGACACCAAUCCCACCUUGAAGUGCCUGGAGUGUACCUUGUAGCCGGCUGUCUAGAGCACUGCUCCAACAAGGCUCAUCUUGAAACUUGCACGAAGUGCCACGCGACACUUCUCAUUGGUUUUGGGUUUGCACAAUUGGGUUUUCUUCUCCAGAUCUUCAACGAGGACGCGACGGUGGAGGCAAUCGAGCACAUAGGUAAUCCUAAGGGCGGUCAAUUGAGAAGCCCUCUGGGGGGAUGCGGUUGGGAACAAUGGCAAGAAUGGGGGCAAACACAAUACCAUACUUGAUGCUAUCAAACAUACCGAGGAGGGGCGGCUUUGUGGUGGUUUGCAUAGAAACGAAGGUGGGAUUGGGGGUCGAUGAGGAGGCCGGACCAACGCUUGCAUACAGUAGAGAAGCGGGAGAAUAAGUAUAGGUCCAAGGGGUGGCAGAGGAGGAUCUCCCUGAGCAUAUCAUCGUCUUCCUGUUGGGAGGUAGGUGCCUCUAGGGAGGUGCUGCAACGGCGGGUUGUUCCGACAUCCUCCUCACUAGCGUGGAUAUGGGGACAGAGGCACAUGACACGUGGGUGGGCGAGUCAGUUACCCUCCUCGCUGGUGUGGAUCUGCGAAAGGAGCUCACGUUGUUGCGGUGGCAAGCCAUUCUGGAAACCUCGUCAUUAGUAUGGAUCUUUGGGACAAUCGUGUUUGGCAUGUGGGUGGGCUAGUCCAUUGCCCUCCUAAAUGGUAUGGAUCUGGGUAAGGAGGCAUGCGUUUUAGCAGCGACGGCCAGCCAUUCCAGUGGCCCCAAGAUUUAGAGGAAUGAGCAACACAUGGGGAGUGGGAUGGGGUUUGUUUCGUGAGAUAAUUAUUUAUUGGACACUACCAAAAUAUUUGCUUCCCUAUUUGACACUUUUUUCCCUAUCUAACACGUUGCCAAAAUAAGUGUACUUUAAUCGAAUAUUGGUUUCUGAGCCCGAGCUCAGAUGCUCCCAAAAUCUAUACCACAGGCUGUCAUGUGGAUCUGCACCCACUGCUGUAUUUCACCAUUGUAUAUCUCCAUAUUUAGCACUGUUCAGCAGCGCAAUGAAUGCGACCGCAUGUCACACUGUACAAGCAGAACAGGCAGUUGAGGCACGCAUAUUUUUGAGCCGGCCUGAGCCGUUCACCAUGCAGGACUCACAGACGGCUACCAGACGAGUCCGUCUUAAAUACAUCUCUGGAACUGACCCAUUAUUCUCUUUUCCGUAUCAUCUGAUCACAGUCAGCCACUUCAUGUAUGUUAAGCAGUGAAUCAAAUAACCACAAGUAGUUGCAGCAUAUUUAAAUUCAGACAGAUCGUCAUAUGUUCACAUAAUCUCUAACACGUAUGUAGUUCAAAUUACUCUAAUUAGAUCUCCAUUAGGAAUCCCAUGCCCAAAGCUUUCCAUAUGCACAAUGCUCGUAGGGUUUUCUGAUGCAAAAUAACACUAAAACUUAAACAUGCCCAUCUAACGAUAAGUACACGCACAGCCAAAAUUGCAUGCAGACUGGAAUUGCUAAUGUCUUUCUCGUCAGUCAAUGAUCUCCUCGGACAGGAACUCCGGGGUAUCUCCCUUGUUCCCCUUCAUGGUCACUAUCUCGUAUGCAAUCUUCUUGUGUAGGUGCUCGAUCUGACCUGUGAUGAAGCAAAAAUAGGAGAAAACUAUUAAUUACUUUCAUCAAAUAUGGCUAUCAGUUUCAGCUAGUCAAGAAAUGGGUUAGGUGGUUACAUACCUGGGUUAUAGUUGAUCGAAGGUAUAGACUGGUGAACUCCAGGACGUAGUGAGCGACAUAUACGCCACUGUCUUCCCUGUGAGGAAACAACAUUGAACUUAGGAAUUUUGCAGGCAAUUUUCUUUUAUCAACCUGAAAUGCCUAGGUAUGUUCUAGGGUACUCACACACGCCUAAUGCAUGGCUCGUGCUGCGCCACCAAAGGGUACACAAACGACCAUCCAGUGGUCUCAACCAAACCGGCUCCGAACAUGUCACUGAAUACUGAAUAGGGUGCAUAACUUCUGCUGAAACUUCCUUGCUAGCGGCCCAUGUUUCAUUUUCAUCUCAUCCAAAUGUUUGAUUUUCAUCUCAUCCAAUGGAUCUGUCUCCGUUGGGUCAAGCACCAUCAUAAUCUUCUCGGUAUCCAGGAUAUAUAAUGACCAGCAAUCCAUGAAAUGCACCAGGAACAUGAACUGAAAGUUGAUUUUCAAGAACACAGAGAAAAUCAGAAAAUUAGGAGCAUAUGGAUAACUGAUGCUCAACUUUUCCAAUUAUUCCGUUUACCUUCUUUAGCCAAUCAACUCUAUAGCCCAUGACUUUUGAGUCCAUCGUCAUCUGGUGGCUCACUGCCCAACCAUAACCUGUAAUUUGGCAACGUACACAUUCAGUCUACGAGUUCUUCCACCAAAACAAUAUUCAGUCUAACAGUUCUACUACUACAAGAAUACUAACAGUACGAUGAAUUUGGUUCUGACUGUUAAACAAGGCACCACUAAGGAUGGGAUGCAAUGGCUAAGCUUACUUUCUGGUGUAUAUGGACUUUUUUUUUCUAACGAUUACAGAAGUAAACAAAUUCCGACAAAAUCCUGUGCAGUUGUGACGAACAUACAGUGACAGACCAACAACAGGAGGAUUUGGGUUCACACCUUUUUUGUCCUCCCAGGUGCCUCUGGAUUGACUCUGUCAGUAGACUGGGCCGACCUCGUCGGUGAUGCAUCCGCGAGACGGCGAACUCGAACUCCUGCCAUAUCAUUCCCAUCGCCGCCGAGCUGUUGAGCGCAACCAGAUCCAGUAUUUGAGUCCGCGGGAACGGCAAGGCCGGCUCCGCUGUUUGGCAACAAGACCGGGGGAACCGGAUCUGGGUGCUCGAGGUUGUCCGCGAACUCCUCUCGUAAUGGGAACCUGCAAGAAGAUAUCAAUGGCCGCCACCAGGGCCCGAUCGUUAGGUCUCUUCUUCAAGGAAAAACAGCCUGAAGAGCAAAUCCUCAAAAAACUAAUUGCAGAUCUGAGACCACUUACCUGUCAAUGGCCUCAAGCAGGAACUCAACCCCACCGUCUUCCAUUUCCCCGUGCUCGCCGUGGCAGAACGAGCGCUGCCGCAAGGACCUACUCAGAACGGAGACAGAGGCGGGGGGAGAGGGACAAACGGCUCAGCCCUCCACUUCCGUCUCCGCACACCUAUCUGAUCCCUGGCUCGGUUGGACUAGUAGCGAUCUGGUCCACGGACCAGAGUUCCCGUGCGCGAGCGCCGUCCCACCCAUGCGCUUUGGGCCCACGGAAUAGCCACUGUUCCGUACCGUAUUUCAUCGUACGUCCCUUUUUCCAUGCUGGACGUCAGACGCGUCAGAACGAAUUAUGCGGAUCCCCAGUCUAGAACUGAUGCCGGCGAUUUCGGGAUCAUCUGGGCUCGGGCACCAAAUCUACUUUAAUGUGUUAUUUAACUUCGUGAGCAGCAAAAAUUGGCGGCCCUGUUGUAUUGAGAAUGAAAUUUAGAUUCGAUUUUAGAUAGGAGAACACAGUUUUCCAGUGCCAAAUAGGAAGGGCAAUAUUUAGACAGUGUUAAAUAAGGAACUUCGGUUUUCAUCACACAUUUUUUUAACUUACACGAACAAUUUAUACAUUGUAUAACCUUUUUUAAUGUGACGAAUUUUUUUAAGGGCAUGAAACACUUUUUAAAAAGAUUAAAAGAACACAUUUUUUACUUCGUGUAAACAUUUUAUUUAAAGGACAAAGCUAAAAUCCAGUCGGCAGGAAUUCUGCAACGGAUCCGAACACAUUGGAUCUCGUCCGUUCUAGAUCCUACGGUCAUGCGCGACCCCGUGUUUCCUUCUUCUUUCCCGCAGUUUCUGCGCUCGCUCCUGAUGAUUUCGUUCACCGCGGUCGCUCCCGAUGAUUUCGCUUGGAUUUUUAGAGAUCGUGAACGUGAUAGGCGGGGUCUGUUUCCUUUUUUAUUGGCACAAGGGAAGUUAAAUCAGAUUCCUUUUUUCUUGUAUAUGGGCAGCGAAAUUUUUUGGCGGAGGUUGAUCCUCAUACGUGGGCAGCAGCGAUAUUUUUGACAGAGGUUGAUCCUGAUCUUUUCUAGUACGUGGGCUGGGAGAUCGACCUCAUGGUGUACAUGCCCCCGACCUGUUUUAGAACGAGCAGAAAGUUGUUUUUUAAUGCAAAAAUAAGAGCUAUGUGGGAAUCGACCACACAUUGUCUUGGUAUAGAAAUUUGGCAACUAACCACACCUAGAGCUUGUUUUCUGGUGACUACAGGAUAAUCGUACUAUUUUAACUAGGUUCAUCUCUGCUAUAAUAGCCAACCUUCGUUCAAUGAAAAAUUUAUCACGUCAUUUCUCUGACUUUUCGAUGCUGGUAAUUUUGUAGUUAAGCAGUAGCCCGCGGAAUUGUUAUCGACAUCCUAAAGGUACAAUUAUCAUCAUGGUUUUAUAUAGUUAUCAGCACACUCAUGUAAAUAGUUAUCAAAAUGUUCAUGUUCAAGUUAUCUAGCUGCUCAUCAUGUGGUUACCAAACUUGUGUGUAGAUAACAUGGUAAUAUACGCACCAUAGAGAUGAUAACUCACAUACAAAGCACCGCGGUAACUAUUUGACCCAUGAAAAAAGUUGUUAAGAACAUACUCAUAGUAAAUUCUCUGUAAAUUGCAUGGUAAUACACGCACAUCAGAGCUGAUAACUUACUUAGACCAAACGUGAUAACUUUUAACCAGGAAAAAAAAGUUUGAAACACCCCCGGUGACUCAUAUGUAAAUAACAUGGUGGUAUACGCAUAGUAGAGCUGAUAACUCACUUACAAACAACACGAUAAUAUUUUUACCCCGGUUGAAAACAAGGGUAAAAAAGAUGUUAAAAACGUACCGUCGACAACUUAUGUGCAAAUAGCAUGAUAAUAUAGGCUCGUGGACCUGAUAACUUAGGUACAAACACCAUGAUAAUUUUGACCCGUGAAAACAGUUGUCGAAAUCAUAUGACCGACAAUUUUUUUGUAAAUAGAAUGCUAAUAUAGAUUCUCCGACCUGAUAAUUUCGGUACAAACACCAUGAUAAUUUCGAAUUUGGGAAAAAGAUGUUAAAAACAUAUCACCGAUAUUUUUUGCGUAAAUGGCAUGAUAAUAUAGUCUUCCGGACCUGAUAAUUUAGGUACAAACACCACAAUAAUUUUGCCCCAUGAAAAAAGUCGUUGAAAACAUAUCACCGGUAACUUCUAUGUAAAUAGCAUGGUAAUAUACGCAACCGGGCUUGAUCACAUAGAUACAAACACCACGAUAAUUUUGGCGAGGGGGGAAGGAAUUUGUUGAAAACAUACCCCCGACAACUUUUAUGUAAAUAGCAAAACACCGCGGUAACUUUGACCGAGGACAAAAACUGUUGAAAACAAAUCUCCAUAUAACAUCUGGGUAAAUAAGAUGGCAAUAUACGCAUGCCAGAGUUGAUAACAUACUUAGCCCAGACAUGACAACUUUUGACCGGAAAAAAAAAGUCGUGGGAACAUACCAACACGGGAUCUAGUUUUGAAGGUCUUGCCGUGACGGAUUUUUUUUUUUGUGAAAACACAUUUUGCGUCGGGCAGACGGUUUGAGUUACAAAACACUCCAAAGUUUUGAAAUAGGGAGAAUCUAUGAUGACAUUAGGUUUUCUACCCUUUUAGUGCAUUUGCAUAUGGGGAGAAAGUUUGAGGAAAUCAUUUCAUGUCCGAAAUUCGUCUAUGUAAACACAGUGGUAACUUUUUGAACAUAGUAUAGACACAGGCGCUCAUACAUACGGGCAUACACUCACCCUAUGAGCACCUUCGAGAGACUGAGCCGGCGUAUCAUUUUAAGAUUUUACGAAGUCAUUGUAGGCGCCUCGUCGUCGACGGGAACGUCCCCUCCCAUUGAAAGCGUAUCGUCGAAAAUCUUAAAAUAAAUCCAAAAAUAAUGCGAGAACCAGGACUUGAACCAUGGUGGGCUGGGAAUACCACUGUCCCUCUAACUAUUCAACCACAUAUUGGUUUGCAACACCAUGGUAACUUAUGUGUCAUAGACGUGAUAACCUACAUACCCUAGGUAUGGUAACUUUUUUAUCCGGAAAAAAAUUCGUCGGAACAUAUCAGCAUGGAAUCUAGUUUCAAAGAUCUUGUCGCGACGGUUCUUUUUAUGAAAACAAUUUUUAGAUCCGAUCGACGGUUUGAGCUGUAAAACAUUUUUUAUUUUGAAAUACGUUGUAAUCUUUGCUGAUGUCAUCAGGUUUGUUUUAUAUGCAUGCAUGCAUGCAAGACUUAGAAAUGAAUUGUAGACCGACUCGCAUGUUGCACUGGGGCUCUUGCUUUUAAAAUCGUCCAGAGUUGUUGUUAUAUUCCGGUCGAACGGACAUUAGCACAGUCCUUAUUUAAAUGUCAUAGACAUUUAUUUGGUCCAGGUGAACAUUUUCCAAAUGUCACGAACACUUGUUAAGCUGUUAAAAUUUUAUAUAAGUACUCGCAAUAUUGAUUAACACUGCAUUUACAUUUUUUAGAUGUGUUAUGAAAACUUUUAAAAAUUUAAGUAAAGUAAUCUGAAUAUAUGUUUAUUUCAAAUUUUAAAACAUAGGUUAUCCAAAUCAAACUCAAGUGUGGCGCCUAUCCCAAUCAUAGAUGACUUGUAAAGGAUAUUGCCAACAAGAGUUCUUGGACAACCACCAAAAUAAGAGGGAACCCAAAUAAGUAUUUUCUAGAGCCUUAGCUGUGAUUUGAUUGCCCCAUGUGUCAGUCUCCGGGAAGUAAACGUAGGCGAGGAGUUGAUUAUCCACUCCAUUCCUGGGCCACCAAAUCCACCUUGAAAUGGCUGAGUGUACCUUGUAGCUGGUUGUGUAGAGCACUGCUCACGAGGCUCAUCUCGAAACUUGCACGAAGUCACUUCUCAUUGGUGAUGGGGUCGCACAAUGAGGUUUGCUGCUCCAGAUCGAUCUUCGAUGAGGACGCGAUCGUGGGGGCAACCAAGCACAUAGGUAAUCCUAGGGGUGUUCAAGGGAGAAGCGCUCUGGAGGGAUGCGGUAGGGAACAAGGGCCAGAGUGGGGCGAACACAAUACCAUACUUGAUGCUAUUCUCAAAGAUGCCUAGGAGGGGCGGGUUUGCUGUGUUUUGCAUAGAAACAGAGGUGGAAUUGGGGGUCGAUGAGGAGGCCUCACCAGCGCUUGUAUAUGGUAGAGAAGUGGGAGAGUGAGUAUAGUUCCAAGGGGUGAAUGAGGAGGAUCUUCCUGAGCAUAUCAUCAUCGUCCUGUAAGGUGGUAAGUGCCUUUGGUGAGGUGCUACGACGAGGGGUUGUUUCGAUAUCCUCGUCACUAUCUUGGAUCUGGGGACAGAGGCACAUGACAUGUGGGUGGGCGAGUCCGUCAUCCUCCUCGGUGGCUUGGUUAUGUGAAAGGAGGCUCACGUUGUUCCAGCGGCUAACCAUUCAGGCAACCUCCUCAUUGGCAUGGAUCUAGGGACAUAUGCGUGUGGCAUGUGGGUGGCUAGUCCAUUGCCCUCCUAAAUGGCAUGGGGCUGGGUAAGGAGAUGUGCGUUUUAGCAGCGGCGGCCAGCUAUNNNNNNNNNNNNNNNNNNNNNNNNNNNNNNNNNNNNNNNNNNNNNNNNNNNNNNNNNNNNNNNNNNNNNNNNNNNNNNNNNNNNNNNNNNNNNNNNNNNNNNNNNNNNNNNNNNNNNNNNNNNNNNNNNNNNNNNNNNNNNNNNNNNNNNNNNNNNNNNNNNNNNNNNNNNNNNNNNNNNNNNNNNNNNNNNNNNNNNNNNNNNNNNNNNNNNNNNNNNNNNNNNNNNNNNNNNNNNNNNNNNNNNNNNNNNNNNNNNNNAAUUACUUAUUGGACACUGCCAAAAUAUUUGCUUUCCUAUUUGACGCUUUCUUCCCUAUCUGAUACACUGCCAAAAUAAGUGUACUGUAAUGUAUCAUUUAACUUUGUUAGCUGAAAAAAUUGACGUUAGUGUUAUAUUGAGAAUGAAAUUUAGAUCAUGUGUUAGAUAGGAGAAAACAAUUUUCCGGUGCCAAAUAGGAAGGGUAAUACUUAAGCAGUGUCAAAUAAGGUAUUUCGGUUUUCUUCGCACAUUUUUUAACUUAGGUGAACAAUUUUAUAUGUUAUAAAACCUUUUUUCUAAAUGUGAGGAACUUUUUAAUGGUAUGAAAUACUUUAAAAAAGAUUAAAAGAACAUAUUUUUACAUUGUGUAUUUUUUUAAUGUAACAGACAUUUCGUUGAUACAGGUGAACAUUUCUCAAAUGUCACGGGUACUUUUUAAGCUAUUAAAAUAUUAUAUGAGUAGCGUCAAUAUUGUUUUGCACUGCAUUUACAUUUUGUAAAUGUGCGAUGAAAACUUAAAAAAAUGUAAUGUAAUUUGGAAAUAUGUAUAUUUAAAUUUUUAAAACAUACGUUGUUCAAAUCAAACUCAAAUACGGCGCCUUUCCCAAUCAUAAAUGACUACUAAAGGAUAGUGCCAACAAGAGUGCUAGGACAACCACCAAAAUAAGUAGGGAACCCAUAUAAAUAUUUUCUGGAGCAUGAGCUGUGAUUUGAUUGUGCCAUGUGUCAAUCUCCGAGAAGUAAACAUAGGCGAGGAGUUGAUUAUCCACUCCAUUUCUGGGACACCAAUCCCACCUUGAAGGGGUUGGAGUGUACCUUGUAGCCGGUUGUAUAGAGCACCGCUGCAACGAGGCUCGUCUUGAAACUUGCACGAAGAGCCAUGCGACACUUCUCAUUUGUUAUGGGGUCGCACAAUUAGGUUUUCUGGUCCACAUCUUCGACGAGAACGCGACCGCGGAGGCAAUCGAGCACAUAGGCAAUCCUAUGGGCGUUCAAGGGAGAAGCACUCUGGAGGGAUGUGGUCGGGAACAAGGGCCAGAAUGGGCACGAAGAGCCAUACUUGAUGCUAUUCUAAAACAUGCCGAGGAGGGGUGACUUUGCGGUGAUUUGCUUAGAAACGGAGGUGGAAUUGGGGGUCGAUGAGGUGGCCGGACCAGCGCUUGCAUAUAGUAGAGUAGCAGGAGAGUAAGUAUAGGUCCAGGGGGUGGUAGAGGAGGAUCUCCCUGAGCAUAUCAUCGUCGUCCUAUAGGGAGGUAAGUGCCUCUGGCGAGGUGCUUCGACAGCGGGUUGUUCCGACAUCCUCCUCACUAGCGUGGAUCUGGGGACAGAGGCACAUGACACAUGGGUGGGCGAGUCUGUUACCCUCCUCGCUGGCGUGGAGCUGUGAAAGGAGCUCACGUUGUUGCGGUGGCUAGCCAUUAUGGCAACCUCCUCAUUGGUGUGGAUCUGGAGACAAAGGCAUUUUGCCAUGUGGUUUGAAGAGAAGCUCGAUUGUUGUAACGGGCCUGUGGAAGAGCUGCCAGCCGAGGCUCUGGCCUCUGAAGGUGGCGAUGAAGAACUGGUGAGACGGAAAGUGAAACAUCAUAGGAAGGAGUACCAUACUGGCAGUCCUAGGAGAAGUCAUAGGUUUCACCUGAAGCAUGAACGUCGCAAAGGGCCUGUGGAAGAGCUGGCAGCCCAUCACAAGAGGUUCCGUGCACUCUAUAAGAAUUAAUUGCCUCUCCUGACAAUGCAGAAUCUGCGAAGACCGCCUCUGCCGACUCUGUGAACUAAGGUAGUUGACAGAAUAUGAUUCCCAUGAAACUUUCAAACUGUUGUUGCUCUAGAUUGUCUCAUGCAUGCAUGUUUACGGAACCACCAUCGUUGCAUUUGUAGUGUGGUCGGAGCUCAUGCUGCACCAAAUCCAUCUAGAUCGCUUGUGGCUGACUGUUGACUGCCAUACUCUCAAUGCAUGUGCAUUUCUGCGGUAUAAUGUCUCACAAGUUGCUGCUUCCAGUUAAAUAUCUAAAAGACUUUGAACUUGUUUUGAUUGUCAUGCACUUGUAAAAGGUACACGUCUGCUGUUAUUUGGUACUUGAGAAAACUACCACUCUACCAGCAAUAGAUGGAAAUUUGUGAAAGCAACCACACUGUUAAAUUGGAUUUUUUUUGGGUGUGUUUUGGACUUUUCGUACAUGAAACCUGAAGCUAUAUUUUAGUUCUGUUCAGAGAUGAAUUUGCAACUGUGAAGGCUGAACAACACAGUAGUACUUGAAGAAUGAUGUUCUUUGGGAGUUGACAAAACAACAUCUGGCUGCAAGCUGAGAUGUAAGUCUGCAUCAUCAUGUAAACCAACCAGCAAACCAGAAACAGGUUGAAAUUUGUGAGCAACUACAUCGUGAAAUUUGUGAAAACUAUGUUUUUUAUGUGGAGGUUGGAACCAUAUAUAUUAGUUGUGUUCACGGAGGAAUUUACAACCAUGAAGGUUGAACAACAUCAGUUAGUGCUACCUAAUUUAUUUAUUUUUGCUACGGUACUUGCUUGAAGUUCCAACCCUGAGCAUAUCCUCUCAUAGUAAUGUUGUGCAAGCAUAUUUAUAUUCUGGAGACAUAUUGUCUGGAAUAUUCUCAUAAUUUCCAAAUAGUUCAGGGCAAUAAAAACGUAUAGCUGAUGAUAUUCAGGACAGGGGCGUUGUUAGAUAUGGUUCAGAAAUCUAUACCUACUUUUUUAUUACUAAUAAAGGAAGGUGCGUUUCGCCAAUUUUUUCAUCCGUUCACCAUUAAAAAUAAUUUUUUUCUAUCCGAGGUGGUACUAAAUUCUUAUGCGUUAGACUGCUAGAAAAAGAAUUUUCGUAUGUGGUCCGCGCACUGUGGCCCAGCGAAGCAAGCCCCUUAUUUUUUGCCCACGCAGCGGGGAAAAUUCUAUUUUUCGCACUAGGCGACAAAUAUUCCAAAUUUCUCACAGGACAACCUAUAAUGGGCUGGCCCAUUUUUGUUUAUCUUUAUUUAUGUGUUUUACUUCUAUUUUUACUAACCUUUCCCUAUAUCUUUUUCCCUUCCAGGUUUAUUUUUCUUUUAGAAUUUAUUUCCUAAAUUAAAAAUUCUCAGUAAAUGUUCAGAAUUACAGAAAACAAAUUUCUAAAAAUGUUAAGAAUUCCAAAAUUUUGCAGCUAUUUUGAAAAAUGUUCAAAACUUGCAAAAAGUUUCCCAUUCUUUCAUUUUUUAGAAAUUGUUUGAAUUUCUAAAAAUAAAAUGGCAUUUCAAAAAAUGCCCUCCUUUCAAAAAAUAUUCAUGUUUUAGUGCAUUUUUCAAAAUUAAAUAUAAUGUUUGUGUAUGAAAGAUACACAUUUUCUAAAAAUAUUAUGAAUUUAAUACAUGUUCCCAUUUUGAAAAAAUGUUCACAAAUUCAAAUAAUUUCAUGUUUUUAUAAACAAUUGUGUUUGCAAAAAGUAUUGUGAAUUUUAUAAGAUGUUCCCUUCAUAUAUUGUUUUUCAAAACUGUACACAUUUUUCAAAAAACUGCUCAGGAUUUUAAAAUUGUUCAUGUUUCCUAGAAUAUUCAGAAACUACAUACUUUAAAAUCCCGUCAUUGAAAGGAUUGAAAGGAAAAAUAGAUUAAAUAACUCAUGGGCCUUCUCUGUCAUACGAUGCCGUAACAAAAUCUUAAAUGCCUUCGAUCAAUAAAUGGAAAAAUAACGGAUUGAUUCCUUCAUGCGCGGCGAAACCGAGAAGCUAAAUGUUCCUUUUUCGUGUGUACACAGGGUUUUGCUUGCGCAUAUAAUUCUCACUGGCUUUCAAUUUAUACUAUUUUAUCUCCCGUUGCAAAGCACAGGCAAGCAAGGUGCGUUUCUCCAAUUUUUUCAUCCGUUCACUAUUUUUAUUCAAAUAUUCAUAAAAUCUCCAGAAUUUUAAAAUUUUGGUCCGAUGUUAAAAAAUGUGGGGAUCUUUUAAUUUUUCUUCUCGUUCCAUAAUUUGUCCACAAUUCAGAAUUUUUUUGCAUUUUGUCAAAAAAAAUUUUGAGUUUUCCAAAACAAUUUUGAGCUCCGAAUACACUGUGAGAAGCUCCCAUCGAGUUGAGUUAUCCAAAAUUGUUCAAGAUUUGAAAGAAAAAAUUGCAUUUUCAAAAACGAUACAAAUUCGUUUUUUGGCACACCGUGCAGAAAUAGUCAGAGUUUAAUAUGGUGCGCCCAAGAUUGGGUUGGCCUGUUCUCGUUGUUCAAUGUGUUCUAUUUCUAUUUUACUCUUUCUUUUCCUUUCUCUUUCCUUUUUUUCAUUCCAAGCUCUUUUUCAAAAUUUCAAUUUGUCGAGAAUUUCCAUUUUUAUUCAAAUUUUCAUAAAAUCUUAAGCAUUUUAAAAUUUUGGUCCGAUGUUGAAAAAUGUGGGGGACUUUUAAUUUUUCUUCUCGUUCCAUAAUUUGUCCAAAAUUCAGAAAAUUUUCGCAUUUUGUCAAGAAAAAUGUUUGAGUUUUCCAAAACAAUUCUGAGCUCCGAAUACACUGUGAGAAGCUCCCACUGAGUUCUGUUAUCCAAAAUUGUUCAAGAUUUGAAAGAAAAAUUGCAUUUUAAAAAAUGAUACAAAUUAUAAAUAUAUUCCUAUUUUUAUGAUACUUUCAAAAUUGCAAAAAUAAGUUCAUGUUAAAAAUAAUAUUUUUUUAAAAAAAAUGAAUGUUCAAAACAUGUUUCUGUAUAAAAAGAUUGUUCACGAAUUAAAAAAAUCUUCCUUUUCUAUAAUAGGAUCAGUUUUUCGGGAAAAAAAUUGAAUUUCAAAAAACCUUCCCGUUCAAGUUUGUUUGUCAUUUUUCAAAAAUCAUUGAAAUUAUCAUAUAAAAUCAUAUAUUUUUUGAAAAAAGCGGGAUUAAAAAUUUUCUCAUAUUUCAAAGAAUAUCGGUAAUUCAUAAGUAUUACUUUAUUUUUGAAAGUUCAAAAAAGAUCAGGAAAAUCAAAAAUGUUUUGAAUGUGAUGUUGUAGUAUGUUCUUAAACAUUCACGUUGACCAUUGGUUAGCAGGAACUGUUUAUUCGAGUGGCUAGCAACACGUGUCCGAAUUUUUGAGGUCAUGAGUUUGAUCCUUCAACUCCUUAUUUUUUUUGGGAUUUUUAUUCACACCUUACAAACAUAGGUCGUUUUGGUGCCUACCAGUGGCCUAGCCCAGAUGCGAACUGUUGUAUGUUCCACGUGCUAUUUGACCAUAAAAGAGAAUAUGUUUCUUGACUAUAAUUAAAAGUAAUUAUGGGCACAAGCCAAUAAAAAAGAAUAUGCUGGUUUGGCUCUGAUUAAAAAUAUAUGGGCAAGUGAGUGCCAAAAUCAUUAAGAGAAUACACCAUGGUAAAGCAAGGACUACCUGGUUAUGCGAUGAUUAUGCCAAUGAAACGAGAUUCGCUGCAAUUAGUAAUCCAUCUGGCUACGCAAUCAUAGGAGAGAGUGGUCGAAGCAACUAUGCCCCGAAGGUCGCCGUGCAACCACAACCUCGACACGGAGGCGGACCUAGAGAAAAUAGGCACGAGUUGGGUGGUGGCCGCCAGUCGGACCAACCCCACCACUAUCCGGAUCUCGCAGGCCAAACAUGACCCGUGAGAACACCGCAGCUCCUCGCUCUCUCGCCCCACCGCCCCGGAAACCGUUUUGAUGGACACAUCAAUUAUCUUGUUGGGACUAACCCUGUUGGGACUAACCCUAGCUAGCUCUCUAGAAACGGAGGUAGAAGAAGAAGUGAGCGGACAGAGAUUUUGUGGCGACGUACGCCUCGCUGCCAAACAGCCUUUUCCCAGCUCAAACUGAUACAGCAGGGGGUUUCUUUAUACCCCGGCGCACUCACACACACGACGCACAUGCACGCGCACAACGUUGUGAUCCGCUUGCCCUGGCGCACGCCCACAACGCGCCCUGACGCGCUCAACACGGCCGGAUAGCAAUGGAUCAUAACAAACACAUCGCAGCCAUCGCCAACUGCCCUUGACCCGAGCUACUCCUACCUUGUGGACCUGUACGUGAGCACAACCUCACGCACCAGCACACACGCACACAACGCACGCACACAGGCACUCUCGCUACGGCGUCUGGCACAACCAGCACGCACACACACACUAGUCAUCACCACUGCCGUGUCUUAUUCUUAACACACCCGCCCUACCAAAACGUGGGCACACCAAUUUGUUGAUGAAGGAUUUCGCAAUCUCCUCGCCGGGCACAAAAUUAGGAGGGCAACUAAAAAUUGGCUCGGAUCCAAUUUUUGAGGACUUAUCCAAAUGCAUGCCCUGCCCAUUGGGAAAACCAAUAAUUUGGUAAGGUUAUUUCCGGCUGCCAUUAGUUCCAUUUCCUCGUUUCUUUUUUAAUAAAUUUACGAUUGUGUGCAUUUGAGAAAAGCAAAGGCCAAGGGUUUCUUCCCCGGACCCGGCCCUUCGCAUGCCCCAUCAUGCUCCCAAUACGGCUACAAGGGACUGUCGAAGUGUGGCAUGCUCUCCUUCUCAGAGGAGCGGCACCAGGAAGAGGCCGUCGUCGGGCAGUGGGCGAUGGCGACGGUGUCACGUAAGUACGACAUGGUGGUAAUCCCUAUGGUCCGAUGGUGCGUCAUACGCGAUUUGGGCAUUUAGGGGCCCUUCUGGAUUGUGCGUACACCCUCCCUUCCGUAACGUGUGCAAAUUCACAGACGAAGGAUGUUGCAGCCACGUGAAUACCAAUAUUUUGGUAGGAUAAGUCUCGUCUGCCAUCCAGUUUGUAAGUACAUUGGUUUGGUGUCGAUGACUUGUUUCUAUUUUAAUAUAGAAAGAUUAUUUUGUCAGAAAAUGGAUUUUUUUCAUCUCAUAAAGGUCGGCCAUAACAAAAAAGAAUUAAGGCCACGUGUAGUAAAAGUUACUAGUUGAACACAGCAUUUUAUUAUGCAGGAAAAAAAGUUCCAUCAGAUAGCAAUGGAGUACACAAGAUGCAUGCAUUUCUUACAUGAAAUUGAGCUCUACUCUUGACUUGAGAUAGAACCCGUCCAAACAAGCCGCUGUACAUGUCCGCGGAUAUUUAGUGAGGUCCGUUUCCAUCGACUUGCCUUAAUAGAGUGCAAUUUUCACUUGAGCAAUAAAACACAAUCUUAUUUGAAAGGACGAUGCAUUUGGACUAUACUAGAAUGUAAGAAUAUGGUUUAUACCAAGGCACUUCCCUUAUCAAAUAGAAGAGAUUCAAUCAGCUUCUCCUGUCCCACACAUCCGUCACACAGCACUACACAGGCCAAAGCUGCAUGCCUAUUGAGGGCAUGAGCAGUGGUGGCAUAUGGAUACAUAUGUCUCAUAAGAAAAAGUAAUUUGAGACAGCUACAUUGAUUUUUCUCCCCAACGCAAGCUAUCACUAGUGUGCCUCAUCAAGGAAUAGAAAGUAGAGACUAGUACACAUGCAUCUCUACUCUUCACUUCAAUUUUUGUCAGCUUUUUACACUGGACCACACUUUUUCACUUCAAGCACCUGCCUCCCGCAGAGGAUCCCGCGUCCCCAUCGGAACCUAUUUCUCCUGACAUCCAAUUCUACAUGGCAUGUGGGGCAUCACCCUAGGGCUAUGCAUUGGCCAUGUCCCGAGGCGAUGGAUCACAUGCCACAGUAGUAGAGGACAACGUCAGUAUAGGAGUGCAGAGGCAUCAACAAGAACCCGACAAAGUAAUUAAGUAGUACUCCUUCCCGAACUAGCAAACAAAGCAAAACAUAUUGUAGCUAGUGCUAGUGCAGUAGACUACAGACAUGACCUGCAAAGUAUUUUCUACUCAACUCUCCUUUUGAAACUUGACCCUGCAUAGAAAUGAAUGCAAUGUUGUGAACUGCUCGUGCUUGUCUCGUUGCCAUGGCAAAAUCAUGGUCUGUCCGGCGAUACAUGCUACUCUACUUGUUGGUGUCGUUCCCGCCCCUAGAGAAAAAUCCCCAAGCCAAAGGAUAUUCAAUGGAUUCACUCUUUAAGUAACUUUAGAUGAUACCAAUAGAAUAUUGAGUAACGCACAAGAAUAUGCAUACAACAAUUUGAUACAUACAUCAUGGAUUGGUGAGGAUCCAAAAUGAAUCCCAUUCAUAACAAGAUUCAAAGAUGGGGGAAAUGAUAGUAGGCAUCCAAAUAAAAAAACAUGGUUCAAAUACUUGUAAACUGUGGCCCACUCUUACAAUUUGUCAUGAUCCGUAAUACUCCAAAUGAAGAAUCAUCCUCAUCAAUAUGGAAGUUUUCUUUUACCUAUACAAGAAUGAGAAGAGAAACUUAGAAUCAAUAAAACAAACAACCAGAGCUAAUUUUGGACAACAUUAACUUAAAAGAAAGUAUAUUUAAGUUUGUGAUUACGUAUUUCGAAAUAAUAAUGUGGCAUGGAUUGAAGUAGUAUAUCAUAAAUACUAAGUGAUGCAAUAUUUUACAGUAAAACUAAUUGAAGCGUAUUUCAGGUGUAAAGCACGACGUAUCCUAAAACAUUAAGCCGCUCCAUUGAACACUAAAUCCACAGACAUCAUCUCCAACAGAUAAAGUGGAAAAAGGACUCAUCUCCUAUUAUUGAGUCUCACAAACAAAUAAUGAUUGUAUCACCUUUCCCACAUUAGACACGAUCCCUAUCUCUGGCCAUCAAUGUUAACUGGAUGUGAACUGCUUUCAAGAUAUUUCUCCUACUGCAUGGAUGCAAACUAAUACAUAAUUUAGUUCUGCAACUAAUGAAGCAUCAAAAUAUUGUACUAAUAGGAAACAAUUAUUUAAGAUUCAAAGCAGCGACCACAGCUUCUUCUGUUGGUUCUUCUAGGAAAAGCAAGAAAACAAAUAUAUCUAUUCAUAUAUGUUGGUACAUUCUGGUAGGAAUAAAUAAGCGAUACAAAAGCACCUAACAAAGAAACAAGGUCUAACAAUAAUUUACCAUGCCUUCCUUAAAUGGGCAAGAUCCAGCAGCCAAGAAACGUGCUCCGACAAAUGAAAAAAAAUUAAGACCAAUUAGUACAAUUAACAUCAAUGUCUCCAGUUGUUAACAGUUAAAAUUGAAGCACAUAUAUGCAUUGUACAUAAGUAAUGUAUUUGGCCACCUCAGGGAAUCAUUUCAUGAAUCAGUUAAUAGGAAAAGAAAAAUAGUAGGGAACAUAUUUAAAGAUGGGUAUAUAUAUAUCAUAGACUCUUGAAAUACAUAUCAGUCGAUGGCUUCAAAUUUCAACUGAUAUAUAAUGACCUAUUGGGAAGAGCACCUUUACAUAGCCUGUUGGAUGGAGCAAACUGCAAACUUUUAUAUAAUGUUGUCAGAAACAUCACAACUCCAAAGUCAGAGGAAAGGAAUUGCACCUCACUGAGUAUAAUGUAUCAUAACCUACAACAAAGAUAGUAAGUGAAAGGCUUAAUCGGGGAUUAAAAAAAUCGAUUUGCUGCCGAAAUAAAUCCUACCGAGGUUCAAGAAAAAGAUAAAUCACUAAUACAUAGAACAUGGCAUGCUUGAUGCAUCAUACCAUUAGCCAUAAAUAAUAUUGCUGAAAAGGCAUGAGAAAAACAGAUGCAUAUAUUAGCAAUCAAACGCUUGCGUGAGACAAAUAGAAAAAUUUAGUAUCGCACUCUGUAAUAUAAAAAGAUAUAUGUUGCCAGCUGUCCCCAUGAAAGAGCAACUCCACGAAGUCCAUGCGGGAGCAUGUGGCGUUCAUACCCUUGACCGAGAGAGUGGGCGGUGUGGGGAAGUCGUACUUGAUGAUCGAGGUGGACUUCUCGGCACUUGUCACUCCUGACAGCGGUAGGCUAUGCACCAUAGCCUGCACUCACACUAAAUGCCUGGCCAGAACAUGACCUCACACGGCCUCUGUGAAAGUUGUCUGCACGCGAGGCAUGUGUGCUGAGGAGGCCCAUGUUUCAGACACCUAGCACCGUCCCAAAACGUCAUUGCUGACGUUUUUUGUAGAUGUGGUUUGACGAGGGUACAUUUACUUGGCAGUAAACAUACACAAAGGUAUGCAUGCCGUCACGCCAUUGGCUCCUUCUGGAUGUUGUAGUACUAAUUGUGAAGAGGAUUUUAGUGUAGUUUCUUAUUGUACCGAGGGUUCAAAAUUUCAGAAAAUUUUUGCAUAUUUCGGUGGGGUUCGAAAUACUUACAACCCUGAAAUUUUGAGGCAAAUUCAAACUAAAAUUUAAAUUAUUUUAAAAAUCAUUAAAAAAUAUUGAUUUUAGAAACUCAAAAUCCGAAAUAAGUUCCGAAUUUCUGGAUUUUGCAUAUUCCGGUGAUGUACAAAAAAUUUCCAUGACCGAAAUUAAAAACCUUACCAAUGUGGCUUUUUGGGCAGGUCCAUCUGUUGUAGUUACGCUCGGGUACCCCUGUUUUAAAUAUGAGGGGCAACUAAAAAAGAAAGUUUUUUCAUGCUCCAUUAGCUAGCGUAGUCUUCUACUAUCAAUAAAACCAAAAAAUAAAUCAAAUGUCAGUGAGUUGGAUCUAAAAGUUGGGAGUUGUCCAAAUGCAUGUCAUGCCCAUCAGUCAACACCAAUGGGUUGCUAGGGUAACUCUCGGCCGCCAUUCCAUUUGUAAAUAGAGGUUUACACUUACAGUGUUCGAUGACUUGCUUUCAUUUUAAUAUCAAAAGAUUAUUUUGUUAGAAAACAGAUUUUUAUUUUAUUUUUUGCUCAGAAAGAUCAUUCAUCUAGAAAAGAAUUAUGGCCAGUGUAGUAGAAGUUACUAGCUUUUUUAUUGGCAGAAUGCAGCCCUCAAAGAUGGCUUAACACUUUCUUAUUAGCAGUUUAAAUAAUGUACAGAGAUAAGUUUACCCCUUUGGAAGGAGAUGGAUUUGAUUCAUUCCUUAGGAAGACUUUGAGAGAAGCUUCAUCACGAAUUGCUGCAUGGUUAUACUCUAUAUGCUGCAUCAACAUUGGCUAGGCAUCCUGCUUGGCAGAUCUGUUUGACAGAAGGCCUCAUUUCUUCCUCAAUAUUCUCCAGUAAACCUGCAUUAAGCAUCGCUUUGGUAGCAGGGAUACCAUUUCUUGAGAUGAGACUGAGCUCUACUCCUGACGUGAGAUAUGUAGAUUGCAACAGAUGCAAAUGAAAUGCUUGCAAGUUGGAAUGACAUAACAACGGAAGAAGAUGCAUAUCAGAACAUGAUUAACGAAGCAUAAUAUCCUCCGAUUUGAAUACAGUACCCAACAAUGACAAUAAAGAUGAACUGCAUCUAAUAAUUAACAUCAGCCAAAUAGUUUCAGCUGCAACUCCAAAAUAAGCAUGAACUGCCUUGAAUGCAUCCUUUGUUUCCCAGCAGCUGACCUAAUCACACCAAUGCGUCGGAUCAAGGGGAGAGCUUAUCGAUGCGGAUGUACAGGGGAACUUCCAUGGAUGCCCCGUCUCCUGCUACUGGCACCAGGUACAUUGGCGGCACUGUCAGGAACGUGGGCUCGCCCGCAGCAACCACGGCCCCGGGCGAUGAGCUGCUCCUCAUGUGCAUGUCCACGAGCACCAUGCCCUCCUUGCCGCAGUUCGCCACUGCUGCCAGGGGUGUCUCCAGGUUGACCCACAUCUUACACGUGAACCGCGGCCGCGUCGCCGCUCUCGCCCUGGCGCACACCACAGACACGGCCGUCACACCGGCGCCGAGCGCGCCCACGGUCAUGAGGAACACGCAGUUGUCGUCGCCAAGGAGCACCAGCCGCGUGGUCGACACCGGUAGCUGAAGCUUGAUGACCUUGCCGUACUGCACGGCGCGCACCGGCACCAAGUGGACAGUGUGGAGGUGACCGGCAAGCGCCUGCGGCGCGCCGACGUAGCCGCAGCCGGGCUCAGUGCACCGGCAAGGCGCGUGCGGGCACACUUUCUGGUGCUCGGCGACCUCGUGGUAGAUCACGUACCACUGGCAGCCGGCGUUGGGGCACCCGAUCCUGGUGGAGGACACCACGCCGUCCAGCGCAGGGCAGGGGUCGAAGAAGCCGCCGCCGUCCACGCAUGCCUUGCACUGCCCGAAGGGCAGCAGGGCCACGCAGCUGCCGCAGGCCGGGUGCCCCGCUUUGCACUGCAGGCAGGCACACAAAUCGGAGAUGGCCCGUAAAUUAGCACGAAAGAAUAGAUCUAUCACCGGCGCCAAUCAAGGAAGAAAUAAGGAAAUAGAGAGACGAACCUGGAAGACCGGGGGCUUGAAGGGGAGGGUGCAGAGGGGGCAGUGGAGCACUUGCUUGUCGAUCCUCACGGCGAGUUCCACUCGCUGGAUGUACGCCGCCCCAACGAUGGCGCCUCCAUCUCCUCCACCGGCCGCCUCUUGCUUCAUGUGGCCGUCGGGCAGGUCCAGCCGCGCCUUCUUAGAGCUCUCGUCGGCCUUGUCAGGCGAAGCCCUGCUCCUCCUCUCGGCGGCCGCGGCGGCGCCUUGCAUCUUGGCUGGCCUUUGGGGAAAGAAAACUCUUGUGUGUGUGUCUCACGCCAAACUUUUUCAGGAGGUGGGUGAGGAGUAGAUCAGAGAUCUGAGAAGAAAAGUUGCCUAGGCAGCCACACUACACUAUAAAUGCUUCCUCAUUGUCGUUUCCAUUCCCAAACUUAUAUGGUAUAGAUAUAUGCCGUGCUCUUAAUCAAUUUCAUUAUUGCUAGUUUAUCCAUACAUUAAUGUUGUCUUUCUUUUAAGUACCUACAAGUGUGCGAUAAAAAGGUUGACCAUUGCAGAUCCAUGUUAUUUUUAGAAAAAUCGAGGAAGAUAAAUAUAAGCACAUUGUUUUUUUCAUAGCUUCCUGCUUAAUUGAUACACUGCGGAGUACUUUUGACUCCAUCGCCAGAGUAUCACACCAUCAAACACGUGGGAGCCCAUAAAAAGAAAAGGAUACAUAUGUAAGCACAAGGGACACGUGUGACCAAAUAGUACAAAGGAGCACACAAACGCAUCAAAACUUUUUGCCUAGAUCAUGACACAUUCCGCCUUUCUCACUGUUAUCGAUAGACACAUACGCCAUCGCUGAUGUGCUGGCUGCCACCAGAAAAUAACAACAACAUGACCACAAGCCUCCAAAAGAUCCAUGGAAUAGGUACUAGAUUUUGGAGACCCUGGCGCCAAAAAUCUUGAUUAGCUGCUUGCAUGAAGUAGGAGAAAUAACCCCUUGAUUCGGCAGAUGCCAUCAAGAAGCAAUGAGCAAUCCAUUUGUCACCACACCACGCAACCACCUAGUCCAGGGACUUCUAAGCAGGCAUCUGUAGCUGGAGGUUAUAGAGACACAGGGAGAUAACCAGAGAUGACACCAACCAAGAUCAUCCUCGCAUCAGUGCGUGAGAAAGGCUUGAACAACGUUGCCAGAGCACGAAAAAGCUAACACUAAGGAUGAUGUGGAAAAUCAAGUAUCGGCUCCCAACCAACCUGCGCUAACCACCAGGUGAUGGAACAUAGAGAGUAGAAAAUAUAUCCAAGAUUACAAUAGGGGCUAAGCUUCACCUAAUAUCCUAGAAAUAACAUAGUGGAGAAUAGAUAGCAGGAAAGCUUACUUGAACCUAAGGAGAGACAAGAAUAUAAGGGGCGACCAAGUCACUCAACCGCUUCUUCGAGAGGUGUCCGAUCAACUAGGGAGAAAGCCUUGCUUCAUCCGGAGCCGGCGACGGCGGCGCUCCUGGGUGUCGCUAACUUUCUUGAAGGCGUCGUUGUCAUGUUGUUUAAUCCUCCUCGUUGGCACCCCGGGGGGAACCCCUAGUCCAUGUCUUCUUGGUACGGAUGAUGUCGGCGUAACCGGCGUCGUGGCCCUUCUUGAAGGCUUCAUCUUUAGGGCUGCAUGGUCGAUGAGUGUUUGCUGCUCACUACGGUGGUGAUGGUGGUGGUGGAGGUGUGGUUGCUUGGGGUUGACGUUGGUUGUUCGGUGGUGUUCUUUGGGGUUCGGCGGCGGUGCUUUUUGCGCCGAAGGGCAGCCAUCUGUUUCCCCUCAUGAAGGAGUAUCGCCCUGGUGCUGUGCUCAAGACCCUUCCCGCGGUUGCCGAGGUGUUGCGGCAAGCUUUGUGCUCUUGGUGAUGUCUCGGUUCAUCUUUGCCCAUUGAUGGCGCAAGAUGUCUCCCCACCUUGCUAAUCGUUCUGAUUUUCCAUGGUGGAGCUCCCUGUCAAGGUUCGUUUAUACUGCACUCAUUGGUUGUGGAUGCUCCUGAGUUGUGUCGUGGGGCUCGCCACGCAGUCCAGUGUGGUGCGUUAGGCUUCUUGCAAAGUCCCGGUAUUAUGAUCCCUCGACGACUUUCCACACAUACUUGUGUCUUUCGUGGUGAUAGUCUUUCUGUCUGUUAGCUAGGUGUGCCUUGUCUUCGGCACCUUUUUUCUGCUUUUUUGUCUUGUUUUUUUUUUGACGCAAAAUGUUUUCUUCUGCUUUCUUUUAAAACAUGGAACAAUCUCAGUAGUGUCAUGGGCAGCCGUUUGGCCUGGGCUGGGCUUUCGGUCCUUGGUCGGCCCGGAGCAGGGGAAGUCUCUAGUCUCCUAGUUGUUGUGGUUCAUGUGUUCUUGCCCCGCAAAUAUUCGCCCUCUAGUCGUUGCGGGAGCCCCCAAAUUCGGUGAAGCACUCGUUCCCAUUGGCCCUUCCGAAGACCGCUCACAAAAAUGUUCUUUUUUUUCAAAAAUAAUUGUUGAUGCUCUUAGUAAGUAUGUAGUGUGGCUUAUUCGAAUUUGUUGUUAAUCCGCUUGAUUCAUAAGGAAUCGAAAUGUUGGAGCUGACCAGUGGGGUUUUGAUCUGCAGUACUGAACGGAGGACCUAGCUUCCAUGGAGAUGGAGAUGGAGAUGGAGAUGGAGAUGGAGAUGGAUGGGAAGAGCAACGGCGUGACCAAGGUGGCGAAGGAGGACCCUUCCCUUUCACAGGUAACUGAAUGAUGAUUCUGUUGGGUCUAUGUGCACAGGAGAGGAGCUCACAAGUUUUGGUGAAGACCUGCCCUUGAGAUUGAAAUUAUUGCUCUUUGAGUAAGGAGGAAUUGUUGUUUCUUCAUUUUGUAGCCAUUGCAAAUCGGGUAAUGCAUAAGCAAAUUGAAUUGUGGGUCUGACUUGAAAUGUACUGCAGGCCAUGGGUCUCAUGGAGGGGAACAACAACAGCAACGGCAGCGAGACCAAGGAAGGGGGCGAUAAUCGGCUGGAUGGAGAGGGCGUCAUUUUCAAGAAGCAGAAUGUUGCCAUGGCCAUGGGAACGGAGUUCUUGGACUGCCCUAUCUGCUCCGCCCCCCUCAGCCCUCCAACUUUCCAGGUAAUUGGAUUGAUGCAAUUUUGUGUAUGUUGUCACCGCAAAAAUCAUCUCCAAUUUCUAGUACAUUGCUCUCUUCAUGUGGAUACGGUUAGUGCUCUUGUAUGUGAUGAAGUUAAUUCUGAACCUUGUUGGGUUGAUUGUCUGUAGUGUGCACUGGGGCAUUUCGUGUGCCUGAACUGUCGCGAUAAGCUCCUGGAGACAAAGACGAACAAGGUUUGGGGCGUGUGCUCCAGGGAUGUCUCGACCCGCUGCCACGACAUGAAGCGUGUCGUCGACUCCAUCAUCGUGCCAUGCUCAUAUGCCGUGCAUGGGUGCGGCGACACAAUCGCCUACCACAAGAAGAGGGCGCACGAGGAGGUGUGCUAGCACGUGCCAAGCUUCUGCCCUGAGAAAGGCCGCGGCUUCGCAGGCACGACAACGGCCCUCCUGAAUCACUUCCCCGUACAGCACGAGUGGCCAACGACACGCUUCCAGUAGUACAAUGCAUUUGACGUACCCGUGAAGGCCAGCGUGCACAUGCUCCGUGAAGGCGAGGUGGCCACCCCUUUCUGCUUCAUGUGGCGUCCCUGGACUCCACACCACUGCACGGGGUCUCUCUAGUCUGUAUCGGGUAGCAUGCGGCGCCGUAAUCCAAGUUCAGGUGCUCCGUAGGCUUCUCCUGGUUCAAGGACCAUUACCAGGCGUCAACGCUGGAUACGAUCAAGAGCACGUCGCUUUCUGACAGACUGCCGACAAACUACUUCCUCACCGUUCCCAAGGCUUGCCGUGGAGGUGGCGCCUGUGUCGUGCUUAGCGUGACAAUUGAUACAGAGAUGGUGUAUGGAGACGAUGACGAGCUGGAGGAGGAGGAUGAGGACGAUGAGAGCUACAACAAGGAGGAAGAUGAGGACGGGGACAACGCACUACUAGGAAAAGGCAUGCUAGUGGCGCAUCAGUUUUGCCUACUAAUGGCGCACUACUGGUGCGCCAUUAGCAUCACGCCAUUAGAAUUAAAUUCUAAUGGCGCAUCACUGGUGCGCCAUUAGUAUCUGGUGUUCUAAUGGCGCACCUGAUAGUGCGCCAUUAGUAUAGCCCACAGUGCGCCAUUAGAAUGCCUCCCAGGGGGCCAUAUGUACCCAUGUGCUUUGGCAUACUAAUGGCGCACCAGUGGGUGAUGCGCCAUUACUGUGAUUAUCACAGUGCGCCAUUAGUGUCUUGUGUGGUGCGCCACUAGUAUGAAUAUUAGGGAUUUUUUCUUCUUUUCUGAUAUUUUCACAUGUUACAAAAUAUAUUAUUGGACAGAAUUUAGACAACAGCACACAGCGACAGCAGAUUCAUCGAAUACAUAGAAGAUUAGUCUCCGAAUACAAUUCAUCAUAUUAGUCUCUGAAUUCAAAAGACCGAACAAAGAUAGAACAUUACAAGUCUCAAGACCGCGAGUAGCGAGUUUGUCUUCACAUUACAAGUCGAUAUCGAUAAUCUAAACUACCAUCACAUAGAAGAGAGCUGCGGUCAUCACGAUGAGCAUCAUCGCAAUGAAACUGGUCUUCAUCUGGUUCCUCCAACGCUCCCUCCUCUCUCCCGCUAGAUAGCGGGCGUAUCUAGAUUCCGCCUCCGCCCUAGUGGUGUACCCUUUGUAACUGUUACCGCUGAAACGGUGAACCUGUCUCCGACACUCCUCCCAGUCGUCGUAGACUCCGGGAACCUUACCCUUGUACACGACAUACGACAGCAUCUCUAUGCACAAGCCAAACAACAGACAAUACAUAAGCAAUAUAUAAGUAUGCAACAAAAGGAUCGGAAGAGAAAAGCAAGACAUUAAUAGCACGAUUCAUGGUCCUACUAAUAAAUAGCAUCGAUUACAUCUAAGUUGAACGACUGUCCAAACCAAAGAGACAUACAAGUUCAUUAAAGUUUAACUAGCACAUAUGCCCGUGCGUUGCAACAGGAGAUAAAAUGGUAUGCAUUUGAAGUCAACGAGAAUUAUAUGUGUAAGAAAAACCCUUUGUGCACACAAAAAAUGAACAUUUAGCUACUUGGUUUCGCCACGUGUGAAAGAAUCAAUCCGCUAUUUUCCCAUUCAUUGAUCGAGGCCAUUUAAUAGUUUUGUUACAUCAUUAGAUGCCAGAAAAAGCCCAUGAAUUAUUCAAUUAACACUUCCUUUCAAUCCUUUUAAUCCAGGGGAUUUAAAGGUAUGAAGUUUCUGAAUAUUCCGGGAAACAUGAAUAAUUUUUAAAAUCCUGUAUAUUUUUUUAAAAUUACGUACACUUUCAGAAAAAAUACGAACAAAAUAUGAAAGGGAACAUCUUUUAAACUUUUCAAUUUUUUCUGAAAACAAAAUUAUUUUUCUAAAACAUGAAUAUUAUUUGAAUUUUUUACAAUUUUUUAAAAUGGGAGCAUGUGUUCAAAAUUCAUAAGAUUUUUUGAAAAUAUGUGUCUUUGUACACGAACAUUAUUUUUAAUUUUGAAAAAUUCACUAAAAAUGAUGUUUUUUUACAUUUGGAGCAUUUUUUGAAAUGCCAUUUUCUUUCUAGAAAUCUCGAACAAUUUCUAAAACAACAGAAAAUUCAAAAAUUGGCUACUUUUUGCACGUUCCGAAUAUUUUCAAAAUAGCAACAAAAUUUUAAAAUUCUGAACAUUUUCCAAAAUUUGUUUAUUUCUAAUCAUUAACGGUUUUUGAGAAUUUCUUAUUUACAAAAUAAAUUCUAAAAUAAAAAUAAACUUGGAAGGCAACAAAUAGUUAGUGAAAGCAAAAUAAAAAUAGAAGUAAGACACAAAAUAAAAGAACAAUGAGGCAGCCCAUUAUUGGCUGUCCUGUGUGAAACUCCCAGUGUUUGUCGCCCAGCGUGGAAAAUAGAAUUUUGCCAGCUGCGUGGGCAAACAAAUAUGUGGGCUGGCUUCGCUGGGCCACAACGCGCGGCCCAUGUACAGAAAAUAAUUUUUCUAAAAACAUGAACAUUAUUUGAAUUUUUUACCAUUUUUUAAAAUGGGAGCAUGUGUUCAAAAUUCAUAAGAUUUUUGGAAAAUGUGUGUCUUUGUACACGAACAUUAUUUUUAAUUUUCAAAAAUUCACUAAAACAUGAUGUUUGUUUACAUUUGGAGCAUUUUUUGAAACGCCAUUUUCUUUCUAGAAAUCUCGAACAAUUUCUAAAAACAAUAGAAAAUUAAAAAUAUGGGCUACUUUUUGCACGUUUCGAAUAUUUUCAAAAUAGCAACAAAAUUUUGAAAUUCUGAACAUUUUCCAAUAUUUGUUUAUUUCUAAUCAUUAACGGUUUUUGAGAAUUUUUAAUUUACAAAAUAAAUUUUAAAUAAAAAUAAACUUGGAAGGCAAAAAAUAGUUAGUGAAAGCAAAAUAAAAAUAGAAGUAAGACACAAAAUAAAAGAAAAUUGAGGCAGCCCAUUAUUGGCUGUCCUGUGUGAAACUCCCACUGUUUGUCGCCCAGUGUGGAAAAUAGAAUUUUGCCAGCUGCGUGGCAAACAAAUAUGUGGGCAGGCUUCGCUGGCCCAUAACGCGCGGCCCGUGUCCAGAAAAUAGUUUUUCUAAAAACAUGAACAUUAUUUGUAUUUUUUACAAUUUUUUAAAAUGCAAGCAUGUGUUCAAAAUUCAUAAGAUUUUUGGAAAAUGUGUGUAUUUGUACACGAACAUUAUUUUUAAUUUUGAAAAAUUCACGAAAACAUGAUGUUUUUUAACAUUUGGAGCAUUUUUUGAAAUGCCAUUUUCUUUCUAGAAAUCUCGAACAAUUUCUAAAAACAAUAUAAAAUUAAAAAAAUGGGCUACUUUUUGCACGUUCCGAAUAUUGUCAAAAUAGCAACAAAAUUUUGAUAUUGUGAACAUUUUCCAAAAUUUGUUUAUUUCUAAUCAUUAACGGUUUUUAAGAAUUUUUAGUUUACAAAAUAAAUUUUAAAUAAAAAUAAACUUGGAAGGCAAAAAAUAGUUAGUGAAAGCAAAAUAAAAAUAGAAUUAAGGCACAAAAUAAAACAAAAAUGAGGCAGCCCAUUAUUGGCUGUCCUGUGUGUAACUCACACUGUUUGUCGCCCAGUGUGGAAAAUAGAAUUUUGCCAGCCGCUGGGCAAAAAAAUAGGUGGGCUGGCUUCGCUGGGCUACAACCCACGGCCUAUGUACAGAAAAUAAUUUUUCUAAAAACAUGAACAUUAUUUGAAUUUUUACCAUUUUAUAAAAUUGGAGCAUGUGUUCAAAAUUCAUAAGAUUUUUGCAAAAUGUGUGUCUUUGUACACGAACAUUAUUUUUAAUUUUGAAAAAUUCACUAAAACAUUAUGUUUUUUAACAUUGAAGCAUUUUUUGAAAUGCCAUUUUCUUUCUAGAAAUCUCGAACAACUUCUAAAAACAAUAGAAAAUUAAAAAUUGGUCUACUUUUUGCAUUUUCCGAAUAUUUUCAAAAUAGCAACAAAAUUUUGAAUUUCUGAACAUUUUCCAAAAUUUGUUUGUUUCUAAUCAUUAACGGUUUUUGAGAAUUUUUAAUUUACAAAGUAAAUCCUAAAAUAAAAAUAAACUUGGAAGGCAAAAAAUAGUUAGUGAAAGCAAAAUAAAAAUAGAAGUAAGACACAAAAUAAAAGAAAAAUGAGGCAGCCCAUUAUUGGCUGUCCUGUGUGAAACUCCCACUGUUUUUCGCCCAGUGUGGAAAAUAGAAUUUUGCCAGGUCCUUGGGAAACCAAUAUGUGGGCUGGUUUCGCUGGGCCACAACGCGCGGCCCAUGUACAAAAAAUAAUUUUUCUAAAAACAUGAACAUUAUUUGAAUUUGUUACCAUUUUUUAAAAUGGGAGCAUGUGUCAAAAUUCCUAAGAUUUUUGGAAAAUGUGUGUAUUUGUACAAGAACAUUAUUUUUAAUUUUGAAAAUUCACUAAAACAUGAUGUUUUUUACAUUUGGAGCAUUUUUUGAAAUGCCAUUUUCUUUCUAGAAAUCUCGAACAAUUUUUAAAAACAAUAGAAAAUUAAAAAAUGGGCUACUUUUUGCACGUUCCGAAUAUUUUCGAAAUAGCAACAAAAUUUUGAAAUUCUGAACAUUUUCCAAAAUUUGUUUAUUUCUAAUAAUUAAUGGUUUUUGAGAAUUUUUAAUUUACAAAAUAAAUUCGACAAUAAAAAUAAACUUGGUAGGCAAAAAAUAGUUAGUGAAAGCGAAAUAAAAAUAGAAGUAAGACACAAAAUAAAAGAAAAAUGAGGCAACCCAUUAUUGGCUGUCCUGUGUGAAACUCCCACUGUUUGUCGGCUAGUGUGGAAAAUAGAAUUUUGCCAGCUGCGUGGGCAAACAAAUAUGUGGGCUGGCUUCGCUGGGCCACAACGCGCGGCCCAUGUACGGGAAAUAAUUUUUCUUGCAGACAAGCGCAUAAGAAUUUAGUACUACCUUGGAUACGAAAAAUUUGUUUUCGACGGUGAACGGAUGAAAAUUUUGAAGAAACGCACCUUGCUUUAUUAGUAGGUAUAGAUUACAACAUGAGCCAAUCAAUGUUUCAGAACUACACAUAUAAUCACUACUGUCGACUCGACUCAUGGGACGGGAGUGUGGAUGAAGCCGCCGUCUGUCGUGAUGGUCAUGAAAUCGCGGACGUUAUCAGCCUGCAUUUGUAGCGUUGUGUCUAUCUCACUGUUGAACGGUUGAUGUCUGAGGUAGAACUGCCCCAAGGUACGAAGGACAUCUUGAUGGAUAAUUUCCGCAAACUCUGACUGGAUGUGAAAGAAUUCUUGUCUGAUGUCCGCGUCCUAGAUUGCCGACAAGCUCGCGGCCCAAUCUUUGAGAUUAUCUGGUAGCAGAAGGUGAUGAUGGUCCUGUACGAUCGUCCGCAUGUGAUGGAGGGCGUAGUAGGCAUCCUUCUGACCGCCAGGCGGCUGCUUGACGCAGGAGAACUUUGUAUUGUGGGCAAACACGUGCGCGCCGUACCGCCUACGAACUGGCUUGGCGAAGGUGCCUCCAGAUUUGGCGUAGCCGGGGAGAACAUCAUCAAGAACUUUCUUGAUAUUUGUGUAGUCUAUCUUGGAGUCACGGUCCGGAUCGAAAUACGUGGCCAUGGAAUAUUUUGGGCUUAAGAUGAUGAGUGUGCAAUGUGUGUCACUGCACAGAACACGGAAUGUUAGAAAAAAAAGAACGAUCGAAAUCUAAGAAAUCAUAUGUUACGGGGCGGUGAGGGGAUGACUUACUCGGGAAAGUAAGGCACGAGGAAGUUAUCCUUAUCUUGGUUUGCCAGAAUGACGCCUUCGAGGUAAGAACUCGCGACUUGCCGGUCCCCAGCGCUGCCCAAGAUCUUGGCACGCAUGUAGAAGGGGUCGACUAUCACGAUGUCCGGGGUCUUGUCUAUAAUGAUCUGCAUCUCCAUACUCAGCGAAAACAGCCGAACGAAGGUGUAUUGCAGCGGAUGAAGGUUAAACAUAGCAAAGAUGUCAUCAAACCGCAGGACGAUCGUACCCCCGAUGGCGCCAUCCACGAAGCCCUUGUCCUUUGGCACCUUGGCCACGAAAACCGGGUAUGCCACAUCAUUCUCUCUGAGACGCCGCUUCUCCAAAGAAAGAACACUGUCAUGCAGACUCCGCAUAGCACCGGUUGCAGCAUUGAGCAUAUUUGUCGGUAGCAUCGCCCUACCCGCCACAUGCACCCUCCUCGAGAUAUCCUUAGGUGAAGGUGGCCCGUCCUGAGCGCGGAUCGUACUCGGUGCCGGCUGGCUCGCACCCUUGUUACUCUUUCUUUUCUGUCCCUUCUUCUUCUGUUGUAAUGGGACCGAGUUCUGCUCACAGACCGCCUUCUUGAGUGUGUUGGGGCUGAUAAUAUUUGGCACCUCGGCUAUCUGAGGCUCGGUGAAGUCGGAAGCUGGAGGCGUCUCCUGAGAACUGAACGCCAGACGACGCCUGUUGCAACUGGGUUUCUCCGCCGUACCAGCUAGACCGUGGUCGUCUUGGUUGGGUUCUUGAGAGAGAGGCCUGCAGAAUUCAUCAUCGUACCCAUGUUCGGCAAAGUACUUAUCGACGUUGCUAAAUGUACGGUCGUCGUCGUUGUCGUCGUCGUCCAGAUGCUGUGCCAUAUGCAUGUUCGGAUCCUGUGCCAUAGGGAUGUCCGGCAUGUCCGGUAGCGUUGUGGCGGUCUUGCCAUGGCUUGGCGCCGGCACGACUGGCGGUGUUGUCUCUGGGGUGGUGUCCCCCGCCCCCAAACGAAUCUGGCUCUUCGGCCAAAGCAGGGGCCAGCUUAGGCAGGCGCUGAGGGUCAUCAGAUCAUCUUCGUCGGCCCCUGCGGGUCGAAUCGGAGGUAACAACUCGUCGCAGCCUGGCAGCACCCGAAACAGUUGAACCCUAUACAUGGUGGGUGGCAUCGGUUUACCGUGGAACACGGGGUUGCCCGGUUGAAUAAUUUUGCCCUUGGCGACAUCGACCAACUCGUCGUUCACGAAGUGCAGGAGAGUGCACGGAACGUCGGCGGCGCCCUGCGAAAACAUGUAGGGCGCUAGGGAUGCCCAGUCAAAGGCAAAAUGAGAUGAAGUCCUCGGCCGAGAGGCUUAAUUAGUUACCGUGAUGAUGGCGUCGAGCUCGGCUAAUGUCGAGGCACCACCAACGGCGGGCGUGCAACUGACGGAGGGGCCGCUUGCUGGCGAGGUGCCGGCCGGCGUACACCCGGGUGCAUUAAGCUCCAAUGCCGGCCGUGCCGGCGUCGGAGAUACCAAUACCGCCGCCGCCGGAGACACCAAUGGCGCCGCCUGCGCAUUGUGCGAGUUGCUGGCCGUGAAGCUGGGAAUCGGGGGCGGCCCCUGUUGGCCACUGUCAGUGUCAAAACCGGCGGAUCUUGGGUAGGGGGUCCCGAACUGUGCGUCUAGGCGGAUGGUAACAGGAGACAAGGGACACGAUGUUUUUACCCAGGUUCGGGCCCUCUCGGCGGAGGUAAAACCCUACUCCUGCUUGAUUAAUAUUGAUGAUAUGGGUAGUACAAGAGUAGAUCUACCACGAGAUCAGAGAGGCUAAAACCCUAGAAGCUAGCCUAUGGUAUGAUUGUUGUUCGUCCUACGGACUAAAACCCUCCGGUUUAUAUAGACACCGGAGAGGGUUAGGGUUACACAGAGUCGGUUACAAUGGAAGGAGAUCUACAUAUCCGUAUCGCCAAGCUUGCCUUCCACGCCAAGGAAAGUCCCAUCCGGACACGGGACGAAGUCUUCAAUCUUGUAUCUUCAUAGUCCAGGAGUCCGGCCGAAGGUUAUAGUUCGGCUAUCCGGACACCCCCUAAUCCGGGACUCCCUCAGUAGCCCCCGAACCAGGCUUCAAAGACGAUGAGUCCGGCGCGCAGAUUUUGUCUUCGGCAUUGCAAGGCGGGUUCUUCUCCAACUUCUGUGUACCUGUUGAAUAGUGUCCAGCUUUUCGUGAAUAUUGCGCUCCUUGGCUUCCGCGCCCAAUAAUGGCCGUCUUCCACGUGUCAAACGAAUGUGAAAAGCCAGGGUGUUUUACUUUUACCCCCUAGCUGCGCAAAUAAGCUGCCUUAUAAAAGAGACGAGGAUUUAGAUCCGAAUCACACCAUCUCCCCUUCGCGAGCAUUCAUCGGAGCGCAUCUGACAGAAACCCAUUCCAUCAUGGCCAGUCGACGCAACUCCUCCUCUCGCCCUGCCAGCCCUCAACCUGGAGAUUGGGAGAGAUGUUCCGUCCCACACAGCGAGCUAGUGACGCUCCAAACCAAGGGAUUUCUUCCCCCAGCCUUCAUGGUUCCGGUUCGAGCCGGACUCGCCACCUAUAAUGGCGGAAAGCAGGCAGAGAGCGUCCCCAAUCCCUCCAAAGGAGAGCGGGUAUGCCUUGUCCCUUACUUAAUAAGAGGGCUCGGGUUUCCAAUUCAUCCGUUUCUCCAGGGGCUCCUGGAGUUCUACGGCCUCCAGCUGCACAACCUUACGCCUGCCUCCAUAUUGCAUAUCGCGGGCUUCGUAGCCCUUUGCGAGCUGUUCUUGGGCGUCGAGGCUCACUUCACGCUGUGGAAGAAGCUGUUCUGCCUUGUGCCCUGUUCUCAGGAGGGGUCGAUAUAUCAAGUGGGCAGAGCCGAACUAUGGCGCAUCACCGGGACCGGAUAUCUAUCCGGAACCCCAAAGAAGGCAUCCGAAGACUGGCCUUCAGAAUGGUUUUAUAUAGAAGAUGUCCCCCUGCCGGACCUUGUGCGGAUCGGCCUUCCUGAGUUCAAUAAUGCUUCUUUGAAGAAGCGCCUAAGCUGGCGCCCACAGAGCCCUCAGAAGGAAAAUGACAGGGACGUCCUUUACCCGAUGAGCCGGAUAAGAUUACUAGCUCAUUCCGGACUGACCAUGAUCGGGGUCAUGGCCACAUGCAUCAUGCGGGGGGUGCAGCCGCUUCAGUAUAGGGGCCACCCCAUGUGGGACUUCAAUGGGGAGGAUGAUGCCACCCGCUGCGGCCGUAAGGGGCCGGAAUCAGUUGCUGCUCUGACGAAGGCCUUGUCCGCAUUAUACAAGGGAGAAGAGGAGGAUUUCCUCCGCGUCAAUCCACAGGGCGGAUUUUCUAUGUACGAUCCUCCAAGCUGGGUAAGCGGACACUUCUUUAUGCCCAUCCGUUCCAUAUUCCCGUAGUUAGGUACCUUAUUCUGUGAUUUUGACGCAGGAAUUGCGCCGGGCUGUAAAGGAUAUAAACAGCCCUCCUCCACAACCCGAGGAUCCGGAAAGGUCCCUCGAUCCGGCCUCCCAAGAGGAUCCGGACAUAUCCGUGGAGCUGAUCGAUGGGGUAUUUUACCAACUGAGCAUCGACAAUGCCUUGUUCGCCAUUACGGCCGAUUACCCCGGAAUAUUUCCAGCCUCACAGGUAACUGAGACCGAAGUCCCAAUACUUUGAAAAUGAUCCACCCAUGCUUAUCUUUGAUCACCGUAUAUCAAUCGUGUUUUGCGGGGGAGCCCUUGAGGCAGAAGGCCGAGGCUGCGGUGGCUAGCCAACAAGGGGCAGCAAGGCCCAGCAGGCUGAAAAGAAGUGCUGUCCGGAUUGAGACGCCGGCGCCGCGAUGUGGCAUGCCUUCUUAUUCCCAGGUUUUAUUCCCGGAAGGUAUACUAACGCUCGUGCUUUCUUCAGGAAAAAGAGCGCUCGCCGGACUAUAUCCGGAGAGGCUACCAAUCGAGCCUCCACCAACCAGGCUCCAAAGCCAGGUCCAGAGGUGGAGGCGAACACGAGGCGUGCGCCGGACACUCCUCCGACAGAGGAUGCCGACGGACUAUCUGCCACCAAUUCCGAGGUGGAGAGUGCCAUGAAUCACAGGCGUCGCCAGACUGUUCUUCGUGACGCAUGUUUCUCCCAAGAGGCAUUGGAUGCCUUCAAUUUGGGAGAUGCGCACCUCCGUGCUGCUCAAAAUGGUCUAGCCAGAGCCACAGAGCAGUAUGUGAAAGACAUACGGGUGAGAAAAUUUGAUGGUUAUAUAUACCAGUAGCCCCCGAGACUUGAAAUAGUUAGAAUAACUGAUUUAAGGAUCAUUUAUUAUGCAGGAUCUUACAAAAAAGAAUACCCAACUGUCCCGGGAGCUGGAAGAGUGCAAAGCCCAACUUGAGGCCGCACUAGCCGCUGCAGGGGAGGCCAAGGAGACCCCCUCUGGUAAUAUACGCUUCGAAAGAUAAGUAUGUUGUGAAGUGCGGCAUAUGUGUAAAUCUGACAAUAUCAUUGCAGAUGGCGCCGGAGUAGAUCCGGACAAGCAACAACUCUUGCGUCGGUUAAAAGCCGGGGAGAGCGUGCUUACGAGGGUGAGGCAGGAGAAGAAUAAUCUCCAAGAUGCCAACACCCAGCUGGAAGAGGAACUCAAAGAUGUUCGUGCCCAGCUGGCGGACUCCGUGAAGGAGAAUCGACGGCUUCGACACGGCAUUUUUAGUAAGUGCUUGAACGAACUUUGAAAAAGAGUUCGGCGAAGAAGUCGACUAACAGAGUUAUGUCUGUAGGUAUGCUCACAGAUCGUCCUGCAGAGGAAAUGCCCGGUUCUACAGGUGACCUUCUUCCCGAGCUCAUACAACUGCACGAACGAGUUCGGCAGGUGAUGAAGGGCGUCACCCAGGCCUUGUGGCCAUCUGUCUUCCUGCCCGAAGGCCUUGGAGAGCUUGCAGAGAGGCUUAAGGGAGCGCGGCGGCGGGUCCGAUUAUGGAAGAUAUCGGCCUGCCGUCAAGGCGCCAGGGAGGCCUGGGCCAUGGUGAAGACGCGGUACACGAAGGCUGACCCAAACCACAUGGCCGAGGUCGGACCUGUGGGGCCCGAUGGGAAGGAGAUCCCUGUGAGCUUAGUGUACGGCCAAGUAGAAUUGGCCGCAAAGUAUUCCCAAUAGGACUGUAAGCUAGACAACCUAUUAGAUGGUAUUAAGGAGGAAUACACCCAGUCAAUUUGACUAUGUAAUUUAAGAUGACAUGUAAAAAUGCCUUCUAGCCGGAUUGUAGAUCGUUUGUCAUGGCGGACCUUUUCGCUUCAACCUCGGGACCCUAUAGUCCGAGGUGUGUCCGAAUACCAUCAUGGUUAUGUAAGAACCGGGGUAUGCGUGGGGACCAGGCAUAGGGGUCAUUAGUGCUUUAACAGACAAGUGCCCAACUAGUUAUGUUAUAUUACAUGGUUAGUAAGAAACAUCUUCCAGGGAGAAUAGUUCCGUUAGGGGUUCCUUUCCCUGGGAGGCAUGCCUUAAAGUGCAUGUCCGUACUGCGGAAAAAAGCAGAAAAGCAUCUGGGGGCGGAUAAAUAAAUAAGUGAGAAAUCAUCUUUAGUUCUCCGACCGAAUAUUCCCUUAAGAACGCUAGCUUUCGGCUUCACCCAGUCUGAGGUACACAUCCGGCUGACCCGGCGGUAACAAUCGCAGAGGUGCUCCCUUUACCACCUAGCCGAACAAUCGGGAACGUAGGGGUAAGCACAGGAGCCAGGCAACCCAGCUUGACCAAAACUUAAGUCAUAUCGAUGCAUAUAAUGGUGAAUAAAAGGUACAUGCGGAAGCAUUACGCAUGUGUUAGGCAUAAAGCCCGUAAAAUAAGCUUCUGUUGAAGAAGCCCCCAGGUAUAAUGAGUGCGGAUAGCGUGUCAAGUGUGUGCGAACAAUGCGCAAACGAGCCUUUAAAGGCUGUAAGAGAAAAAGAGGGAGAAGGAGAGAAAUAUAAGAUAGCUAAUGUGUAAAAAAUAGACAGAGGAAGGAGACGAACUCAGAAUCCGGCGCUAGGCGUAGAAUCUUCGGAGACGGGCUGCGUUCCAUGGGUUCGGCUCGAGUCGGUUAUCUGAUGCAUCUCGCAGACGGUACGCUCCACCGGUCAGGACUUGGUCGAUAAUAAAGGGACCUUCCCAUUUGGGCUUGAGUUUGUCCUUUUUCUUGUCCGGCAGGCGUAGAACUAAUUCGCCAACAUUGUAAGUUUUGGCCCGUACUUCUCUGCUUUGAUAUCUUCGAGCCUGCUGUUGAUAGAAUGUGGAACGGGCUUUGGCCACGUCACGCUCCUCCUCCAAGGCGUCCAAACUGUCCUGCUGAUCGAGCUCGACUUCUCUUUCUUCAUACAUGCGCACACGAGGUGAGUCAUGAAUUAUGUCGCAGGGCAGAACUGCCUCUGCGCCGUAUACCAUAAAGAAUGGUGUGAAUCCGGUGGUGCGAUUCGGCGUGGUCCGCAGCCCCCAGAGUACGGAGUCAAGCUCCUCUACCCAGUGCGUGUUAGAUUCCUUGAGGGACUGCACUAAUCUGGGUUUGAUGCCGGUCAUGAUUAGACCAUUUGCUCGUUCGACUUGACCGUUAGUUUGAGGGUGAUAGACUGAAGCAUAGUCGAGCUUGAUGCCCAUGUUUUUGCACCAGAGUUUGACCUCGUCGGCCAUGAAGUUCGUGCCAUUAUCAGUGAUGAUGCUGUGGGGGACGCCGUAACGGUGUACGACCCCUGAUAUGAAGUUUAUCACCGGUCCGGAUUCAGCCGUCUUAACAGGCUUGGCCUCUAUCCAUUUGGUGAAUUUAUCCACCAUGACCAGUAGGUAUUUUUGCUUGUGGGUUCCUCCUUUAAGGGGUCCAACCAUGUCAAGCCCCCAGACCGCGAAGGGCCAGGUGAUGGGUAUAGUUUGGAGGGCGGUGGGUGGCAUGUGGCUUUGCUUAGCAAAGAGUUGGCAACCGACGCAUCGUUGGACUAAGUCCUGAGCAUCUUCCCGGGCCGUCGGCCAAUAGAAUCCUGUAUGGAAGGCCUUGCUUACAAGGGCCCGGGCUGCGGCGUGGUGCCCGCCGAGUCUGGCAUGAAUUUCAGCCAGAAGAUUCCGCCCUUCCUCUUCGGAGAUACACCUUUGAAGGACUCCGGUGGUGCUUUUCUUAUAAAGCUCUCCCUCAUGGACUUUAUAGGCUUUAGAUCGCCGCACUAUGCAGCGUGCCUCAUUUUGGUCCUCAGGAAGUUCCUGCCUAGUUAGGUAGGCUAGGAAUGGUUCCGUCCACGGGGCAAUGACUGCCAUUAUUACGUGGGCUGAAGAUGUUACUUCGUUGGCAGAGCCUCCAAUUGUGUCAGAAUGUUCGGUGUCGAGCAGUGUUGUUGGGUCCGGGAUGUUAUUUCCGGACUCCCCUUCCCAUGAUACGGAUAGCNNNNNNNNNNNNNNNNNNNNNNNNNNNNNNNNNNNNNNNNNNNNNNNNNNNNNNNNNNNNNNNNNNNNNNNNNNNNNNNNNNNNNNNNNNNNNNNNNNNNNNNNNNNNNNNNNNNNNNNNNNNNNNNNNNNNNNNNNNNNNNNNNNNNNNNNNNNNNNNNNNNNNNNNNNNNNNNNNNNNNNNNNNNNNNNNNNNNNNNNNNNNNNNNNNNNNNNNNNNNNNNNNNNNNNNNNNNNNNNNNNNNNGGCAUCACGCUUUGCGCCAAUGCGUGCCAGGACGUCUGCUACCUGAUUGUUUUCCCGGGCUAUAUGGUGAAAUUCGAGCCCCUCGAACCGAGCUGACAUUUUUAGGACGGCGUUGCGAUAAGCUGCCAUUUUCGGAUCCUUGGCAUCAAAGUCUCCAUUUAUUUGGGAUAUCGCGAGGUUCGAGUCCCCGCGCACCUCUAGGCAUUGAAUGCCCAUGGAUACUGCCAUCCGGAGACCAUGUAGAAGGGCCUCAUAUUCGGCUGCGUUGUUGGAGUCCGUAUACAUUAUCUGGAGUACGUAUUGAACUGUAUCUCCUGUUAGGGACGUCAGAACGACGCCAGCCCCCAGACCAGCCAACAUUUUGGAGCCGUCGAAGUGCAUGAUCCAGUUGGAAUAUGUCCCGUACUCUUUAGGGAGUUCGGCUUCAAUCCAUUCGGCGACGAAGUCAGCCAAAACUUGCAACUUAAUUGCUCGCCGUGGCUUAUAGGUUAUGUCGAACGGGAAGAGCUCAAUGGCCCAUUUGGCAAUCUGGCCCAUCACGUCGCGGUUGUUUAUAAUGUCAUUAAGAGGUACUUCGGAAGCUACUGUUAUCGAACACUCUUGAAAGUAGUGUCGAAGCUUCCGGGAUGCCAUAAACACCGCGUACGCUAUCUUUUGAUAAUGCGGAUACCGUGACUUGCAUGGAGUGAGGACAGUGGACACAUAGUAGACUGGUUUUUGAAGGGGAAACUUGUGUCCAUCUGUUUCUGGUUCGACAACGAGCACCGCGCUUACAACUUGAUGAGUUGCGGCGAUGUAUAAUAGCAUUGGUUCGCCCAUGUUGGGCGCGGCCAGGACCGGGUUUGUUGCCAAUAUGGCUUUUAUUUCUUCGAGUCCGGCCGUGGCGGCAUCCGUCCACUCAAAGUGUUCGGUGCGCCGGAGGAGGCGAUAGAGGGGUAAUGCCUUUUCUCCUAGACGGGAGAUGAAGCGGCUUAGAGCCGCCACACAUCCGGUCAAUUUUUGUAUUUGUUUGAGGUUCUUUGGGAUAUCCAAUUGUGACAGAGCUCGGAUCUUGGCUGGGUUUGCUUCAAUUCCUCUACCGGAUACAAUGAAGCCCAAGAGCUUUCCGGCUGGUACGCCGAAAACGCAUUUUUCCGGGUUAAGCUUGAUGUCAUAUGUUCGGAGAUUAUCGAAUGUGAGCCUCAAGUCGUCUACUAGAGUUUCGACAUGCUUGGUUUUGACGACCACAUCAUCUACGUAUGCCUCCACUGUUUUGCCGAUCUGGUUUGCCAGACAUGUCUGAAUCAUGUGCUGAUAUGUUGCGCCGGCGUUUUUGAGCCCGAAGGGCAUUGUGUUGAAGCAGAAUGGACCGUAUGGGGUGAUAAAUGCCGUUGCGGCUUGAUCAGGUUCUGCCAUCUUAAUUUGAUGGUAGCCAGAGUAUGCGUCAAGGAAACACAAUGAACCGUGUCCUGCGGCAGCGUCGAUAAUUUGAUCGAUGCGGGGGAGGGGGAAGGGAUCCUUUGGGCAAGCCUUGUUGAGGUCCUUGAAAUCGACACAUAGGCGCCAUGAUUUGUCCUUCUUUGGUACCAUCACCAGGUUUGCUAGCCAGUCCGGAUGUUUUAUAUCUCUGAUGAAUCCGGCCUCCAAUAGUUUGGCUAGCUCCUCUCCCAUGACUUGUCUCUUAGGUUCAGAGAGACGCCAAAGAGCCUGUUUGACUGGCUUGAAUCCUUUUAGGAUGUUUAGGCUGUGCUCGGCCAGCCGGCGUGGGAUUCUUGGCAUGUCUGAAGGGUGCCAUGCAAAAAUGUCCCAAUUUUCACGUAGGAAUUCUCGUAGUGCGGCGUCUACAUCAGGGUUUAAUUGUACCCCAAUGGAAGCCGUUUUUGUAGGGUCCGUUGGGUGGACUUGGAAUUUGACUAUUUCGUCUGCUGGUUUAAAGGAGGUGGACUUGGAUCUUUUAUCGAGUAUCACAUCGUCCCUGUUCACCGUGGAGCGUAGCGCAGUCAGUUCCUCGGCCGCUAGGGCUUUGGAUAGUGCCUCAAGGGCUGGUGCGGCUGUCUUAUUUUCGGCGCGGAGUGCUAUGUCCGGGUCAUUAGCAAGAGUGAUGAUUCCGUUGGGCUUGGGCAUUUUGAGCUUCAUGUACCUGUAAUGGGGUAUAGCUUGAAAAAUUGUGAAUGCCUCUCGCCCUAAUAGAGCGUGGUAUCCGCUGCUGAACGGGGCCACUUAGAACAUGACCUCCUCGGACCUGUAAUUAUCCGGCGUGCCGAACACAACAUCCAGUGUGGUUUUACCUGUGCAGCUCGCUUCCCGACUGGGGAUUAUUCCUCUAAAGGUUGUGCUGCUUCGCUCAAUGCGGCUCCAGUCUAUUUUCAUUUUUCAAAGGGUUUCCUCAUAAAUGAGGUUCAAUCCGCUGCCACCGUCCAUGAGUACCUUGGUAAGGCGAACGCCGUCCACUAUUGGACUGAGGACCAAUGCUGCUGGUGCUCGGGCUGUUCGGAAUUUAGGUUCAUCACUGGCAUUAAAGGUAAUAGCCGUGUCACUCCAUGGAUUUAUUGUUGCUACUUGGUAGACUUCGGCGAGGCUGUGGAGUGUUCAUUUUCGCAUAUUGUUUGAUGCGAAAGUCUCGAAGACUAUUAAUACCGUACUGGUAUCCUUGGGCUGGUGCUCCGUGGAUGCUGGGGUUAGAAGCUCCUCACCGCUUUUGGCCACCUGCCGGAGUAUCCAACAUGCUCUAAGGCUAUGAGUUGGUGUAGCGCCCUCUGUGCUAUGAAUUUUACAGGGUCCGUUGAGCCACCCCUCCAGUACGGUUCCAUGCCUCGUGGGGGGUUUUUGUUUUUUGUUGUUUAACCCGGGUGAUUGGCGAUAAUGCACCCUUUUGUUUCGGACUGGGUUUGUAUUCAGGGCCGGAUUGUCCCAAAAUCUUACUUCGGUUUUCCAGGCGCUUUCCAUCGGACAGUACUUUCAUACUAUGGACGCCAAGUCAGCAAAGCGUGUAAUUUCACGGUGACUUAUGGCGUUGAGGAUUCCCAUGUCCGUGCAAUUAUUGUAGAAGAAUGAAAUUGCGUCUUCCUCGCGGCAGUCCUUUAUCCUGUUCAUAACCAGGAGGAAUCUGGCCCAGUAAUGAUGUACUGUUUCUUCAGGCUCUUGCCUAAUAUUGAAUAGAUCGCCUAUGUUUGGGUGGGUGGGUGGAAUUAGAUCUGAAACCCCACCCAAUCUGAGGCUCAAGGGCCAAGGAGUUUUCGAACUCGGAAGCUUGGAUUCUUGGAUGUUAUCCACUGAAUCUAGCCCGUUGCCUGACUCUAAGUUCGGGUCUUGAGUGACGUCCUCCCCUCCGUGGGUAUCCGGCUUGGAGGGAUUGGGAAUCCGGACAUAAAUAGUCCUUAAGAUAGAUGAGGGGUCGCCGCGUUGUUCCUCCACCACAUCAACGUGAUGGGUGACCUGGGGAGAGUUAAUCUCUCUCAGAUCGGGUUUAGGCCUGAUCUGAUCGUAGUCUGUAGCGACUCCCAGGGCGGCGAUGCGAUCCAAGAGCUCGUUUAAAGAAGAGAGCUCCAUCGGAUCUAACUGCUCGGCGAGUUCCAAGUUGACGUGAAGAUUGCUUUUGAUGACCCGAGAAGUCAUCGUCGGCGCGGCGGCCGAACAGGCGGUCAUAAGAAAACCGCCUAGCCGGAGAGUUUGGCCGAUAGCCAAAGCUCCUUUAGCAACAGAGCCGUCUUUAAAGACGGGAUGAGGCAUCCUUCCUGAUGGCGAUAGCACAGCGGAACUCUCAAUGAAAGCACCAAUGUCGGUGUCAAAAUCGGCGGAUCUCGGGUAGGGGGUCCCGAACUGUGCAUCUAGGCGGAUGGUAACAGGAGACAAGGGACACAAUGUUUUCACCCAGGUUCGGGCCCUCUCAAUGGAGGUAAAACCCUACUCCUGCUUGAUUAAUAUUGAUGAUAUGGGUAGUACAAGAGUAGAUCUACCAUGAGAUCAGAGAGGCUAAAACCCUAGAAGCUAGCCUACGGUAUGAUUGUUGUUCGUCCUACGGACUAAAACCCUCCGGUUUAUAUAGACACCAGAGAGGGUUAGGGUUACACAGAGUCGGUUACAAUGGAAGGAUAUCUACAUAUCCGUAUCGCCAAGUUUGCCUUCCACGCCAAGGAAAGUCCCAUCCGGACACGGGACGAAGUCUUCAAUCUUGUAUCUUCAUAGUCCAGGAGUCCGGCCGAAGGUUAUAGUCCGGCUAUCCGGACACCCCCUAAUCCGGGACUCCCUCAGCCACCCGCAAUCCACGUCGUCAGCCCAUGAAUCAAGGUAGGCAUAAUGCCGGUGAGCGUCGAUCCCAGUUGUUGUUGCACUUGCUCUUGGACAAUCUCCGGAAUCCGCGCCACUUGUGCCUUGAGUUCUUGAACCUCGCGCGACUGGCUUUCCGAGCUGGUCUUUUUCUCCUUUCGCCCACCAGCGGUAUAGUAUGACGACCAUUUUGUGGACAAGCCUUUGCCGGCCACACGACCAGCUGACGACGGCUUACUGAGCUUAUCCUUGUUUUUCAUUAUGUUCAACGCCCUAUUUAGAGUGCUGUCCCAAGCAGGGGUGCUCUGAGACGACCCCGCGCUACUGCUUUCAGUCUCCUUCGCCAGAACAAGCUCAAGCGCCCUGGUCUUCGGAUCCGUGGUAAGCUCCUUUGUUAUCGGGUCCUCCUUGUACCGGGCCCUGACAUAGUUCCUGGUCUGCUUGUCACUGCUGUAUUUCUCGAAGCGGGGCGGUAGGCGUUGCUCAUACGCUCCGCGUCCUCCUUGUCCCAUAUAGGCUCCGCCACUCUGUAACCGCCAGGACCGAGUUUGUGUUCCCCUAAGUUCAACUCCCGCAUUUCUUUCCCCCACUGACUUGAUUCGGAGGUUGCACUGCUCUCGCACUUGAUCUUGAACUCCUUGUAGUCCUGUUCGCUGAUCGAAGGAUUUUUCUCCUUGAUCUUCUCAUAACUAUCACCUUUCUCAAUCAUUCUCUUCACCGCGCUUCUCCAAGUAGACAGGGCCGUGCUCAUCCUCAUGAGGGCGGCACUAUUCACUUUAUUCCCUGAGAGGCAUGUGUUUUCAAAUUCAGCGGGGAACUUGUAUCGUUCGUGCAGCUUCGUGACGAGGAGGUUGCGCAAAUUCCCUCGGUCCUUAUGCCUAAGGUUCUCGGUGUUGAUCGAGACGGUGCUCCAGAGAAUGCACCCGAGCUGAACCGAGUACCCCUUGACUAUAUGUUUGGGCUCCGUUGGAUGCCCGUCGGAGUCCACUUGAGUAAAUUCCUCCUUGACGGUGCAGAGCGCGUUCGGGCGCCGGUCCUUCCGUUGCUUCUUCGGUUGGCUGCCAUCUGUGCGUGCGCCGCCAUCAUCGGUGGUUGCAUCCUCGAUGGCACCAUCAGUGGUGGCAUCCUCGGCGACACCAUCAGUGGUCAUCCCCGACGCCACUAGGGGUUGUGUAGUCAGGAUCAGUGUCUUCUGCGGCGUCCUCAUAGCGGUGAGGUUGUUCCUCCAUCUCCUGGGACAACUCCCAGAAUUGCUUGCCGCCCGAACCGCCGGCCUCAUCUUUGUGGGCCAUGUUUCGCUCUAAAUAGGAAAAAAGUUUGGUCAAAAAGUUGGUUAUUGUCAAGGAACAAGAUCAUGGUCUCAUCAUUUAGGGUUUGUCGACACCGAGGCAUCCUAAAAGCUAAUCUUUUAUCAUUUAGGGUUUGUCGACGCUGAGGCACCCUAAAAGCCUAAGCGUACAUCAUUUAGGUUCUCAUCGACACCGAGACACCCUAUAGAAGCCAAGGUUUCAUCAUUUAGGGUCUGUCGAUGCCGAGGCACCCUAAAUGCUAACUUAAGUUUUCAUCAUUUAGGGUUUAUCGAUGCUGAGGCACCCUAGGUUGGGCCUAAUCACUUGGCACUAAUCACUUGGCUUUAUUGCCACCUAUGUUGGGUUUAUCAUCUAGUGUUUAUCGAUGCUAAGGAGAAUUCUAAGUUGGGCCUAAUCACUUGGCUCUAUUGCCACCUAUGGUUUAAUGAAGCAAGAAUGGCGGGGCAGUUGAUCCUACUUAACUAAGUACUAAGAUACCCCGGCCCAUGCAUUAGUCGCAAGUACCCCAUAUGUCCUAUUUUUAGCAAAGUCAUGCUAAAAUUCACGGAAAAUUUCAGCAUGACCUUUGCUGAAAAUAGGACAUAUGGAGUACCCGAAUUUGCCAGAAUGGAAGUUAAUCGACAUUCCGGCAAACUCAAGGGCCUCUCGGGGUACCUGCAAAUUCAUCACGACACAAUGGUCGGAGACAAAACCCAGCAAACUAGCAAAGUUACUGACGUGUUUACAGAAAUUGUUUUCUGUAAAAGAUGAUCAUCAUCUUUGCAAGUCUUUCUCAAUGUGAUCACAAGUAAUUCAGAGGCAUCACAAUAAAGCAACACCCUGCACUAGCCUAAAAACAAGUGAAGUUUCACCCAUAUAAGAACAACUUUACAAAAUCAGAGAAGUUGCUAAUUUUUUUGUAUCCUUCAUACACAUUGGAGUACAAUGCUUUAUAAUGUUCCAUCAUCAUUACAGAAAUCCAAGAAACACAUGGUCUUGAGGAUAUUCUUUAUGACUGAUUAUUUCAGUUUUACAUGCAGAUUUUGACCAAAAAACACAUGGUCUUUUUAACAGUUUUCAGUUUGGACAGAAUACUGAAAACUACAGUUUGGACAGAAUUCCUAACACUUUGGUCUUCUAGUUACAAAACAAAACUGACAUAAUUCUAGAUGCCAUAACUGAAUUUUUUUACAGUAGCUCAAGUUUUUGACAGUAGCUCCUAACUGUACCUAACUGAAUUUUUUGACAGUAGCUCAAGUUUUUGACAGUAGCUCAAGUUUUUGACAGUAGCUCCUAACUGAAUUUUCUGCUUAAAGGGAAGGCUGACUUAAGUGGCAAGAUGAUACAAUUUGCGUAACAUAACAAUAUAUGCAUCUUAAUAUAACACCAUCUCCUAACAGAAAUAGUAUCCCAGGUUUCCAUCUUAAUACCACAAAGAAUACCAUAAAAAAAUCCAGUAGACAUGUAAUUGCAGUGUAUAGAUGGGGAGUUUCUUACUCUACCAGAUCUACUAGGGGGCAAAGUAGAACUGAUAUUCUUUUGCUGACUUCUAGUACAAGGUAUAGAAGAGGAGGUAAAUACAGUAGACAUGUAAUUGCAGUGUAUUAACAGUAUAAUUUCAAUAGAUUCAUAGUGCAAAUUUAUAGUAGAAUUACAAAUACAGUGUGAGCCAGAACCAUACUCCAAAUGUAGUGAACAAUGGGCUACUGUUAAUACACUGUUGUGUGGAAUAAAAUUAUUUGAUUGAUAUUAACUGAUAGUGCUGAAUAAGCAUCACUAACUACUGCUCUGAACAAGAACAAGAUGUGGCAAUGAAACCAAUUGGGUUGAUCUUAUUCUUCCAUACCACGUUAAAGAACAAUAUACUACUCUGUUUUGCACCAACCUACUGUCAGUACACCAUGAAUCUGUACAAUUUGCAUUAGGAGAACCAUCUAUUAAUUACCAAAUCACAGCAGAAAAUCAGUAACCAUAGUAUAGAAAGAAUGUCUAACUGUAUUUCUAAAAUCACAGUUUGCCGAAAUCAGCACAAAUUCAAUGACCACCAAAGAGCCAACAAAGCAUCGGCAACCAUGUUAAUGCUCAGUGACAGCAGGAAAUUAAACAUGGCCAUUCAACAAUGUACUACUCUGUUCUGCACCUAAUGCAGAAGCAUCCUACUAUCGGUGGGUCACCAGCCUUACAUUAUUACUACUACAGCCGUAUGCUUAAAGGAAACUUGCACUGAUCCUAACAAUCUGGCCAGGACACGCUAUAUCACACACACUACCUAGAAAACAACGGCUAACACUUCAUCUGUCAAUUCAAACAUCACAGGGCAUACAAAUGUUUAGCAAUCCAUGCCAUUUACACCUGCACAAAUUUGGUUGCCAGAUGACUAGGUACCAGGUACAGCAGAUUUUUGAAUGCUGAUACCCUGCUCCUACUCAAAAUUGAGAAAUGUGGCAUAAUAGAGAAACAUGACAUUGCCUUUCCAAAUCCUCAUGCUAUACUAGAACAAGAUAUUUCAUAAUGUGACAGCCCUCUCUGCACCCAUGUAUUAUCAAAAAACGAGCACUACAGAGAACCAUCGAUCGACCAAGAAGACAGGGAGCAGGCUAUCUAAGAGGAGGUGAACUUGGUGACGGCCUUGGUGCCCUCGGAGACGGCGUGCUUGGCGAGCUCGCCGGGGAGGACGAGGCGGCAGCCAUGGCCGGGCGGAUGCAAGAAGCCUAGACGACAAGGGGAAAGGAGGGGAGGCGAGGAUUUACCACCAGGGAGAACUUGCCGGAGGAGGUACGCAGGCGUGAAGCGGCGGCGUCUUGUGGAGGAGUCGGGCGGCGGCGGCGUCGCGUCGAGGAGGAGGCGGCGCGUCAAGGAGGAGGCGGCGCGUCGAGCUUGCCACCCACCUUGGAGCCGAAACCCUAGGGGGCGCGAGGGCGAGGACGGUGAAGGGGGCGCGGGGGCGGCGGCGUCGCCGACGGCGUGCAGGCGCGGCGGAUGGAGGGGGCGGAGCAAGGCGGGGCGGCGGCGUACGGUUAGGGCGGAGGGGGCAAAGUUAGGUCGAGUGGGGAUCUGGCGAGGGAGGGGAAUAGGUGGAGUGGGGGGGAAGCUUACUCAUGGCGCACCCCGUAGCAGUGCGCCAUUAGAAUGUUUUUUAGAUAGCAAUGGCGCACCCCGCAGCGGUGCGCCAUUAGAAUGUUUUUUUAUUAUAGUUCGAGCACUCAGGUUAUAUUCCAUCUAACCGUAUCUAAAUUAGAACACACACACUAGCCCAACUGGUCAGCACGCAACACACACAACAGGAGGUCCUGGGUUCGAUUCCCAGGCUCCCCAAUUUUUGUUUUUAUGCAUUUUUUCUUUGCACAUAUCUUUUUAUCCAUGCAUCCAAAUAUAACAUGUCACAUAUGCUAGAUGAUCAGAAUUUCAUGUAGAAAAAUAAUAUGCAGUUUGUUUCCAUGUUAACAACAUUUAAAAUGUCGUUUGAUAUUUAUUUGUGUUUAAAUAUGUUCAAACUUGUUUAAAUCAUAACAGUAAUAUUUUUUUAUAAAAACUGUAAUCAUUUUUUAAAAAAUAUCAUCAAAUUUGUUAUUUGAAAAUAUUUAUGAAUAUGAAAAAAUAUCAUCAAAUUUAUUAUUUGAAAAUAACAUCAAAUUUGUAUUUUUUUGCAAUUUUAGUUGCAUUCAUUUGUGACGGUGGAGCGGGCCGGGGAGGGUGCGAGAGGGUGCGGGGGAGAGGGUGCGGGGGGUGNNNNNNNNNNNNNNNNNNNNNNNNNNNNNNNNNNNNNNNNNNNNNNNNNNNNNNNNNNNNNNNNNNNNNNNNNNNNNNNNNNNNNNNNNNNNNNNNNNNNNNNNNNNNNNNNNNNNNNNNNNNNNNNNNNNNNNNNNNNNNNNNNNNNNNNNNNNNNNNNNNNNNNNNNNNNNNNNNNNNNNNNNNNNNNNNNNNNNNNNNNNNNNNNNNNNNNNNNNNNNNNNNNNNNNNNNNNNNNNNNNNNNNNNNNNNNNNNNNNNNNNNNNNNNNNNNNNNNNNNNNNNNNNNNNNNNNNNNNNNNNNNNNNNNNNNNNNNNNNNNUCAAAAAGUGCCCAUGAAAUACAAUCGAGAAAUGAAGACUACGAUUUAAAUACAAUCGAUCUUAGCUAGCUAUCUGUUCACAAUCUUCUUGCCCUUCUUUUUCGCAAAUGGAGUUCUUCUGUGGAACGGACGUCCUUUAGGUAGGGUGGUCCUGCUUCUUCUUGUGGUGUAUGCUGCUACUUCAUCGUCGUCGUCAUGUUCGAUCUUCGGGUCGCCGUACUUGUCGAAGUCUUGCUCAUUGGCUACUCCAUCCAUUUCGAUGAUCUUCCUUUUGCCUCUCCUCACGACAACACGAUUGUGCUUUGACGGGUCGGUAAUGAAGAAGCAUUGGUCCACUUGGGAAGACAGUACCCAUGGCUCAUUUUUCGCGGUGACGUUUGCGCCCGCAGUCUUGGAUUUGGCUUCGGGUAUAACCAUGGUGGUGAAAUACCGGUCUUCUUUUAUGACGCUUUUGGCCCAUCUGACAUGGAACAUUGGGACCUUCUCUCCAGCGUAGCUCAGCUCCCAGAUCUCCUCGAUCCUUCCAUAGUAUCUGUCCUUGUCGUUACCGGUGUAGGAUUCCAUCGUUACCCUGGAGUUCUGAUAACCAUCGCUCUUCAUGUCCUUGUCCUCGGUGUAGAAUGUGUAGCCGUUGAUAUCGUAUGCCUCAUAGGUCAUCAGGUUGUGCUCGGCGCCCUGUGACAAGGAGAAUAUGAGUUGUUCUUCCGCGGAAGAAUCCUCAUGUAAAGGGUACGACAGAAGCUUCUGCUUGAACCAACGCGUGAAACAUGAGUUGUGCUCUUUGAUUAUAUCUCAGUCCGUCCUCUGUUGGCCUCGGUCAUUGUACGUCUUCUCAAUAAAGGUUUUGUGCUCUACCACCCAAGGAUCGACCACGUCUAUGUGUUGUAGCGCGACUAGGUUUGCUCUUUCAAAGUCAACGAGUCGACCCUCGAAGUCGACAUGCAUUUAGCGGCGACCCUCACGGUGACCCCAUCCAGCGAGCCUGCCGAGGUGCCUGUUGACGGGCAGACCAAUGGGGUCCUCGAUGCCUAGAUAAUUCGUGCAGUAGGAGAUGCACUCUUCGGUCAGAAAGCCCCUGGCUAUGCUUCCCUCUGGACGUGACAUGUUGCGAACGUAUCCUUUGAUGACACCAUUCAUCCUUUCGAAUGGCAUCAUGUUGUGCAGGAACGUCGGCCCGAGUUGGAUGAUAUCCUCCACGAUAUGGACCAGUAGAUGCACCAUAACGUCGAAGAAUGUGGGUGGGAAGUACAUCUCAAGCUCGCAUAGUAUCACCACGAUCUCUUCCCGUAGCCUUCUGAGUUGCCUCACGCCAACCGACUUCCGAGAGAUGACGUCGAAAAAGUUGCAUAGGCCAAAUAGUGUUUCAUGGACGUGCGCGUCCAUGAUCCCACGGAUUGCAACUGGAAGUAUCUGCGUCAUCAGCACGUGACAGUCGUGAGACUUCAUCCCGCUGAACUUCUGCUUCGCUGGGUCUAGGUAUCUGCUUAUCUUCCCCGCGUAAUCGUAAGGAAGUUUUACUCCUACGAGGCAGGUGAAGAACUGCUCGAUCUCCUCCUGACUUAGAGUGAAGCAUGCGGGAGGGUAGUCAUUUCCGGUCUUCUUGGCCUUUUUGCCUUUGCGACGACUUUUCGUGUCCUGCUUCGCCUCAUCAUCAUCAUCAUCAUUAGCGUGAAGCUCCUCCCUGAUGCCCAUUGAUUUCAAGUCUGCCCUUCCUUUCGGCCCAUCUUUGGUCCUCUCUGGCAUGUUGAGCAGGGUACCAAGUAGACUCUCGCACACGUUCUUCGUGAUAUGCAUGACAUCAAGGCUGUGAGGCACACGGUGGAUCUUCCAGUACGGCAAGUCCCAGAAAAUAGACCUCGUUUUCCAUACCUUCAGCAGCGGCUCUGGCGCCUUUCGCUUCUUUCUCGGCUCUGGCACCUUUUGCUUCUUUCCCGGCAGUGGGCAAUCUUUCCAAUUUUUCAACAGCUGGUCUAUUUCCUCGCCGCUCCUCGUACGCGGGCGUCUUCGGGGUUCGGUUUCACCAUCGAACAGAUCCUUGCGUGUCCUCCAUGGGUCAUCGUCACGAAGCCACCUUCGAUGUCCCAUGAACACGGUUUUCGAAGACCCGGGAUCUCUACCUAGCUGGCGAUACGUUGUGUCAUCCAUGCACCUGACGCAUCCAGAAAAUCCGUGGACCACCUGCCCCGCGAGAUAUCCGUAACCGAGAUAGUCGUGCACCGUCGUGAGCAGUGCGGCUCUCAUAGGGAAAUAUUCUUUCUCUGCGGUGUCCCACGUAUUGGCUGGCGUUUUCCACAGCGUGUCUAGCUCCUCUUUCAGCAGCCCCAGAUACAGAUUGAUGUCGUUCCCUGGUUGUUUCGGCCCUUCAAUUAGCAUACUCAUGUGAAUGUACUUCCCCUUCAUGCACAACCAGGGGGGAAGGUUGUACAUCCACACAAACACAGGCCAGGUGCUAUGUGUGCUUCUCUGGCUGCCAAACGGAUUGACUCCAUCGGUGCUCACGCCCAGCACGAUGUUCCUUGGAUCCUUCCCAAAUUCUGGGAGUUCGAAGUUCAACGCUUGCCACUGGCUCGCAUCCUUUGGGUGACUCAGCAUCUUGUCUUUUUUAUUUAUCUCCGGAUCAUUUGCGUCAUCUUCUCGCUUCUUCUCCUCCCUAUCCGCGUGCCAAUGCAGGAGCUUUGCUACCUUAGGGUCCGUGAAAUACCGCUGCAGACGAGGAGUGAUCGGAAAGUACCACACCACUUUUCGAGGAGCUUUCUUCCUCUUCUUGUAUCGAGUGACGCCGCACACCGGACAUAUGGUAGACUCCGCGUGCUCGUCUCGAUAAAUGAUGCAAUUGUUCAUGCACACAUGGUAUUUCACGUGUGGUAAAUCCAAAGGACACACAAUUUUCUUCGCCUCCUCGAAACUGGUCGGGCACUUGUUCCCCUUGGGAAUACGUUCGUGCCAGAAUGACAUGUUCUCGUCGAAGCAUGCGUCGGUCAUUUUGUGUUUUACCUUCAUCUCCAGAGCCAUGAGCGUUACUUUCAGGCGGGUAUCCUCGGGCCUGCAUCCUUCAUACAAUGGAGUAACCGCGUCUAUCUCCAGUUGAUCCAGCUUGGCUUUCUCUCGGGCGGCAGCUCUUGCGUUAUCCGUCUGCUUGAGAAGCAGCUCUUGAAUAUGAGGGUCCUGCACCCAGCCCAUCGAUGGUCCAUUGUCGCCUGCUCCGCCGGCAUCUUCAUCUUCAAGAUCAUGCCCUUCGUCUGCUCCGGCAUCUUCCUCAUCAUCAUGUCCUGCAUCCUCUACAUGAUGACUGUGUAUAGCAUCACCGUCGUGAUCAUGUCCUGGAGAUUCUUCGUCUUCUCGCCCGCCCGAGCCGCGGUGGUUGUCUUGCUGCCCUUCCUCAUUUCUUGCCCGGCCCCACGGACGACUUCAUAGUCAUCUUCAUCACCUUGCCACCGAUAGCCAUCCAUGAAACCACGCAAGAGCAGGUGGUCCCGCACCUGCCCGGAAUCCGGGUCCGCAAUAAGGCUCUUCAGCUUGCAUCUUCGACACGGACAUCUUAUCUCCAUCUCGUUCUUUUCAAGCAUCUCGGCCUUCGCGGAGCUCAAAAACCUAUUCACGAUGCCUUCGGUCAUCGUGCGGACCAUGGUCGCCUGCGGGGUAGAGCAAAACGAUAUUUUAAAACCAAGAAAAAAUUUGGCAUGACUUUCCCUAAAAAUAGGACCAAAAAGAAGGCAUAGUGCCAAAAUUCUCGCCAAAACGGAAAUGAAUCAACAUUCCGGCAAAAUAUUGGCAACUAUCGCAUUUCAAAUACCGGUACCUGCAAACACAAACAUAUAUGCAACACCACAAACAUAUGCAACACCACGAACAUACAUAGAUCUAGCAAGGCCACAAAAAGUGCAUGUGCACGUUGUUGGAGAGGGAGAACAACAUAAAGAUAGCUUCCCCCCUUGCUUACCUAUCAAAAAAGGUAAUUUAACCACUUAAUUUGGAUGAAUCUAUGGUGCAAAUGAGGUGAGGAGGAGGAGGCAGCCGAGACAAGCUUGGAGGAGGAGGUGGAGAAUGAAGUGGGGAAAGUGAGUGGGUAGGUGGGCUGUCCAAAAUAUCUUGUUGGUCCUAGAUUACUAAUGGCGUACCACCUGCAAAUGCUCCAUUAGUAACCCUGGUUACUAAUUGCGCACCUGCUGCUGAUGCGCCAUUAGAAGUUUUGCAAAAAAAUAAAAAAUAUAUAUAUAUAUUCUAAUGGCGCACCAUGGCAUGGUGCGCCAUUACUAGUUUAAACUAGUAAUGGCGCACUGUGCUACGGUGCGCCAUUAGUAGUUUUGCAAAAAAAGAAUAAAAAACAACAGUAGUGGCGCACUGUGUGGCCGGUGCGCCAUUACUAGUUAGCACUAGUAAUGGCGCACUGUGCCAUGAUGCGCCAUUAGUAUGUUUGGAAAAAUAAAAUAAAAUAAUUGUUACUAGUGGCGCACCAUGUGCCUUCCACACUAAUGGCGCACCAGCACAUGGUGCGCCACUGCUAUAUAGUAGUGGUGUACCACAUGACAGGUGCGCCAUUAGUGUCCAUUCCAUCUAUAGCCCUUUUCCUAGUAGUGGCGAUGAAGACGAGGAUGAUGAGAGCUACAACAACAACAAUGAGGAGGAGGAGGAGGAGGAGGAUGAGGAUAGUGAUAACCAUGAGGAUAAUGAGACUAGCGACGAGGAUGAUGAAAGUUGGGAGGAGGUGAGCCACAACGAUUACUAUUGAUGCAUAGGCAUCGACGGCACUGUAUCAAUAUCCAUGGUGAAUCCGCUAGAUGUUAGAUCUUUGGAAAUUUGGUUGUUACGGUGCUUUACGGUGUUGAGUUGCACAAUGUGUUCCUCUUAAAAUGGAGUUGCACAAUGUGUUCCUCUUAAAAUGGAGUUGCACAGUGUGUUAGACUGACUGAUUAUACCGUCACUUGCUGUUCUGGCUCAUGCUCAACUUUUGUCAUGGAAAUGUUGUAACCCUCGAGUGAGUGAAGUAUCUAUGUUCAUUUGAUCUUGACACACCUAUGUUUCUUUUGGGGAAUAUGGAACUGUGAUGCUUUUGGUAUUAAUAUGUUAUUCAAAAUUUUGUGAAUAUUGUUGUACUGUUAUUAUAUUUUUAACAAGUAGAUUUAAAUGGCAUCGCUGUUCAUCUACCUAAUCUGUUUUCUAUGCUAAUCAUCAAGGGUGCAACAUUUACUACUGUAAGUUUUGCAUCAGCCUUGAGUAGUCGUCAAGGGUGCAACAUUUAAUACUGUAUGGUUUGCAUCCGUCAUCAGUAGUCGUCGAGAGUGCAACAUUUACUACUGUAUAUGAGACACACUUAAACAACCAUUAGCAGGUAGAGAAGGAAGAUGGAUGAGUACCUGGGUGACGGCACGGAGGUAGAGGGGGGCGUGGCCUUCUUGCCGCCGAUGGCCGGAUCUACCCCUGGUGGCGCUUCUCCAUGGACUCACCACCUCCCUCUCCCUCCUCUCUUCAUCUCUCCCUCCUCUCCCCUUCUCUGGCUGAGGACGACGCCGCGGACGGGCCACCGCCGAUAUGUCCGCGACUUCCGCUCAAGUGAGAGGGGACGAGAAGGAGAGAGGGCCGUCGCGCACUGACCUUCGAUUUCUAGACGCCACCUCGGACGACCUUGAGCAUGGUUGGCUGCUCCCCCUUCCUGCCUCUUAACGCGACCACUCCUCUUCUCGCCUGAGACAACAGCCACGCCGGCGACCUAGGUCUGGCAGAUCGACGGAGCCGACGGGGCUCUGACAGGUGUCGCGCGCCGAUGGGCGAGGAGGACGACGCCGCCGCCGUCUGCCCUUCUCCUCCCAUCCUUGCUCCGCUCUGCCCUGCCUGACAUGCUACUCGAUCUGGUGCGAGAGGGUGGAGAGGUCGCCGAUGGUGAAGAGAAGCUAAGGGGAGGAGACAAGGGGUGGGAGAGUCAGCCGCCGUGGAGGACGUGGCUGAUGGCGGUGGCUGCAAGGAGCUCGCCGGUGGUGGCGGCGGCAACAAGGAAAGGGAAAGGGAGAGGAAUCGGGGGAUGGGGACUGGGGGCCAAUGCCUUUCUCUCAUCGCUGGCCAAUCCCUUUCUUUCUCUCUCUCUAUCUCUCUCUCUUUCUUCUAGAAGUAAACCUUUUUGUCGUCUAGCUAAUCUGAUGUGGACGUCGCCAGGAUGUGCCCUUGGGGUGACUGUUAAUGGGUUCAAUGGGUGGCUAGUGCAAAGCAUUUUACCUUUCUUUUUCAAACUUGACCCUGCAAAGUAAUGAGUGCAGUGCUAGCUGUGAAUUGUUGUUGCUUGUCUCGUUCCCAUGACGGCAUCACGCCCUCUGUCAAAAUCGAUUCGGCGAGGCCGUUCGUGGAGAAGAAUCAUCAAGCCAAAUGACGUCCAAAUGCCAUGGGUUUUUACACAGCCCCAGGCCGCCGCCACGCGAAAAAUGCUCUGUCGCUGCUUCCCCCUCCGGCUGUCCAAGUGUGGCAGGGUCUUCUUCUUGGAGAAGCAGCACCGCGUGGUGGUCUUUGUCCGGGGACAGUUGCCGACAAUAGAGCGGUAGUCAGUGGUGCUGUGGCAUAACUGCUACAUGGUGGCGACUCAUAUGGCCAACUGCUACAUGGUGGCGACUCAUAUGGCCAAUUUGUUGAUGAAGGAUUUUGCAAUCUCCUCGCCGGGCGCAAAAUUGGGAGGGCAACUAAAAAUUGGCUCGGAUCCAAUUUUUUGAGGACUUAUCCAAAUGCAUGCCCUGCCCAUUGGGAAAACCAAUAAUUUGGUAAGGUUACUUCCAGCUGCCAUUAGUUUCAUUUCCUUGUUUCUAUUUUAAUAAAUUUAUGAUUAUGUGCAUUUGAGAAAAGCAAAGGCCAAGGGUUUCUUCCCCGGAUACGGCCCUUCGCGUGCCCCAUCAUCCUCCCAACACGGCUACAAGGGACUGUCGAAGUGUGGCAUGCUCUCCUUCUCAGAGGAGCGGCACCAGGAAGAGCCGUCGUCGGGCAGUGGGCAAUAGCGACGGUGUCACGUAACUACGGCAUGGUGGUGAUCCGUAUGGUCCGAUGGUGUGUCAUACGUGAUUUGGGCAUCCCGGGGCCCUUGUGGAUUGUGCGUGCACCCUCCCUUCCGUAACGUGUGCAAAUUCACAGAAGAAGGAUGUUGCAGCCACGUGAAUACCAAUAUUUGGUAGGAUAAGUCUCGUCUGCCAUCCACUUUGUAAGUAGAUUGGUUUGGUGUUGAUGACUUGUUUCUAUUUUAAUAUAUAAAAAUUAUUUUGUUAGAAAAUGGAUUUUUUCAUCUCAUAAAGGUCAGCCAUAAAAAAAUAAUUAUGGCCACGUGUAGUAGAAGUUACUAGUUGUACACAGCAUUUUAUUAUGCAGGGAAUUUUUUUUCCAUAGAUAGCAAUGGAGUACACAAAAUGCAUGCAUUUCUUACAUGAGAUUGAGCUCUACUCUUGACUUGAGAUAGAACCCGUCCGAACAAGCCGCUGUACAUCUCCGCGGACAUUUAGUGAGGUUCGUUUUCAUCGACUUGCCUUAACAGAGUGCAAUUUUUACUUGAGCAAUAAAACAAAAUCUUAUUUGAAAGGACAAUGCAUUUGGACUAUACUGGAAUGUAAGAAUAUGGUUUAUACCGAGGCUCCUCCCUUAUCAAAUAAAAGAGAUUCAAUCAGCUUCCCCUGUCCUGCACAUCCGUCACAUAGCACUACACAGGCCAAAGCUGCAUGCCUCAUGAGAAAAAGUAAUUUGAGGCAGCUACAUUGAUUUUUCUCCCCAACACAAGCUAUCACUAGUGUGCCUCAUCAAGAAAUAGAAAGUAGAGACUAGUACACAUGAAUCUAUAUUCUCCACUUCAAUUUUGCCAGUUUUUACACUGGACCACACUUUUUCUCUUCAAGCACCCGCCUUCCACAGAGGAUCCCGCUUCCCCGUCGGAACCUAUUUCUUCUGACAUCCAAUUCUACAUGGCAUGUGGGGCAUCACCCUAGGGCUAUGCAUUGGUCAUGUCCCGAGGCGAUGGAUCACAUGCCACAGUAGUAGAGGACAACGUCAGUACAGGAGUGCACAGGCAUAAGCAAGAACCCGACAAAGUAAGUAAGUAGUACUCCUUCCCGAACUACCAAACAAAGCAAAACAUACGGUAGUGCUAGUGCACUGGACUAUAGACAUGACCUGCAAAGUAUUUUCUACUCAACUCUCCUUUUGAAACUUGACCCUGCAAAGAAAUCAAUGCAAUUUUGUGAACUGCUCGUGCUUGUCUCAUUGCCAUGACGAAAUCAUGGUAUGUCCGACGAUACAUGCCACUCUACUUGCUGGUGUCGUUCCCGCCCCUAGAGAAAAAUCCCCAAGCCAAAUGAUAUUCAAUGGAUUCACUCUUUAAGUAACUUUAGAUGAUACCAAUAGAAUAUUGAGUAACACACAAGAAUAUGCAUAUAGCCAUUUGAUACUUACAUCAUGGAUUGGUGAGGAUCCAAAAUGAAUCCCAUUCAUAACAAGAUUCAAAGACAGGGGAAAUGACACUAGGCAUCCAAAUAAAAAAACGUGGUUCAAAUACUUUUAAACUGUGGCCCACUCUUACAAUUUGUCUUGAUCCGUAACACUCCCAGUAGUAGAAAAACGACCUAAUGUGAAGCUCGUUAGUCCCGGUUUGUAAUUGAACCGGCACUAAUGUGACCAUUAGUGCCGGUUCCAACGGCUAGGCAGGCGGCGCUCAUUAGUACCGGUUUGUGGCGAACCUUUAAUACCGGUUCGUGCCACGAACUGGUACUAAAGAGGCGGUGGCCUUUAGUACGGGUUGGUGGCUCCAACCAGUACUAAAGCCCCCCCCCCCUUUUAGUACGGGUUCGUGCCACCAACCGGUACUAAAGGGUGCGCUGCCACCCGCAGUUCACAAUGUUUAGUCCCACCUCGCUAGUUGAGAGGAGCUCGCACCGGUUUAUAAGCCCCGCUGCGGCUACCGUGUUGAGCUCCUCUCUAAGAAGGCCUUUGUGGGCCUAUUGCAAGUCUUCUUUCCUGUGGGGCCUACUGGGUCGUAUGGGCCUGCAUCCUAGCCCAACUAAAGGUUGGGUUUCUAGUCGUAUGCAGGUCGUGCCGGCCCAGUAGGAUGGGCUGUUUUGCUUUAUUUAAAAAAAUAAAAAAAACCUUUAGUCCCGGUUGGUGUUACCAACCGAUACUAAAGGUCUCCCCGCCCCCGGCCCUGGCCCGUGCCACAUGAGGACCCUUUAGUGGCGGUUCGUGUUGAACCGGUACUAAAGGAGGGGACCUUUAAUCUCCACCCUUUAGCGCCGGUUACAGAACCAGCACUAAAGGGCCAUACGAACCGGUGAUACAACCUGGUUCUGCACUAGUGUCCAUAUGAAGAAUCAUCCUCAUCAAUAUGGAAGUUUUCUUUUACCUAUACAAGAAUGAGAAGAGAAACUUAGAAUCAAUAAAACAAACAACCAGAGCUAAUUUGGAACAACAUUAACUGAAAAGCAGGUAUAUUUAAGUUUGUGAUUACGUAUUUGAAAAUAAUAAUGUGGCAUGGAUUGAAGUAGUAUAUCACAAAUACUAAGUGAUGCAAUGUUUUACAGUAAAACUAAUUGAAGCGUAUUUCAGGUGUAAAGCACGAUGUAUCCUAAAGCAUCAAGCCGCUCCAUUGAACACUAAAUCCGCAGACAUCAUCUCCAACAGAUAAAGUGGAAAAAUGACUCACCUCCUAUUAUUGAGUCUCACAAACAAAUAAUGAAUGUAUCACCUUUCCCACAUUAGACAUGAUCGCUAUAUCUGGCCAUCAGUGUUAACUGGAUGUGAACUGCUGUCGAGAUAUUUCUCCUACUGCAUGGAUGCAAACUAAUACAUAAUUUAGUUCUGCAACCAAUGGAGCAUCAAAAUAUUGUAUUAAUAUGAAACAAUUAUUUACGAUUCAAAGCAGCGACCUCAGCUUCUUGUGCCGGUUCUUCUUGGAAAAGCAAGAAAACAAAUAUAUCUAUUUAUAUAUGUUGCUACAUUCUGGUAGGAAUAAAUAAGCGAUACAAAAGCACAUAACAAAGAAACAAGGUCUAGCAAUAAUUUACAAUGCCUUCCUUAAAUGGGCAAGAUCCAGCAUGCACGAAACGUGCUCCGACAAAUGAAAAAUAUAGUGUAGAAUGCCUUCCUUAAAUGGGCAAAUGAAAAACGUGCAUGGAUGCAAACUAAUAUAUGUGUGUGUGUGUGUGUGUGUGUGUAACGCUAAACUAAGCUUGAGUGUAGAAUAGCUUAUUCUACACCCCUAGUAACGCUCUAUACAAAAUAUAGUAACAUAACAUGUAAAAUAUAGUAAAUUUUUUGAUCAUGUAAGAAAUCAAAAACUUGGAUAGUACAAAAUAUAUCUCAUAAUUACUACAUUUUACAUAGCGUUNNNNNNNNNNNNNNNNNNNNNNNNNNNNNNNNNNNNNNNNNNNNNNNNNNNNNNNNNNNNNNNNNNNNNNNNNNNNNNNNNNNNNNNNNNNNNNNNNNNNNNNNNNNNNNNNNNNNNNNNNNNNNNNNNNNNNNNNNNNNNNNNNNNNNNNNNNNNNNNNNNNNNNNNNNNNNNNNNNNNNNNNNNNNNNNNNNNNNNNNNNNNNNNNNNNNNNNNNNNNNNNNNNNNNNNNNNNNNNNNNNNNNNNNNNNNNNNNNNNNNNNNNNNNNNNNNNNNNNNNNNNNNNNNNNNNNNAUAUUUUCAUAGACUCUUGAAAUACAUAUCAGUCGACGGCUUCAAAUUUCAACUGAUAUAUAAUGACCUUUUGGGAAGGGCACCUUUACAUAGCCUGUUGGAUGGAGCAAACCGCAAACUUUUAUAUAAUGUUGUCAGAAACAUCACAGCUCCAAAGUCAGAGGAAAGGAAUUGCACAUCACUGAGUAUAAUGUAUCAUAACCUACAACAAAGAUAGUAAGUGAAAGGCUUAAUUGGGGAUUUAAAAAGUUGAUUUGCUGCCAAAAUAAAUCCUACCGAGGUUAAAGAAAAAGAUAAAUCACUAAUACAUAGAACAUGCCAUGCUGUAUGCAUCAUACCAUUACCCAUCAAUAAUAUUGCUGAAAAGGCACGAGAAAAACAGACGCAUAUAUUAGCAAUCAAACGCUUGCGUGAGACAAAUAGAAAAAUUUAGUAUCACACUCUGUAAUAUAAAAAGAUAUAUGUUGCCUGAUGUCCCCAUGAAAGAGCAACUCCACGAAGUCCAUGGGGAGCAUGUGGCGUUGAUAGCCUUGACCGAGAGAGUGGGCGGUGUGGGAAAGUCGUACUUGAUGAUCGAGGUGGACUUCUCGACACUUGUCACCCCUGACAGCGGUAGGCUAUGCACCAUAGCCUGCACUCACAUUAAAUGCCUGGCCGGAACAUGACCUCACACGGCCUCUGUGAAAGCUGUCUGCAUGCGAGGCAUGUGUGCUGAGGAGGCCCCUGUUUGGGACACCUAGCACCGUCCCAAAACGGCAUUGCUGACGUUUUUUGUAUAUCUGGUUUAACCUGGGUAGAUUUACUUGGCAGUAAAACUACACAAAGGGGGCAUACCGUCACGCCAUUGGCUCCUUCUGGAUGUUGUAGUACUAAUUAUGAAGAGGAUUUUAGUGUAGUUUCUUAUUGUACCGAGGGUUCAAAAUUUUAGCAAAAUUUUGCAUAUUUCGGUGGGGUUCGAAAUACUUGUAACCCUGAAAUUUUGAGCCAAAUUCAAACUAAAAUUUAAAUUAUAUUAAAAAUCAUUAAAAAAUAUUGAUUUUUCAAACUCAAAAUCCAAAAUAAUUUCCGAAUUUCCGAAAUUUUGCAUAUUCCGGCGACGUCCAAAAAAUUUCCAUGACCGAAAUUAAAAACCUUACCAACGUGGCUUUUUGGGCAGGUACAUCUGUUGUAGUUACGCUCGGGGUACCCCGGUUUUAAAUACACCGACAUGCUCGUGCACAAAAUCAAGAUGGGCAACUAAAAAAGAAAGUUUUUUCAUGCUCCAUUAGCUAGCGUAGUCUUCUACUAUCAAUAAAACCAAAAAAUAAAUCAAAUGUCAGUGAGUCAGAUCUAAAAGUUGGGAGUUGUCCAAAUGCAUGUCAUGGCCGUCAGUCAACACCAAUGGGUUGCUAGGGUAACUCUCGGCCGCCAUUCCAUUUGUAAACAGAGGUUUACACUUAUAGUGUUGGAUGACUUGUUUUCAUUUUAAUAUCAAAAGAUUAUUUUGUUACAAAAAAGAUUUUUAAUUUUUUUGCUCAGAAAUCUCAUUCAUCUAGAAAAGAAUUAUGGCUAGUGUAGUAGAAGUUACUACCUUUUUUUUGGCAGACUGCAACCCUCAAAAAUGGCUUAACACUUUAUUAUUAGCAGUUUAAGCAAUGUACAGAGAUAAGUUUACCCCUUUGGAAGGAGAUGGAUUUGAUUCAUUCCUUAGGAAGACUUUGAGAGCAGCUUCAUCAAGAAUUGCUGCAUGGUUAUACUCUCUAUGCUGCAUCAACAUUGGCUCUAGGUAUCCUGCUUGGCAGAUUUGUUUAACAGAACGCCUCCUUUCGUCCUCACUAUUCUCCAGUAAACCCGCAUUAAGCAUCGCUUUGGUAGCAUGGAUAACAUUUCUUGACAUGAGACUGAGCUCUACUCCUGACUUGAGAUAUAUAGAUCGCAACAGAUGCAAAUGAAAUGCUUGCAAGUUGGAAUGACAUAACAACGGAAGAAGAUGCAUUUCACAACAUGAUUAACACGAAGCAUAAUAUCCUUCGAUUUGAAUACAGUGCCCAACAAUGACAUUAAAGAUGAACUGCAUCUACUAAUUAACAUCACCCAAAUAGUUUCAGCUGCAACUCCAAAAUAAGCACGAACUACCUUGAAUGCAUCGUUUGUUUCCCAUCAGCAGCAGCGGACCUAAUCACACCAAUACGUCAGACCAAGGGGAGAGCAUAUCGAUGCGGAUGCGCAGGGGAACUUCCAUGGAUGCCCGGUCUCCUGCUCCUGGCAUCAGCUACAUUGGCGGCACCGUCAGGAACGUGGGCUCGCCCUCAGCGACCACGGCGUCGGGCGACGAGCUGCUCCUCAUGUGCAUGUCCACGAGCACCAUGUCCUCCUUGCCGCAGUUCGCCACUGCUGCCAGGGGUGUCUCCAGGUUGACCCACAUCUUGCACGUGAACCGAGGCCGCAUCGCCGCUCCCGCCCUGGCGCACACCAUAGACACGGCGGUCACGCCGGCGCCGAGCACGCCCACUGUCAUGAGGAACACGCAGUUGUCGUCGCCGAGGAGCACCAGCCUCGUGGUCGACACCGGUAGCUGAAGCAUGCUGACCUUGCCGUACUGCACGACGCGCACCGGCACCAAAUGGACAGUGUGGAGGUGACCGGCGAGCGCUUGCGGCGCUCCGAUGUAGCUGCAGCCGGGCUCAGUGCACUAGCAAGGCGUGUGCGGGCACGCUUUCUGUUGCUCGGCGACCUUGUGGUAGGUCACGUACCACUUGAAGCCAGCGUUGGGGCACCCGAUCCUGGUGGAGGACACCACGGCGUCCAGCGCAGGGCAGGGGUCGAACAAGCCACCGCCGUCCACGCAUGCCUUGCACUGCCCGAAGGGCAGCAGGGCCACGCAGCCGCCGCAGGCCGGGUGCCCCGCUUUGCACUGUAGGCAAGCACACAAAAUCGGAGAUGGCCCGUAAAUUAGCAUGAAAGAAUAGAUCUAUCACCGGCGCCAAUCGAGGAAGAAAGAAGGAAACAGAGAGAGGAACCUGUAAGACCGGGGCUUGAAGGGGAGGGUGCAGAGGGGGCAGUGGAGCACUUGCUUGUCGAUCCUCAUGGCAAGGUCCACUCGCUGGAUGUACGCCGCCCCAACGAUGGCGCCUCCAUCUCCUCCACCGGCCGCCUCUUGCUUCAUGUGGCCGUCGGGCAGGUCCAGCCGCGCCUUCUUAGAGCUCUCGACGGCCUUGUCGGGAGAAGCCCUGCUCCUCCUCUCGGCGGCCGCGGCGGCGCCCUGCAUCUUACCUGGCCUUUGGGGAAAGAAAACUCCUGUGUGUGUGUCUCACGCCAAACUUUUUCAGGAGGUGGGUGAGGAGUAGAGCAGAGAUCUGAGAACAAAAGUUGCCUAGGCAGCCACACUACACUAUAAAUGCUUCCUCAUUGUGGUUUCCAUUCCCAAACUUAUAUGGUAUAGAUAUAAGCCGUGCUCUUAAUCAAUUUCAUUAUUGCUACUUUAUCCAUACAUUAAUGUUGUCUUUCUUUUAAGUACCUACAAGUGUGCGAUAAAAAGGUUGACCAUUGCAGAUCCAUGUUAUUUUUAGAGAAAAGCGAGGAACAUAAAUGGAAGCACAUUGUAUUUUUUUUAUCCGUAGCUUCCUGCUUAAUUGAUACACGGUGGAGUACUUUUGACUCCAUCGCCAGAUUAUAACACCAUCGAACACGUGGGAGCCCAUAAAAAGAAAAGGAUACAUGUGUAAGCACAAGGGAUAUGUGUGACCAAAUAGUACAAAGGAGAACACAAACUCAUCACAACUUUUCACCUAGAUCACGACACAUCCCGCCUUUCUCACUGUUAUCGAUAGACACAUACGUCAUCGCUGAUGUGCUGGCUGCCACCAGCAAAUAACAACAACGUAGACCACAAGCCUCCAAAAGAUCCAUGGAAUAGGUACUAGAUUUUGGAGACCCCCGACGCCAAACAUCUUGAUUAGCUGCUUGCAUGAAGUAGUAAGGUUACUUCCGACUGCCAUUAGUUUCAUUUCCUUGUUUCUAUUUUAAUAAAUUUAUGAUUGCGUGCAUUUCAGAAAAGCAAAGGCCAAGGGUUUCUUCCCCGGCCCGGCCCUUCGCGUGCCCCAUCAUGCUCCCAAUACGGCUACAAGGGACUGUCGAAGUGUGGCAUGCUCUCCUUCUCAGAGGAGCAGCACCAGGAAGAGGCCGGGCAGUGGGCGAUGGUGACGGUGUCAUGUAACUACGACAUGGUGGUGAUCCCUAUGGUCCUAUGGUGCGUCAUAAGUGAUUUGGGCAUUUAGGGGCCCUUCUGGAUUGUGCGUGCACCCUCCCUUCCGUAACGUGUGCAAAUUCACAGAGGAAGGAUGUUGCAGCCACGUGAAUACCAAUAUUUUGGUAGGAUAAGUCUGUCUGCCAUCCAGUUUGUAAGUAGAUUGGUUUGGUGUCGAUGACUUGUUUCUAUUUUAAUAUAGAAAGAUUAUUUUGUUAGAAAAUUGAUUUUUCAUCUCAUAAAGGUCAGCCAUAACAAAAAGAAUUAUGGCCACGUGUAGUAGAAGUUACUAGUUGAACACAGCAUUUUAUUAUGCAUGGAAAAAAAGUUCAAUCAGAUAGCAAUGGAGUACACAAAAUGCAUGCAUUUCUUACAUGAGAUUGAGCUCUACUCUUGACUUGAGAUAGAACCCGUCAGAACAAGCCGCUGUACAUGUCCACGGACAUUUAGUGAGGUCCGUUUUCAUCGACUUGCCUUAAUAGAGUGCAAUUUUCACAUGAGCAAUAAAACACAAUCUUAUUUGAAAGGAUGAUGCAUUUGGACUAUACUAGAAAGUAAGAAUCUGGUUUAUACCGAGGCUCCUCCCUUAUCAAAUAGAAGAGAUUUAAUCAGUUUCCCCUGUCUCACACAUCCGUCACACAGCACUACACAGGCCAAAGCUGCAUGCCUACUGAGGGCAUGAACAGUGGUGGCAUGUGGAUACAUAUGUCUCAUGAGAAAAAGUAAUUCGAGGCAGCUACAUUGAUUUUUCUCCCCAACGCAGGUUAUCACUAGUGUGCCUCAUCAACGAAUAGAAAGUAGAGACUAGUACACAUGCAUCUCUACUCAGCACUUCAAUUUUGUCAGCUUUUUACACUGGACCAGACUUUUUCUCUGCAAGCACCCGCCUCCCGCAGAGGAUCCCGCUUCCCCAUCGUAACCUACUGCUCAUGACAUCGAAUUCUACAUGGCAUAUGGGGCAUCACCCUAGGGCUAUGCAUUGGCCAUGUCCCGAGGCAAUGGAUCACAUGCCACAAUAGUAGAGGAUAAUUUCAGUACAGGAGUGCAGAGGCAUCAGCAAGAACCCAGCAAAGUAAGUAAGUAUACUCCUUCCCGAACUAGCAAACAAAGAAAAACAUAUGGUACUGCUAGUGCAGUAGACUACAGACAUGACAUGCAAAGUAUUUUCUACUCAACUCUCCUUUUGAAACUUGACCCUGCAAAGAAAUGAAUGCAAUGUUGUGAACUGCUCAUGCUUGUCUCGUUGCCAUGACGAAAUCAGGGUCUGUCCGGCGAUACAUGCUACUCUACCUGUUGGUGUCGUUCCCGCCCCUAGAAAAAAAUCACCAAGCCAAUGGAUGUUCAUUGGAUUCACUCUUUAAGUAACUUUAGAUGAUACCGAGAGAAUAUUGAGUAACACGCAAGAAUAUGCAUACAACCAUUUGAUACAUACAUCAUGGAUUGGUGAGGAUCCAAAAUGAAUCCCAUUCAUAACAAGAUUCAAAGAUAGGGGAAAUGACACCAGGCAUCCAAACAAAAAACAUGGUUCAAAUACUUGUAAAUUGUGGCCCACUCUUACAAUUUGUCAUGAUCCGUAACACUCCAUAUGAAGAAUCAUCCUCGUCAAUAUGGAAGUUUUCUUUUACCUAUAUAAGAAUGAGAAGUUCAGAAACUUAGAAUUAAUAAAACAAACAACCAGAGCUAGUUUGGAACAACAUUGACUGAAAAGCAAGUAUAUUUAAGUUUUACGUAUUUCUAAAUAAUAAUGUGCCAUGGAUUGAAGUAAUAUAUCAUAAAUACUAAGUGAUGCAAUAUUUUACAGUAAAACUAAUUGAAGCGUAUUUCAGGUGUAAAGCACGACGUAUCCUAAAGGAUCCAGCCGCUCCAUUGAACACUAAAUCCGCAGAAAUCAUCUCCAACAGAUAAAGUGGAAAAAGGACUCACCUUCAAUUAUUGAGUCUCACAAACAAAUAAUGAAUGUAUCACCUUUCCCACAUUAGACAUGAUCGCUAUCUCUGGCCAUCAAUGUUAACUAGAUGUGAAGUGCAUUCAAGAUAUUUCCCCUACUGCAUGGAUGCAAACUAAUACAUAAUUUAGUUCUGCAACCAAUGGAUCAUCAAAAUAUUGUGCUAAUAGCAAACAAUUAUUUAAGAUUCAAAGCAGCGACCUCAGCUUCUUCUGCCGGUUCUUCUUGGAAAAGCAAGAAAACAAAUAUAUCUAUUGAUAUAUGUUGCUACAUUCUGGUUGGAAUAAAUAAGCGAUACAAAAGCACCUAACAAAGAAACAAGCUCUAACAAUAAUUUACCAUGCCUUCUUUAAAUGGGCAAGAUCCAAUAGGCAAGAAACGUGCGCCGACAAAUGAAACAAUUAAGACCAAUUAUUAUAAUUAACAUCAAUAUCUCCAGUUGUUAGCAGAGAAAAUUGAAGCACACAUAUGCAUUGUACAUACGUAAUGUAUUUGGCCACCUCAGGGAAUCAUUUCACGAAUCAGUUAAUAGGAAAAGAAAAAUAGUAGGGAACAUAUUUAAAGAUGGGUAUAUAUAUCAUAGACUCUGCAAAUACAUAUCAGUCCAUGGCUUCAAAUUCAGCAGAUAUAUAAUGACCUAUUGGGAAGGGCACCUUUCCAUAGCCUGUUGGAUGGAGCAAAUUGCAAACUUUUAUAUAAUGUUGUCAGAAACAUCCCAACUCCAAAGUCAGAGGAAAGUAAUUGCACCUCACUGAGUAUAAUGCAUCAUAACCUACAACAUAUAUAGUAAGUGAAAGGCUUAAUUGGGGAUUAAAAAAAUCGGUUUGCUGCCGAAUUAAAUCCUACCGAGGUUCAAGAAAAAGAUAAAUCACUAAUACAUAGAACAUGGCAUGCUUGAUGCAUCAUACCAUUACCCAUCAAUACUAAUGCUGAAAAGGCAUGAGAAAAACAGAUGCAUAUAUUAGCAAUCAAACGCUUGCGUGAGACAAAUAGAAAAAAUUAAUAUCGCACUCUGUAAUAUAAAAGAUAUAUGUUGCAUGAUGUCCCCAUGAAAGAGCAACUCCACGAAGUCCAUGCGGGAGUAUGUGGUGUUGAUAGCCUUGACCCAGAGAGUGGGCGGUGUGGGGAAGUCGUACUUGAUGAUCGAGAUGGACUUCUCAACACUUGUCACCCCUAACAGUGGUAGGCUAUGCACCAUAGCCUGCACUCACAUUAAUGCUUGGUCGGGACCGUGGCCUCACACGGCCUCUGUGAAAGCUGUUUGCACACGAGGCAUGUGUGCUGGGGAGGCCCGUGUUCGGGACACCUAGCAUCGUCCCAAAACGUCACUACACAAAGGUAUGCAUGCCGUCACGCCAUUGGCUCCUUCUGGAUGUUGUAGUACUAAUUGUGAAGAGGAUUUUAGUGUAGUUUCUUAUUGUAAUGAGGGUUCAAAAUUUUAGCGAAAUUUUGCAUAUUUCGGUGGGGAUCGAAAUACUUGCAACCCUGAAAUUCUGAGCCAAAUUCAAACUAAAAUUUAAAUUAGCUUAAAAAUCAUUUAAAAAUAUUGAUUUUUGAAACUCAAAAUCCAAAAUAAGUUCUCAAUUUCCGAAAUUUUGCAUACUCCGGUAACGUCCAAACAAUUUCCAUGACCGAAAUUAAAAACCUUACCAACGUGGCUUUUUGGGCAGGUCCAUCUGUUGUAGUUACGCUCGGGGUACCCCAGUUUUAAAUACGCCGACCUGCGUCGUGCACAAAAUCAAGAGGGGCAACUAAAAAAGAAAGAUUUUUCAUGCUCCAUUAGCUAGCGUAAUCUUCUACUGUCAAUAAAACCAAAAAAUAAAUAAAAUGUCACUGAGUCAGAUCUAAAAGUUGGGAGUUGUCCAAAUGCGUGUCAUGCCCAUCAGUCAACACCAAUGGGUUGCUAGGGUAACUCUCGGCCGCCAUUCCAUUUGUAAAUAGAUGUUUACACUUAUAGUGUCCGAUGACUUGUUUUCAUUUUAAUAUCAAAAUAUUAUUUUGUUGGAAAAUAGAUUUUUAUUUUUUGGCUCAGAAAGCUCAUUCAUCUAGAAAAGAAUUAUGGCCAGUGUAGUAGAAGUUACUAGCUUUUUUUGGAAGACUGCAGCCCUCAAAGAGGGCUUAACACUUUAUUAUUAGGAGUUUAAGCAAUGUACAGAGAUAAGUUUACCCCUUUGGAAGGAGAUGGGUUUGAUUCAUUCCUUAGGAAGACUUUGAGAGAAGCUUCAUCACGAAUUGCUGCAUGGUUAUACUCUCUAUGCUGCAUCAACAUUGGCUAGGUAUCCUGCUUGGCAGAUUUCUUUGACAGAAGGCCUCCUUUGUUCCUCACUAUUCUCCAGUAAACCUGCAUUAAGCAUUGCUUUGGUAGCAUGGAUAACAUUUCUUGACAUGAGACUGAACUCUACUCCUGACUUGAGAUAUAUAGAUUGCAACAGAUGCAAAUGAAAUGCUUACAAGUUGGAAUGACAUAACAACGAAAGAAGAUGCAUUUCACAACAUGAUUAACACGAAGCAUAAUAUCCUCCGAUUUGAAUACAGUACCCAACAAUGACAUUAAAGAUGAACUGCAUCUACUAAUUAACAUCGCCCAAAUAGUUUCAGCUGCAACUCCAAAUUAAGCACGAACAGCUCUGAAUGCAUCGUUUGUUUCCCAUCAACAGCAGCGGACCUAAUCAAACCAAUGUGUCGGACCAAGGGGGGAGCUUAUCAAUGCGGAUGUGCAGGGGAACUUCCAUGGACGCCCCGUCUCCUGCUGCUGGCACCAGGUACAUUGGCGGCACCGUCAGGAACGUGGGCUCGCCCGCGGCAACCACGGGGCCGGGUGACGAGCUACUCCUCAUGUCCAUGUCCACAAGCACCAUGUCCUGCUUGCCGCAGUUCGCCGCUGCUGCCGGGGGUGGCUCCAGGUUGACCCACAUCUUGCACGUGAACCGCGGCCGCGUCGCCGCUCUUGCCCUGGCGCACACCACAGACAUGGCGGUCACACCGGCGCCGAGCGCGCCCAUGGUCAUGAGGAACAC